GAGGGGAGGAACCUGAUCCUCCGGUAGCGAAGGGCUGGAGGCAAACACCGAGCUCCCCCAGAGCCGCCCGGGAGCAGGGAGGGCUCCGCUACCCCGAGGGGCCCUCCCCGCGGGGCCGAGGGUAAGUCGGGCUGCGCAGGUGGUCGCCUUGGGAAGGGAGCGCGCAGUGGGGUUAGGUGGGGCGGCGGGAGCAUCUGGAGGUAGCCCGGCCCAACCGAAGGAGCCCAGUGUCUAGCUGAAAGGGACCCAGGCCAUAAUAAGGAUGGCAAGCCAAACGCAGCAAUAAUUAAUAUUCGAAUAACGCCCCUUAGUUGGUCCUGGCUACACAGAGGGUGGAGUUGUGCAUCCCCAACUCAGGGCUGAGCUGGAGGCAAUGAUUCAGGGUUGGAGAAACAUCAUCCCGUCAGCCCUGGCGCUUUAGGGUCCAGCUGAGUAGCAAAAGCCAACAUACCCCAUAUUCCCCUAGCCUUGCUGCGCUUUCGGGGUUGUCUUAUUGAAAACUAGGGAAGGGGAUGGGAAACCUGCCCAGCCUCACUUUAGCCACAAAAAUAAUGCUCUUGGCCAAUGGCCCUGGAAAAAACAACCUCUGGUGCAAUUAAACAAUCAAUAGGAAAAGAGCUUCACUCCCCUCACCGCCCUCCUUCACCAGGCUCCUUCGACCAGGGUAAUUCUUUGGGUUUAAAGGAGAAAGAAAAUUUGUUACAUUCCUUCCCACCCAGCCCCCGCCCCCAUCAGCCUCUUCAUCAAGCAAAACUGCAAACAGCACACCCCUGGCUCACCCCACCUUCAGAGCUGAGCUUCUGAGAGAGGUUUCAAUACUGUUCCAUGCUGCAGGAGGAGACAGCCUUAAACUCUGAAGGAUUUCAUCUCCGUUGCCCUUUACCCCCAGGGGAUUUAGAAACCUAGCAUUGACAGCAGCCAAAUGCAGGGCCAGGCUGGGCACAGAGGAACAUCACUCCCCCACCCCAUACAAUUCUCAGGGUAACUAUUUUAUUAUUGUAAGUACUAGUAUUCCUUUCCAUUUCAUUUCUAGAAAAUUCAGAAAGCACUUUCUGAAACAUAAUUUUUUUUUAAAUGUCAGUCAUACAUUUAGAAGUAAGGGGUUGACGGGAUUAACUGAAAGGCUAAUGACUGUCUCAAAAGCACAUGCGGUUGCUAGGGAACUCAAGCUCAUCCCGCUCUCUAAUCACCAGCGUGUUAGGUGGAACUCAAACUGCUCAGGGUGUUAUUAAAAUGAAUGGCAUUUGGUUAAAGACUUUCUUGCUAUGUUGUAGCAUCCUGGAUUAUUAUCGAUUGCCUCACACCCACAUAUCUUGUUUUCCUAAUUUGAUUUCUGUAUUUGCGUCACUGCCAGGGACACUCAGACUAGACCAGUCAGGUUCACUUCCUGUUUCUCAGAACUGGUUUAUAUUUGGUCUCAAAGCACUAGCUGGUAAAACAUUAUCAAACUGGUCCUCUUGGACAGAAACCUCUGCUUUCCGUUGAAAACAAAUUAUCCCAAUUAAAUGCUAACUCCCAUGGAAAACGUCAUCAUUUGAGGAAUAAGGUAGCCUGCCAACCUACUUUAUUAAGAAAUCCAUUCUUGAAAUGUAAAGCCAAAAAAAAAAAAAACCCACAUCAUCUUUAUUUCUUUUACCCAGAAUCUUCAGUCUUCAGCGUUGGAACUAAAACAAACUCAAGUAGAAAACAGAUUUAAAUAUGAUAUUUCUAAAAUGAAGCCCCCCAAAAAAUACACAUGGAAACUGGGGAAGUCAUUUUGACUAAAUAAGGCAUAGAACUGAAAUGGAAUCCAGGCCCAGGAAGGACAAAUAAAUUAGGGUUAGCACUGUGGCACUCAGAGAACAAAGUGUAAUUACAGGACUACACUAUCAAUAGGAAACCUCAUCACUUUGUGUACCAAUCAUCUCUUUUACCAAGUCUCCUAUGUCCCUGGAACCUUGUUUUGUGGAUUUUUCCCACCUCAUUCUUUUCCCUUUAUAAAAACGGUAUCACAGAGGCAAUAUCAUAAACAUAAGACUAUGCAAGUACUUGGGUUCUGAUGUGAUUGAUAUAUUUAAAAAGCCCCUUGGAAAAGUUGUAUGUGGCAUGAAGAAAAGAUUGCCCACUCAAAGUUGGGAAACUUGCUCCCACUUCUACAAACUCAAUGAAUUUUGGCUAGCUACUAGAGUUCUUUCAGUGAGUUUCCCUCACGGAAGCAUAACUAAAAGUGCUAGACUAAAGGACCUCUAAGUUUCUUUGCAUUUACAAAAUUCUUUGACCUCACUACAUAAUUUCAAUUUUAGCUACAUUUUGCAAAGUUAAAAUUUUAGCACUGAACCUUUAAUACCUAUCUAUAGAGACACUGAGAUAAAUGAUUAUGGGAAUGAUUCCCUGCUGAUCCAUCAGACUUCAGUGUCAGUUGCCAGAUAAAUAGAAGCUACCUUGCUCCUGACGUAUUUACUCCCUCUUUGCCUGAUGUUGGUAGGGAAGCACCAGGGUAGGAAGUUCAAAACAUAUAAAAGUGUAGAAAAAGGCCUCUUCCUUAUUUUAGAUGUAGUGAAGCCAAAGUACUUUGAUGAAUAAAGUGGUGGAAUGACAGAGAAAGAGCUAUAUAAGAAAUAAUUAGCUGAAUCCUCAUGGAGCUUUUUGCCUGUAUUUUAAUUUGUAAGAGGUAAAAACACAUGUGACUCAGAUUUUAGAAUUUUCAGAUCUGAGAUAUUAAGAAAUAGCAUGAAGAAAUGUGAGAUUUGUGGCAGAAAGAAAAAUCCUGACUUUGAAACCCAACUCUGCCCCUUUAUCUAUUCAUUAUUGAGUGCCUGCUGUGGGUCAGGCACUGGGCUAGGCCUUGGGAAUACAAAGAUGGAUAAGACCACAGUCUCUGACUUGCAGGAGCUUAUAGCGUAAUGAGGAGGCAGAUGAGUACACGGGGAGGUGGUUUCUUCAGGGGGAGUCAUAGGUACCCGAGCUCAGAAGAUGAAUCUUGAGAGGAGUACGGAAGGAUGAGUGGAAGUGAUCCAGACACCUGGGCGAGUCAAAGGGAAGGUGUUCCUGGCAAAGAAAGUGCUUGUGUGAAGACCUUAAAGUAAAAAGGUGUGCCCAAAGACUUGAAGGCAAAGGACAGUGCCCAGCAGGUAAAAGGUUCUCAAUGAACACAUUGUACGAAUGCAUGGCAGAAGUCCUGAAGGAUGCAUCCAGAAAGAUCAGUACACUUUUGUAAUGUGAAAGAUUUUGUUUAUCUUCCUCAAACAUUUGACCUUAUCUUGAGGCCAAAGGAAAGCCAUCAAUUAAUUUUAAGGAGCAUGAAGUGAUCACAUGUUCAUUUUAAAAAGAGCACUCCAGUUUGCAGAAUUUAUUAGUAAUAUUGUGAGCAAGGAGACUAGUUAAGAGGUUAUUUUAGCACUAUGGGAAAGAAAAGAUGGACAUCUAACCUAAGGCAGCAAAAAUGAAGAUGGAAAGAAGCAAAGGACUCAAUAAACAUUCUAGGCAUAGAGUCAGGGAAUUUGAUUGUUGAUUAUAUCUGCAGGAUUAAAGAAUAAGGAGAGAUUUAUGGCUUAGGUAAGUCAGAGAACAGUGGUAUCAUUCAUCAAGAUGGGGACCUUAUGAGGAAAAGCAGGUUGAGGAAGGAAAGUAAUUAAUUUUAAAUAUGUUGCAUUUGAAGUGUCCAUGGGAUGUCAAAGUGAAGCUAUCUUCUACAUAAUUGAACAGAUUGGUCUAGAACUCAGGAGAGAGAUCUAUGUGAGAGUCAUCAGAAUAAGUAUAGUUCCACAGAAGUAGAUGAAAUCCCCGAGACAGAAGGGAUAGUGAGAGAAAAUAAGAGGACCUGCUAUAGAACCCUAGGAAAACGCCAACAUUUAGAAGUGUAGGGAACAGCCGAGCAUGGUGAUGCACACCUGUAAUCCCAGUUCCCUGGGAGACUGAAGCAAGAGAAUGGCAAGUUUGAAGUCAGCCUGGGCAACUUAGGGAGACUUUGUCUCAAAAUAAAAUAAAACAGGCUGAGGAUGCAGCUCAAUGGUAGAGUACUUGUCUAACAUGUGCCAGAGAGCUAGGACCAGGAGCAAGGAGAGCUUCAGGAGCCAAGGGAGGAAAUACCAACAGUAUUAAAUGCUAGAGAGAGGCCAAGAGAAAUGAGGACUGAAAAAGUCUUGGAUUUAGCACAAGGAGGUCAUUGGUGUGUUUGGCAAGAAGUAUAUUGAUAAAAGGGGAUAGUAACCAGAUUGCAGUGGGUUGAGGAAUAGAUGAGAGCAGAGGAAGUGGCUAGAGGAUGUUCUCUUAGAUAAGAAGGACGAAAGGGCAAGUAGGAAAGGAAAAUAAAGAUAUUUGGAAGUAUUUUUGUUUGUUUGUUUGUUUGUUUGUUUUAAAACUCAUAGUCUAUGAGGUUCAGGCUAUCUAGGGAAAAAGGGGAAAUAAUAUGGAAUUCCAGAUUCUUUUAGCCUUCUUCAAAUUAUGUGGUUUCACCAUCCACCAAUUGCUCAAGCUAGACAAGAAGUAGAUUUUUUUGUUUUGUUUUGUUUUUCUCUUCUCCUCCGUUUUCAUGUCCAGUCCUUGAGGAAUUCAGGUCAGUUCUAUCUCCAAAGCAUUUCUAUCUCUACUGCUACCACCCAGAUGUAGACCACCAUUAUCUCCUUCCUGUGUUCCUGUAAUAGUUUUCUAAAUGGUUUUCCUGCUUCCACGCUUGUCCCCAUUCUCCACAGCACAGCUAGAGACAUAAAUCAUACAUCAUAAAACAUCAAUCAGAUUAUUUCACUUCUCAGAAUCCUUCCGUGUCUUCUGAUUGCACCUGAAAUAAAGUCCAGACUCCUUUCCCGGCCUCCAAAGCCCUGCGUGGCAUCUGAGACCACCUCUUCAACCUCAUCCCCAACCACUCUCCCUGACUCCAAUCACACCAGCCUUUUUUCUAUUCCUCAAACACACUGAAUUUACUCUUGUUUCAAAGGACUUACUCUUCCUGGAAUAUCCUUUGGGUCCUUCUGAUCUUUGUUUACAUGUUAUCUACUCAAAGUGGCGCUUCCUAGCCACUUCUGCCUGAAGUACUCUUCUCUGUCCACCUUUCCAACCAUCCAAUGAAUUAUUUUUUCACAGUAAUACAACUUUAUUGCUGAGACUUUAUUACCAUUUGUUUUUAUUGGUUAUGGUUGAGGACUCCUUUAAAAUAUAAACUCCAUGAGGAUUCCUGACACAUAGUAGGUACUUAAAAUGUCCACUGGAUGUUUGUAGAAGGAAAGAAAGUGAACAGAUCAGGAGAAAUUAAAAUCAAGAAACAAGAGUCUGGUGUGCUGAGAAGUGGCCAGUGACGAUGGAUUGCUAGGCUUUGAAGAUUUCAGAAGAGAAGGUUACUAGCUGUGUGACCCUGGACAUUCUCGUUCUCUGAACUUCACUUUAUGGUUAAUAAUAGUACAUGUCUCCAUGAGCUGUUAGGAGAACGACAUGAAGUAGAGUAGACAGACGCACACUGUGGUCUUGUCAAGCUAUUUCAGGAAGUCAGUACUUGCACAAAUGGAUUCAUAAGCUCUAUGUUUGGGCCUCUCAUCAUGGAGUUUACCCCCUUGAUAAUUACUUAUUAUUAGAAUUAAAAAUGGACAAAAUUGUAACUUUUUAAAAACACCUGGAUAUCUGAUGGGAACUGGAAAUUAGAUUAGAACAAAGCAUUCCCAUCAACCAAUAAGAAAAAUAUAAAAAACUCUGGAAAAUUGGGCCAACGGUGUGAUAAACAGAUUUCAGUUCAAGAAGUACAAAAGGAUCUUAAAAAUAUGUAAAAACACUUACCUUUUCUCAUACCUAUAGAUAUGCACUUACAACUGCAUUGAAACAUAUUAUUUAUAUAUUAGGUUGACAAAAAUCCUAGCAUUUAAUAACAUACUUGGCUGGCCAGCCUGAGAGGCAGGCACAUUCUUAUAUAUUUGGUGGAGGAAAAGUUGGUACAACCUCCGUGGAGGGCAAUUUAGCAAUAUUUAUCACAGUUUUAAAUGCAACGCCUUGGACUUAGCAAUUCUACUUUUAUAUAUUUAUCCAAUAAAUAGGCUCACACAUAUUUUGAAGGAUGACUCUUCUAGAACCUUCAGUAAAGCAUUCUUUAUAAUCAUUAAAAACUGAAAACAGCCAUCAAUAGAGAAGCAGUUAAAUAAAUGAUAAUAGAGCUAUACAAGUGAAAGGUAGGCAGUUAUUAAAAUUUGUGAGGCAAUUCUAGCUAUAUUGAUGUGAAAAGAUCUUCACAAUACAUUACCAAGAAAAAAAGUUAAAAACAACACACAUACUUGACUAACACUGUAUCUUUUUGAAAGAAGUUUUACAGAAACAUAUUAACUGUGGGAAGAUCAAAUACAAUAGGGCAGGAGCAUUUGUAGAAAGACUGGUUGAAAGGGCACUCUAGUGGUUUGUGUGAGAGAUGAUGGUUACUCAGGUAAAGGCAGUGAUGUGCACAGGAACAAAUGAUUAGAGUCAAACAGCUGUUUUCAAGAACUCAAUGACUGUGUAGGGAUGGUGGUAGGGGGAAGGAGUUACUGUUAUGGUGGGCUUAAGAAUUCUUCCAUGAUGGGACACAUAAGCAGAAGUGUCUGCCGGCAAGAUGGGGAGUCCUGGGUCAGUCACAGAAUUGCAGGGGAAAAUCAGAAGUUCUGUCUAAGUGGAGAUGUCCACUGUAGACUUGUAGAUAUGGUUCUGGAGCUCAGAAGAAUUGCUGGAGAGAUGAAUUUGGGAGCAGAUUGCCUAGGGAGGGCAGAUAGAAUCAAAAGAAAAGUGGCACCAGGACUAAGCCCUGAACAUGUAGAGAUUGAAUAGAAAAGAAAGAUCUGGCACUGGAGACCCCAGAAACCCAAGAAAUAAAACUAGGAGAACACAAGGCCACAGAAGCCAAGAGUGUUAUUCACUGAUGAAGGUCAAGAAGAAGCAUCACAACUCGUUUCUGUUAUAAAUUUUAAGCUUUCAGAGCUUAUUUUAUAUAUUUUUGUAUCCCAGAGCCUUGCCCUGUGCAUCACACAUGAUAAAUGAUCAGUAAAUUUUUGUUAAAUUUUGGAAAGAAAUAUAUGCACAGAGAGAAAGGCAGACAUACAGAAAGACAAAAGAGUUUAUGUUUGGAUCUCCAAAAAUUAAAAAUUAAAAAAUAAACAAAUAAAACAGAUUCCCUUGAAGUUUACCACAAACUAAACUUGAUCUUAGGCAGUAGGGAGUCCUGCACCCUUUGUUUGCUCUCAAGCUGGCACGGGAUAGGGCGUUCACAGUACCAUGUUGUUGCCUUCCAGAAAUAUUUUGAUAGGUGGUACCUGUGCCUGGUCAAUCUGAGUCAUUUUUUUAUCUUUAUUUAGGUCCUGGGUGAUGACAAAAACAGCAAUUUGCUUUCCCUCGUCUAUCUGAUCCCAUCACAUCACCCUGAAUCAGUUGAUGGAAUCUGGGGAAUCCAUUUCCGUGCCCUAUAUUCUGUGAGAACCUCUUAUAGAAGCCACCAGCUUCUCAGUUUGUUAUUGACUCUGCAUAAAGGUGUUGGCUGCUAUCAGCAGAAGCGGUAGAGAAUAUCACAGAGAAAAAGUUGCCUUGGUUGGGAGAACAUGGAAAUGUACAACAAAGUGUCCUUGAAGUAGAAAUUUUAGAAACUAAAAUAAUACAUGUACUUUAAGCGAUACUAAAAAUGCUGUGACAUCCUGUGUUAUUUAGUUAGACCAGAGGACAGCAAACUUUUUCUAUAAAGAGCCAGACAGGAAGUAUUUUAGGCUUUCCUGGCCAUGCAGUCUUUCUCAAUUACUCCAUUCUGCCACUAUAAUGAGAAAAUAGCCAUAGUGAUAGGUAAAUGAGCAAGCCAGUUGUUUCAAUAAAACUUUAUUCAUGUACACUGUAGUGUUUAUUUCACAUAAUUUCCCCAUGAUAUGAAGUAUAGUUCUUUUCUUGAUUUUUUUACCCCCAACUGUUUUAAAAAUGUGAAAACAAUCCUUAGCUCACAGGCCACAUAAAACAAGGCAUGAGCUGGAUUUGGACUGUGGGCAGUAUAUUAGCAACCUCUGGUUUAGACACACAUGAAGAUGAUAUGAUGAGAACAAUAUUCAGAUUUGGACUUAUAAAGAAAAUAAUGUGUUGUGUGUGUAUAUAUGUAUAUAUCUAUCUUUAUUUUAAACUCUCAAAUUUACUUGAACAUAUAAACACAUUUGCCUACAUCUGACUUAAUUUGGUAAUAAAGUGUGUCUCUUCAGUUCUAUUCAUUGAAUGCUUUGCUUUCUCUUCCUGGCAGUGGACAUGUUCAUGGUUGUAGUACAGCCUUGCACCACAAAACGGCAUUUUGGUCAACAACAGACUGCAUACACAAUGGUGGUCCUGUCAGAUUAUAAUAAUAGAGCUGAAAAGUUCCUGUUGCCUGGUGACGUUGCAGCCAUCAGAACACCGUAGUACAACAUAUGACUCAUGGACAUUAGUGUAAACAAACCCUUGUCCUGCCAGUUGGAUACAAGUACAGCACGUGCAAUUUUGUAGAGUAUCAAUACUUGGUAAUGAUAAACAACUACAUUACCAGUUUAUGUAUCUAUUAUACUAUACUACUAUUUUUGAGUAUAUUUCUUAUUUUUAAAAAAUUACAGUAAAAGAGUCUGCUGUUACACCAGCAUCGGUUUCAUACGUCUUUUUCUCAUAUUUGAUUUACUCUUUUUUUCUUCUAUCAUGGCUUAGAAGCAAUAGGCUAUCUUACAUAUGUGUUGUGCAUAUGCAUGUGUACACUUGCAUAUCUACAUACACACACACAUACACCAUAUAACCUAGGUGGAUAGUAGGCUAUAUCAUGUAGGUUUGUAUAAGUACACUCUAGAAGUUUGCAAAAUGACAAAAUUACCUAAGGACACAUUUCUCAGAAUGUGUUCCCAUUCUUAAGAUGAUUUCAUAUAGAGCAAAAUGAAGAAUUCUUACUAGUUGGCUUUAUAAAUACCCAAAUCAAGAGAGAACUGAGUGGUGCAGUUAAUCACAUUUCGAACUAUAUUCAUUCAUUCAGUAAGUAUGUAUUAAUGAUCUACUUCUUGCAUAGGGCAAUCCAUGGUAAUAUGGAGUCAAAGAGGUUAGAUCCCUAAGAGGUAGGUAGGUAGGUAGGUAGACAAAAAAAACCUAGUGACUUAUAAGUUUAGUGAAAAUGGUUUGGGCAUGUCACUGUAUAAAUGUAGACAUUUGAAGCAGUGGAUAGGCAGUCAGAAAAGGCUAAGUUUAAAUCUGAGCUCUUCUGCAUCUCAGCUGUGUGAACUUGGGUUGAUUAUAUAAACCAUAUAAGCUUCAGUUUCCUCUUUUUAAAAAUAGAGGUAACAAUAACUACUCUAAAGGAGGUUGUGGGAAUUAAAUAAGGUAACAUGUAAAUUAGCUAGCAUGGUACCUGGGAUGUGAUCAGCAGUCAAUAACUCCUAGCCAUUGUUGUAUUACAGCAAUAUGAGGAUAUAUCACUUGUUCACCCAGAAAACACAGUAGGAGGUGGGGGGAGCGUGACCUUUUCAGUAAUGAAGUCAUGGAUACAUAUGGAAACCCACAAACCUGAGGUUUGACACCUGGUAGAGAACAUUUGGGUGAAAAUAAAAGCAGAAGUAACAUUGUCCCAGGAAUAUGUAAUGAGGCACCAGGCCAGUUGACUUCCCUAGCAACCAGCAGCUGGAUUGUUUUAAGAAGCUCCACCUACAGGUCUGACUCCCCAGCCUGCCAACACUGAGAGGCCAGUUCUAACUGGAAGAAAGUGCAUCAAGGAUAAGAGCCCCUACCACCUUGCUUCCUUCCAGUCAGGUCAGCUGUGAGCCUUGGACACCUGUAGGUCCCUCCUACUAUGUUUUCCGGCUGUGUUUGCCCAAUUUUUGGCCUCCAAUAUGACACACUCCUUUCUGGCCAUUGUGCCUUGCAUCUAGAUCUCAGUUCUGAGAUGUGGGGCCCUGUCCUGGUCCCUAACUUACUUUUACCAUGAUUUUGAUGUCUUGUUUAGCUCAACUCUGACCAGUCCUCUUCUCCAGGGGGCUAUAUUCUAUUACCCACUCUUGCUGUGAUCAUCUUAGACCAUGGGACACAGGUCCCUUACCCUUCAUGGAUAACCUGCUGCUGGAGUAAGUCUGGACUGCUUGGUAUUAAUAGCUUUCUGAAUGUUUUACUUUGGUAUGGGACACCAGAUCUUGCACAGCCUAGCUUCCCUAAUCCAGGACAGCUCCUGUAUUCACAGCCUGGCCCUGGGAAUACCCCUACCCUGGUCUUGACUCACACCCUUUCUCCACUGGCCAUGUGCUGUCAACUAGUUCUAGCAUGCCUUGUGAUCCCGUUAUGGCAGCAUUCAAUAAUGCUUUCCAAGUAAAGAUGACAAAAUUAUUGGCAUAGGAGUGUAGUGGAGAAGUUCAAUUGAUCUGACAUCAUCAACUGACAAUAUUGUUCUGUGGAAAAGCGAGCAUCAAAUAAAGUUGGCACUAUUUAAAUUUAAACUAAUUGCUUAUUGAAGAAAUACUAUUCUAUGCCUGAUUAUAACCAGCUAAGAAGAAUGUGUUAGCAAAGUAGAAGUGACAGUCAACUUGAAGUAAGUGACCACAGCACCCUUGAAAUUGUAAUAGCCAGAGAAGGCAACUGCAUUCACUAACCUCAUGUGAAGACGAAGACAUCAUAUGUACAUGAGCCUGUCUGGGCAGGAAAUAGGGAAUAAAGCUCAAGAAGGAUGACUUGCAAUAUAUGUUUUUGUAAAAUCAGUGAUUUCAAGGAAGAAAAGAAAACAUUAGAAUGCUUGCUGAAGAAGUGAUCUGAUAAACCUGUGGGUUUGGGGGGUGGGAGUAUUUUGUUUUGUUUGUGGUACUGGGCUGAGCUAUAUCUCCAGCCCUUUUUGUUUUGAGACAGGGUCUUCCUAAAUUGCUGAGGCUGGCCUGGAACUUGUGAUUCUCCGGCCUCAGCCUCUAAUUUGCUAGGAUUACAGGCAUGCACCACCAUGCUCAGCAUUAGCUCAUAUUUAUAAAGGUCACGCAGGAAAGACUGGAGGAAGGAUGUACAGUAGUCCUGCCCUUAUCUGCAGGAAGGUUAUGUUCAAGGCCCUCAGUGGAUGCCCAAAACCACAAAGAAUAUCAAAUCCAUAUAAACUAUGUUUUUUUCCUAUACACAACAUACCUAUGAUAAUGUUUAAUUUACAAUUUAAGACACAGUAGGAAAUUACAACAAUAACUAAACUAGAAAAAUUAUGACAAUAUAUUGUAAGAAAAGUGAUUUAAAACUAGUGAAUUGUUUAUUUCUGGAAUUUUCCAUGUAAUAUUUUCAGACUAUGGUUCACUAAAGGUAACUGAAACUGCAGAAAGCAAAACCUCAGAUAAGGGGGAACUACUUUGUAAGAAGGGCCCAUGAGAAUAAUGCUUGAGGGGUUCAUGUCCAGAGGCAGCUGGAGUCUGGGAAUAGUACUGAAGACAAAGAUUGGUCUCCAUGUUUAUUUUUGCUUACAUUUAUAAUAAAGAAUGAGGGGUAGGGCUAUUGAAUGGGGCAGACUGACUGAUGUGAAUAGUUAAUUAAACAAACAGAACAGUUCAACUGUAGCCUUCCCUAGAUCCUAAGGUACAGAUUCUUUUUUUUUAAUAUUUAUUUUUUGGUGUAGAUGGACACAACACAAUGCAUUUUAUUUUUAUGUGGUGCUAAGGAUUGAACCCGGGUCCCGCCCAUACUAGGUGAGCACUCUACCGCUGAGCCACAAUCCCAGCCCAAGGUACAGGUUCUUUAUUCCCACAUUUUUAAUAUUUCUAAAAAUCAGAAUGUAUCUUCAAUAGGCACCUGUAAUGUGGUAAUGUGUUUUGGAAGAUCUUGAGGCAGUCAUUAAAGCGUGGUACAUCCUACCAUAAGUUGAUUUUAGAAUACAGGAAAUUUGGAAUUUUAUUAUUUUAGCUCUAACAGUAUUAAUUGCGCUCAACAGAUAAGGGGUCCACUUUGUGUCCUGAAAGUCGUAGUGCUGUUAGUGGUCACUGAAAGAUAGGAAAGCAUCAGAAAGAAGUUUGGAUGCCACAUUCAGAAGUGUGUUAUUCCACGAAGGAUACAGGAUUGGAUGAGCACUAGUGAAGAAUAAGAGUGGCAAAUACGAGGACCCAGAAAGGCCAAUGGGAUUCAAAACCUUUUAAAGACAAGGACACCACUGCCAUCCCUUAGAAGCCAAGUCACUGAACUUGUCACAGGGGGUCUGGAUGGAGACAGGGAAUGUAUGUUGAAAAGGCCAAGGGAGUUAAGAUACAGAAAAGGAUAAACAAUUAUAGAGAUAUUCAAGAUGGGGUUAGAUGGACAAUGGCUUCCCCUGGGCCGGAUGUUUUGAACUGUGCCUGGCACAUGGUACCACUAUGUCCUGCCUCUUCUGAACCAAUUAGGUGAUUGACUUUAAACCCUGAUGUCCUGGUGUCCAACUCCCUCAGCUUCUACUGACCCAAGGGAAGCCUCCUCUGAGUAGGUAUUUAGAGGUCGGGGAACACAAAACAGGGGAAGAUAUUGCAAAGUGAUUGAAACUUGGGCAAAUAAAUAGGACAAGGAAUGGUCCAAAUAACUAAAGAACCAGGUAACCAGAAGACAGAGACUUGGCCAGAAUAAAUUCAGGGGAGAGUUGAGGCUGUUGUCUAUUUGCAUCACAUCUUUGAAGUCCAUGUUAAAGAAGGAAUUCAGAGAACCUAUAGAUCAGUUAACCAUGGAGGAAAUUGUUCCAACCACAUCUGAUCAGACCUCUAGAAACUGCAAUGUGUCCAGGUGGUCCAUAUAUAUCUUGAACAUAAAGGGAAGGGUCCAUAUCUUUUCAUGAUCUGAGCUCUAGUGUCUAUGAGUAUGAAUAGAGGUAAGACAAACCAGCUUUUGAAUGACAGGGCAUCUGUCAUUUUCCAUGAAAAAACAAUGAUAUUGAUCCUUUAAAAUAGAACGUUAGUUGCCAUCUUACUUGCUUUCCACCUUUCCAACUGCUCCUUCCCCGAAAAGUUCUAGGAAAGCUGGGUUCUCCAGCACUACCUUCAUCUCCAGGGGACAGGGCACGUGGCCAGGUUAAGCCAAGCAGUGAAUAACAUCCCUUCAGACUUAAUGACUUACUCAAGUAUGGGCAUGAGACCUAAGUCAGUUUCAUCAAAGAGAAUGUCAGGAGUUUUGCUGGGAAUGCUAGACCAAAGAUGCUUCCUUCCGGAAGUUAAUGCACAAACAAGUAACCCUGAAAAUUCUUGGCACCAUCAAGGGACCACAAGAGGAGAGUCUGUUGAAAUUGGAGCUGUCACCAGUGGCUAAAGCAAAGAAAUGAAGUGAGAACUGUCAGGUCCUGUCCACAUUGUGUGAGGUACCUGACCAAACAGACCUGAAGUCUUUGAACUUUUCACUUCCAGGACCCAGAAAAUUCUAUUUUGUUGGUUAAGGUUUCUAUUUCUUGAAACGGAACCAUCCUCUCUGGUUCAAUAGGAUGGAACAAACAACAGUUAAGAAGGAAUGGAAUACGUUUCAGAUGAAUUAAGGGGUUCAUUGUGGAAAAUGACCCACAUAAGAAAAGUGACAUUCGUUGAAAAGAGGAAAAUGCCACAGGCAUUGCUUGAUCCGCAGGUGGUAAAAGGCCUUUGAGAACAAAAACAUAAAGCUUGAUGAUUUCUAAAAGAAAAAUGUUGAUAUAUCUGAUUACUUAGAACUUUUAAAUUUAUGGAGAUAAAACAGCAUCACAAACAAAAUUAAAAGGCAAAUGACAUGUCUAGGACUUUAGAUAGAACUAUAACAAAGGGUAGUGUCCUUAACAUAGAAAGGAAUCUUACACAAUUAUAAGAAAAACACAACAUCUCAAAAGAAUGAGUAAAGAGGCCAGGCCUGGUGGUGGGCCACACCUACAAUCCUAGCAACUGGGAGGCUGAGGCAAGAGGAUUUAGAUUUCAAUUUGGAGGUCAACUUGGGCAAUUUUGUGAGUUGCCGCCUCAAAAUUAAAAAAAUAAAAAGGAACCUGCAUGUAGCUCCACAGUAGAUUCCCUGUGUGUUCAAUUUCCAGAGCCCCCCACCCCCCCAAAAAAAAAGAAUAAAUAAGAACAUGAAAGGACAAAAAGAAAAAAGGAAUUCAAAUAGUCAUCGAAGAUUAAAAAGAUUCAGUCUCUCAAGAAAUUUGUAAUGUUUUGAACAACCAACAAUAAAAAAUUAAAAAAAAAAAAAGAUUCAGUCUCACAGGUAAUUAAAGAAAAUGCAAAUUAAAGUAAAAGCCUGGACUGGGGGUGAGACUCAGAGGUAGAGCAUGUGAUUAGCAUGUGUGAGGCCCUGGGUUCUCCAGCACUGCCCCAAACAAACAAACAAACAAAAAACCAGCCAGAUGCCUUUGAGCCUUGCAAAUGGUCAAAAACAUUUAUAAGAUGCUUUCUUGCAUAAAUAAAGAUUCAGGGAAAUAAUUGCACUCCUAUUAUAUUGGAAGCCUGAACUGAUAUAAGCAUUCCGCAGAGCAAUUUGUCAUUGAAUGUUAAAAAACCUUAAAAUAGGGCUGGAGUUGUGGCUUGGUGGUAGAGUGCUUGCUGCUUGCCUGGCAUUUGUGAGGCCCCUGAGUUCAAGCCUCAGCACCAGAUAUAAAUAAAUAAAUAAAAUAAAAGAUCCAUUGACAAUUAAAAAAAAAUUUAAACAGGGAAAUAAGAACAUACUUUUAAAAAAAUUAAAAUAUACAAACCAUUUAACACAGUAAUUUCAUUUUUAAGUCGUUAUUCAAAGAAAAUGAUUGGAAAUGCUCACAAAAUUUAAUGUAGAAGAACAUUUAGUGUCAUUUUUUUUUUGGUGGUACUGAGGAUGGAAUCCAGAGUCUCACACCUACAAUGCAAGGGCUCUCUUCUGAGCUGCAUACCAGUCUUUUAAUAUUUAUUAUAUUAUAUUAUAUUAUAUUAUAUUAUAUUAUAUUAUAUUAUAUUAUAUUAUAUUAUUUUUGCAGAACUGGGCACUCUACCACUGAACUACAUCCUCAGACCUUUUUAUUUUAUUUAUUUACUCUUAAAUUUUUGAGACAGAAUCUCACUAAAUUGCUGAGGCUGACCUUGAACUGACAAUCUUCCUGCUUUGGCCUUUCAAAUUCCUGGGAUUAGCCUGGCUAGUACAGCAUUCUUUAUAACAUUGAGCAUUUGGACAUCUAAGUGUCAAAAAGAAUUAUUGCACAUAUUGGUAUAUUCCUAUGAUGGAAUGUAUGUAUACAACAAAAAGUGGGUUUGGGAAGAUGUCAUGCCAUCAGAAAAUGUUGGUCAUUUAUUUUAAAUAUAUUUUCUCAGGAAAAAAAGACUAGUAAAAUAUUAACAGUGGUUAUAUCUUUUUUGGGUUUGGUGGGAGGGGCUACUGGAGAUUGAACUCAGGGGCACUUGACCAGUGAGCCAUAUCCCCACCCCUAUUUUGUAUUUUAUUUAGAGACAGGGUCUCACUAAGUUGCUUAGCACCUCAUUUUGCUGAGGCUGGCUUUGAACUUGUGAUCCUCCUGCCUCAGCCUCCCCAGCCACUGAGAUUACAGGUGUUUGCCACUGCACCCAGCAACAGUGGUUAUAUCUUGGUAGUGAACUCAAAUGGAUUUUAUUUUCUUCUUCAUGACUUAUGUAUAUUCUAAAUCUAUCUCAGCAGACAUACAUAUUCUUCCGGUCAGGAUAAAGAAAAAGUUUAAGGGACUGGGGGUAUAACUCAGUGGUACAGCACUUGCCUAAUCCCCAGUACUGCAAAAAGAAAAAUGAUAAGGAGGAAAGAAAGAGAGAGAGAGAGAGAAGAAAAAUUUAAGAUGAAAUGGGAUCCCAAGGUGAAUGAUGGCAAUGUAAAUUUAAAUAAAAUUUAAAUUUAGAUAAGAUUCAAAUUUAAAUGAAUUCAAAUCUUCAGAUCCAUAUAAACUACAUCUAGGGAUACAAAAAAUACUUCCAGAUAUGAUCAUAGACACAUUGUGAAGAAUCACUGAAGAAAGAAGUACCAUAUGCCUGAGGUUAGGCAAUUAUGCCAGUUUUUAAAAGGGGAAAAGUGAAUUCUAGAACCUAUUCACUGAUAAGUUUAGGUUGCUUGGGAAAAGAAAACCCGUAUAAGUAAGCGCCAGCGCGGGUUCACUUAAGUUAAAUACCUGCAAAUUACCCUCAUUUCCUUAUCUCCAUAUUCAAGUCAUGAGGUCUCCAUUCCAGACCUCCAGAAUAGGCAUCAUUAUUAUUCCCAUUAUGCAGAAGCCACAGGUCAGAGAUGUUAAGUGAUUUGCCCAAAAUCUUAAACCUGGUUUGUUUGGUUUUUUGGUUUUGUUUUGUUUUGUAGAUAAGGUUCCUAUGUCCAAAGAGUAGAGGCAUAUUUGUAGUACCUGACAUUGUAGAGAUUUUCUAGGGAUCCUGGUAGACAAUAUAAUGGGACAAUAUUAUACAAUAUAUUUAGUAGAUGAAAUGAUUAUAUACAAAAGUGGAUUCAUAGGACUUAGUUUACCUGGAGGUUUCUAAGUGGUAAUAAUAAUAAUAAUACCACUCACUGAUACUUAUUGGAUUCAAGGUUCUGGGCAGAAGUGCUUUCCAUCAUUACCUUUGUUAAUCUUCCCUAACAUCUGAGAAGUACUGAUAUCCUCAUUUUACAGAUGAGUAGACCAAGGCUCAGAGUGGUUUAUAAAUUCAUUUGUGAGUACAUAGCUAGUAAGUAGAGCAGCUGGGAUCCAAUAACAGAAAAUCUGGGUGCAGAACCCAUUUGCUUAACCGUCAUGCCAAAGUAUUUUCUUUUGGUCCUUGGCUCCUAUUAUAGUCAACAUUUUAUUUUUAUUUUAUUUUAUUAAUUUAUUCAUUUUAACAAGCAUUGAACCCAGGGGCAUUUAUCCACUGAGCCACAUCCCCAGCCCUUUUUAUUUUUUAUUUUUAAGACAGGGUCUUGCUAAGUUGCUGAGGCUGGCUUUGAACUUACUAUCCUCCUGCCUCAGUCUCCAGGGUCACUGGGAUUAUAGGCAUGUGCUACUGUGCCUGGCUUUUCUUUUUAUUAAAAGAAAGUUUUUUUAAUCUUGAGUAGCAACUCGAAAGGCAUACAUCUACUAAGAACACAAAGCUGAGAGAAUCCAAGGAAAGCAAGAAAACCAAAAUAUACUGAGCACUCAGUAGAUAUUCUACCCUGCUUGUUUCAGCCUCAGAACCACUUUGCAAUGUGGACAGGAUUAGCUCUCUUCUCAGUGUUAAGCUCACUGAGACUCAGAGAGAUCACAUGACACAUUCAAAGUCAGUGGGCUACCUAACAAAAGCAAAAUUUGAAUGUAGAAUGCCUGACUCCUAAGCCUUUGCUAUUUUUUUGCAGGGGGUGGGGUGGAGGUGGAAGGGUGCAGGGGGGUACCAGUUAUUGAACUCAGGGGCACAUCCCCAGCCCUAUUUUGUAUUUACUUAGAGACAGGGUCUCACUGAGUUGCUUAGCACCUUGCUGGUGCUGAGGCUGGCUUUGAACUCAUGAUUCUACUGCCUCAGCCUCCUGAGCUGCUAGGAUUACAGGCGUGUGCCACCACACCUGGUUAACCCUUGUUGUUUUUACUACUUGGCAAUAAAAAUCAAUGUAAAAACAUAAUAUUUAGUGAGGGAAAAAUGUUAAAUCCUGCAAUUGACUUUUAAAAGUGUAAGAUUUGGUGAGACCUAGUUUGUAAAACUUUCCAGUCCAAAAGAUGUCAGGAUAUUGAUUGUGAAGCACCUGGAGGCAGCAGUAUGGCCUCAGGACGCAUAUACAAUCUACAAUCUCAGGUGGUGGGACCACAGGGACCAUGUCCUGAACAAGGGAAAGGAUGCUCCUACUGGUUUGUACACUGCUUUACUAGAUGAAGACAAUUGCAAUUAACUUUGAAUUCAACAUUUUUUUUUUGUACCAGAGAUUGAACCCAGGGGUGCUUAACCACUGAGUCACACUCUCAGCCCUUUUCUAUAUUUUAUUUAGAGACAGGAUAUCACUAAGUUGUUUGGGGCCUUGCUAAAUGCUGAGGUUGGCUUUGAACUUGAGAUCCUCCUGCCUCAGCCUCCCAAGUCACUGGGAUUACAGGUGUUUAUCACCAUGCCUAGGUGAGUGCAACACUUUAAAAGAGAUUAGCUAUGGAUACUUGGAGGGAAAUAGCCAGCUGAUAAUAAAAUACCUACCUACCAACAAACAUACACGUGUGUAAAGACCAGAUUAUUUUGUAAAACUGAAACAAGUGGGAAAUCCCCAAGGGGGCAGGGGAGAGGAAUCUUCAGUUAGCAGAAGGACUGCUGUAUGGAAGAAACUCUUGUUGCAUCAGGUACAGCUCCAGAGGACAGAGAGCUGUGGUCAGAAGAAGGCAAGUUUAGGCUGAUAAAUGAAAAGCCAAAACAUGACUGCACCUGGGAUGUCUUUUUGAGCGUUGCAAUGCUGGUCUGCUACUUUGGACACAGCAGGUGCUCAAUGAAUAUAGGCUGAACCAAAUAGAAUGCUUGGCUGUGCAAACACUCAGAGGUUGUCUUGUGGACAGAAGCUGGAUGACCGGCCACCUGCUGUACUUAAAACUCCCAUCCCUACACCUGGCCCUGCUCCACCUUCUUCCACCACUACCUGGACUGCUCCCAGCCACACUGCAAAAAAGAGGCUUAGCUAGGUCCCUUGCAGACCAGCUUCUAACUCUCUAGACACUGUUUGUCUCAUCUUCUAAAUUACAGCACCUCCUUGUCCUUUCAUCCUGGCCCAUCAUUACCUCUCAGAAGGUGGCUUCUCCCUCUAUUGACAGACCUUACUCUGUCCCACUCCUGUGCCACCUCUCUGCAGGUUCGUUUCUAGUCCUACCCCAACCUCUGUUUCUUCUCUCCUGACAGCUGCCUGCAUGCUUUCAUUCUGGGCUCGUGGUUUGUCUUCCCCAGGACAUCCUAUCCAUUAUGAAGGCUUAUCUGAAUCUGUGCAUUCAGUCCAACCUCUCUCCUCAUCUGCAGACCUGUCAUUCAUUCAUACUGGACACCCUGCAAUUGCUUCAAACUUAAAAUGCUACUAAUCAUCCCCUCCACACCUGGUCUCCCUGUGUUGAAUGUAACUAAACUUUAACCUUGGCCUGUCUCCUGUACUGCCAGACUUACACCUAAUCAAUCAUGGUGUAUUUGAUGCUGUUUCUAAAUCCCCCCUGAUUUUAACACUACAUUUUUCUUUUCUUUUUUCGGUACAUGGUAUUGAACCCUGGGCUGUUUUCCCACUUAGCUAUAUCGCUAGUUCUUUCUCCAUCCUCCACCCCUUUAUAAAUUUUUUUUUUUUUUGAAGCCAGGAGCUGUGGCACACACCUGUAAUCCUAGCAGCUUGGGAAGCUGGGGCAGGAGGAUCAUGAGUUCAAAGCUAGCCUCAGCAAAAGCAAGGCGCUAAGCAACUCAGUGAGACCCUUUCUCUAAAUAAAAUACAAAAUAAGACUGGGGAUGUGGCUCAGUGGUUAAGUGCCCUGAGUUCAAUCCCUGUCCCGAAAAUUUGGAGACAGGGUCUUGAUAUGCUGUCCUGGCUGGUUCAAACUUGCAAUCCUCCUGCCUUGGCCUCCGAAGUAGCUGGGAUUAUGGCUGUGUGCCCCUCACCUGGCUAUUCACUACUUUUCAUUCCACUGUUGCCAUAGAGACCUUAAUCCCUUCCUUAUAGACUGUUGCAGUGGUUCGUAAUUGACCUUCCUGGCCACGUUCUCUCCUUAAUCUAGUUCAGCCUCCAUCUUGCUGCCAAAAUUCAUAUUUUUAUUUUUGAAACAUAAAUACUUAUGUCUCUCCCUUCUUUAAGGACCUCUAAGAAUUACUUCUCGUCUUCUGUGUAAAGUCCAUAUUCCUUAGCUGUUCAUCAAAGUUCUUGAAACCUACCUAGAACCUACUUACCAAUCAUCUCCAACCUGCACCAGACCGCUUCCUAUUCUCUGAACAUUUUCUCUUUUCACACCUUUGAGCCCAUUUAUUUAUUUACUUACUUAUUUUGCAGUGCUGGGGAUUGAGCCCAGGGCCUUGCACAGGUGUGGCAAGCACUCUACCAACUGAGCCUUUUUUAAAAAAAUUUUUUUAGUUGUAGAUGGACAUAAUACCUUUAUUUAUUUAUUUUUAUGUGGCACUGAGGAUUGAACCCAGUGCCUCACACAUACAAGGCAAGUGCUUUACCACUGAGCCACAACCCAGCCCUCUUUCCUCAUCUUCUUCCCCUUGGUGGGGGGGAAUAUAUUUUCUCCUCUUGGCCAACUCAUCUCUCCUCCUUCAGGGCCCAGCCCAAACUUGAGCACCCCUGGGGAAAGAAGCCCUCUUCAGAAGACAGGCCAGGGUGACAGAGAUGGUAUUUGUCUAUUAUUUUUGUGGUGCUAGGAAGGAAACCCAAGGUCUCAUGCACCCUUUGCAAGAUCUACCCUUAGCCAUAUCCCCAACCUCCAUGGUGUGGUAUUUAAAGCAAUGGACUGAAUGGGCAAUGACAGAGGUGCAAGCCCAAGGUGACUUCCAACAUUCAGAGAUCAGAAAGAGCCCAGCAAGAGACUAAGAACAAGGAGGAAGGAAGACAGCAAGUGUCAAUAAGAAGGGACCAAUCAUCUGUGCUAAGAGGCUACAGAGGGGGUGAGAUGUGGUCUGAAAACAAACCACUGGAAUCAACAUCAUGGAAGUCAGUGAGACUUCUCAGCUGUGUGUUUAAUGGAGUAACAGGAGCAGAAGGCUGAUUGGGUUGGCUUUAAGAGAUAGAGAUGAGGCAGUAGAUGCUUCUUGAAUGGGUGAAGCCUGGAUAAAUGAAGAAAUGAUAUAUGUCAGAGAGGAUCCCAUGAAUUCGGAACUAAUAUCAAUGAAUUAUUUUGAACUCUUAAAGUAGCUGAAAAAUUCCCAAGUAUAAAUGAGGGUGUGAUUUCAGUGUCAAAGUUCUUCACAAGUGACAAGAGAAUGCAGAGUAUGAUCACUGAGGCAGUAGAUUAGUCUAAGGACAGUUCUGUGUGAAUUCUGCUGUGUUUGUAUUUCUUCUCUCUCCCUCUUUCUGGCCUCAGUUCAUACAGGCCUCCAUGCCAGCCUUUUCUGAGGGGAAGAUGGAGUCCCAGGAAAGAGCUGUCACUACAGGGACUUGGUGUAGAAUUUUCAGAGGCCAUUUCCAAGUACCUCCUCCUGGUGUUGCCACUAAAAAACUUAUAAGGCUGCUUCUGUCCUUUUGGAGGCUGGGCAGCUCCAACCUGAACAGUCUGAAAAAGGUUAAGAGGAAAAACCUGCCCCAUCCAACCAUGCAAUUGAAAAUGCUAUGGGGUGUUUGUUUGUUUAUGUAUUAGGGUUUAAACCCAGGGGCACUUUACCACUGAGUAUUAUUUUAAGACAGGGUCUCAUAAAUUGCCCAGGCUGGUCUGGAAUUUACAAUCCUCUUACCCCAGUUCCCAAAUCACUGGGAUGGCUGGGGAUAUAUCUCAGUUGGUAGAGUUCUUGCUUAGCAUGCCCAGGUCCUGGGUUCAACCCGUAGCACCCCCCCCCCCAAAAAAAAAAAAUCACUGGGAUUAUACAUGUGAACCACCAUACCCACUUGUAUUUUGAAGUAUUUCUACAUACAAAAUUUUUAUAGUAAAAUAUAAUGGAAAUGAGCUAAGAGACCACCUAGAUUUGAUGAAAAAGUCCGCUGUUUCUAUUAGUCCCUGGAGGAUAAUAGUAAAGAAAUAUGGAUAAUACAAAACUUGGGGAGACCAGAGAAACCUUGACUGUGUGCUUUUCCCUCUGCAAUAUUCCUUAAAUAGUGAGUACAGAUCCACAUAGAAAGUGUUUUUACUUACACGACGGCAGACAAGACAUUUCCCUUUAUAGAGUCAUUCACGAGGAUCUCCAGGCCUGAGAUGGCAAACAGGACCCGUCAUCGAAUACCUAAAGCACCCGCCAUCAUACGACCUUCCUGCAGGUCUCCAGAGGCACAGUGUGAUCUUACUCAUGUCAUUGCACAUGCUGUCCCCCACACCCGGAGUGCACAGGUCCUCUUCCAGGAGUGCUUGGCUCUCAGACCACCUCUGUCCAAGGCCUUCCCUUUUCUUAUUCACUCAGGAACUAAAUCAAGGGUCAGGCCUGUUUCCUCCCCAGGGAGAGCCAUUCCUAUGACCUUUUUAGGUUGGUGACUCCCAAUGCCUGUGGGCACCCCACACAGAUCAAGCCAGAUUUCCCCUCUGUGCUCCCCAAACUAUUCUGGUCCUUAUCUCUUAUCUCCUCACCUUCCACAAUGAACAGCAAGUGUUUAAUCUGGCUCUUUACUAGGCUGUGCAUUUCUUGAAGUCGUUGAUUUUGUCUUUUCCCUGUUUUUAUCCUUAACAUCUAGAAUAUCUAAAACAAUACAUUUUGGGCCCAAGAUGUUUGUCAAAUGAAUGCAUGAAUGCUUGAGAGUGUGAGGAAAUGAAAACGUGAAUAAAUACAUUAAAAGAUCAGAAAAACUCUCUGACCUGAAGCUCAUGAAAGAACAAGAGUAUCAGUGCCUUUACGUAUGUGCUAAAUUUGUAUAGGUAAUGGCGUUUCCCAGGUCGACUCGAGGCAACAAGACCAUUAUGACAUAACUCCCACGGAGAGGGGAUGGCACCAGAGUGGCUUGUGAUGCAUGUGGUGCCAGCUGAGAUCCCUGCCGAGGAUGAGCAGAGUUGGUCGGGAGUUGAUUGGUUAGCUCUAGAUUCAUGAGAGCAUCUGGAUCCGAGGAGUCACGUGACUAUGUUGGUCCUUGUUAUUUCUCCCUAAGAGAUUUUUCAUUUUCAAAUGUAAGGGCAAGAUACACCUUUAAUAAACAUGUUUAUCCAAAAUGUGGCUUCGUUGUUAAUAAAAAGUGAAAAAUAAACCAGCAAUGACACCUCUUAAAUGGAAGUUACAUUGAACCAGUCAUUUCAUUCCCACCUCCCUGGAUUUCUUUCAUGCCUCAUUUAUAAAAUGAUAAUAGCCCUUACUAGUAUUUACAUUAUAAAAGCGUUGUUACUCUAAAUUAGAUAGUCCUAAAUGGGUAGGGUGUCUUCUGUGAAAGACAAGCAUUAUACACAAAUGAGGUAUUAUUAUUUAGUUUUUCCUUUUCAGUCCCCUCAAAUGAGAAUUAGAUGAAAAUUCUGCUUUAAGCAAUAUCUAGCAGGUAAAGAUUAUUGACUUUAGGGAAAUGGAAAAACAACAACAAAAAAAUCUUCAGCUGAAAACUCGGUUGGCCUUCUGCGCACCAACCAAAAAUAUUGGGCUAAUACGUGCUGUUUACUAGUGUUCUCUCUCUUUUCUGUGCUCUAAUCAGAAACUGAAGACAGUUAAGCCUUUCCGUUUCCUCACAGUGUGCACUUUAGAGAACCUAGACGUCCUGGAAGGAUCAUAAUUUAGAAAUCAAGUUUCCACUCUUCAAGUCACUAGGUAGUUUUCUUAUUCACUCAGGGACUAAAUAUACGGUCAGGCCUGUUUCCUCCCCAGGGAGAGCCAUUCCUAUGACCUUUUUAGGUUGGUGACCACCAAUGCCUGUGGGCACCCCCUUAGCAGCUCCUGGGCCAGAGCUUUGCUGUCUCCUCAAAAUUCGGGGUCAUGAUGGUAGGAGAGGGGGUUAAAAUUGGGGGACUGUUGUGAAUGUCAGAAACUUCGUAUCAUGAAGGCCUGAGAACUAAAGCAGGGCCUCAGAAGCAUGCAGGGUGGAGACAUGGACAUGUGGACAGCGUAAUCGCAUCGGGCCUCUGAGCUUUACUUCCUUUCUGGUUCUUUGGUCCCUGUUCCUGCACGGCCCCCUGGACUCCUGCAGCAUCCAAAGCCCCCCCAGCAUCCAUCCAUUAUGUCCUGGCUCACCUUCACUCCCUGGGACCAACCUUCAGCAUGGCUUGCCGUUCUGGUCAUCUGUUUUCCACCUGACCCAUUUAUUUUGGCUUCUGGAUUUUGCUCUCAGAGAGACUCCCUGCUUGCAUAGCUGCCUGGCCAGCUGUGGGGCCAGCUGCCUGUUCCUGACUCCAAGGUGACCAGACUCCUCUCCCCUCCCCUGGCUGCUCCCAUUACAUGAGCCAUGACAAUAGGUGAGAGAUAAUGACUGUGAGAACCGUGUCUGACCAGAUUUGUCCCUCUGUAGGUCAUGUCGUUGGUGGAUUGCUCAGAGAGGUCAGCGUACCUUCUUGCAUCUCAGCAGGCCUUGGCCCAGGAACACCUACGAGGAGAACAUAAAAUUAUAAAUAAAUGGCUUACCUUACAGUUCUGGCCUAGUCCAGGGCUACUGGUUGGACCAUGUCUGCCCAGAGCAUUGCCACAGUGGUCAGCUGCGCUAGUGUAAAUAAAAAUUCUUGAAAAUGGGCCUCCCUCAGGACUCAAUUUCCUUCCCUUGGGAAGAAGGUCUAGGGAUCAUGUCUUCUUCCACUUUGAAGGCAAACUUUUGACACACUGUCUGAAUUCAUUGGUCCCGUGGUCUCCUCAAUUCACUGUGACCUGACUUCUGUCCCCACCAGCCCAGCUCCUUACCAAAAUGGUCAAAUAUUUCCUUGGUGCACCUGUGGGUGCUUCUCAGUCUUUCUUACUUGAUCUCUUGACAGCAUCUGCCUUUGUUGCCUCACACCCUCGUGUAUGUGAAAUGUGCUUCCCCUCAUCCUCUGAGAUAAGCUCUGCUUCCUGUUGCCCCCUGUCCUCUGGCUGCAUCUUCUAUCUGCUUCUCAGGGUCCUUCCUCUGCCUACACUGUGAGCUUCACUGUGGAUUCUAUGGUCACUGAUGAUUUCUAAACCUGUAUCUUCUGACUUCUGGAUCCAACCGCCCUCUGGUGCUCUGACUGCUCACCAGGCAUCAGAAAGGAACCCAUCCAGGGCUGAAUGGGUCACAUGCUCCCCCACCUACUGUCCAUGUCGUUUUCAUGUUCUCCACUGUCUUAUGAGAGACAUCACUAUCCACCUUGUUGCCCAAGCCCAAAAUCUGAUCUGCAGUCUCAACUUCUCUCUCUUUGAAAUGUCAACAUGUAAUCAAUCACCAUUCCAGCGCAGGGUACCUCCUCGAUAACAUGGCUUGCACAUUUCUGCAUAAUGCAGUCCUUUGUACCUUUCCAGUUCUCAUCCCUGACCACUUUGCCUGAUUCGCUCUGCCUCACCUGCAUGGAAGUGCAUUCGGGGCUGGUACUCGGCCUGCAGGUUCCGUUCUGUUAUUUCCACAGUGUGUGCGGUGCCUCUACCUGAAAAGGACAUGCCACCUCCUUAGGAUUAACUCUUUCUGCUUAGAAGUCACUGAAUUCCCACUUCCCAUCCUUUUCUCUGCUCAACACACUGCUUCCUUAGAACUGGCUUUCCUGUUUCUACCUCCCUCUCUAUUGUGAGCCUCCUGGAAGCAGUGACCAUAUUUUAUCGUAUUCCCAGCACCAACAAAGUCUAUGGUACAAAAUAGAUGACUGAAAGUAAAUACCAAAGGUAUCAUUGUGAGGUAUAAGAUGAAUUUCCAACCAAAGAGCACAACUAGAAUUUUAAUAAAUAAAGAUUUAUCAAGUCCCUUAAUAAUAGAGGAAUGUAAAGAUUGAAAAUAUUUAGAAGAACUGGGCACACCUGUAAUCCCAGUGACUUGGGAGGCUGAGGCAGGAGGAUCACAAGGGUGAGGCCAGCCUCAGCAACUUAGCAAGGUACUAAGCAAAUUAGUGAGACCUUGUCUCAAAAUAAAAAGGGCUGGAGAUGUGGCUCAGUGGUCAAGCACCUCUGGAUUCAAUCCCCAGUACCCCCCCCCCACACACACACACAUUUUAGAAGAAUAUAUCAACAUUAAAAUCAUGAGCAGAGAGCAGUUGAUAGAGGCAGAUUUCCAAUCUGUCACUAUGAACUUCUUUUCCAGAAUUCAAUGUGCAGUCUCUCUGAGCCGAGCUUUGGGGUCACCUAAGUACCCCAUCCUCCAGAUUCUUCACAGGCUAUUGGACUUGGAACCCACUCCAUUCUUGAGAACAUGGGGAUUGGAAUAAGGUAAGCAGUAGCUUUUCAGCUUUUUCCUCUAUUGUUUUGCUUUCAACCAUGUACUGGGCCUGUAGAGUCUCUCUGGAGUCUUCGUUAGGAGAUGUGACUGGCUUCCUGGCAACUCCACUUGUCCUUAAGAUAUUUGAAUAUCCUAUGUGGACAGAAAAAUGGGAAGUCCUUUCAAAUUUUCUUUUUUUGUUUCAUGACUAAUUAAAUUCUUCAUCAUUGCUCUAUUGAUUUUUGUUCUAAUAUAAUUCCAUAUAGAGAAAGGGGGGUGUUGAGAAAUCAGAAAGACUUGCUGCCCACUUGGGAAGAACUUUUGGGUCAGACGCAUACUGGGAAUGAGGACCUGCGCAUUUUGCUUUAGCCAUACAGCCUGUAGACAGUCCCCACCUCCAUCCCUUUGUCCAACUUCUCCAGUCUUUUAUUUGCUUUCAUUUUUCAUAAAAUUGAAUGCAACUUACAUGUCUUCUUAUUUUUCAUUGUCUAUUUCCCCUUCUAGAAUGUAAGCCCCAGGAGGGCAGAGAUUUUGUUUUGUACAGCACUUGGAAUAGUUCAUGGAAAGUACUCAGUAAAUAUUUGAUGACUGAAUGAAUGAUUUUUUUUUUUUGAGAUGGUAUCUCACUAGUGCCCAGGCUGGUCCCAACCUUGCGGUCUUCCCUCCUCAGCCUCCCAUGUAAAAUGUUCUUCCAUGUAGCUAGAAAUACAGCUGUCAACCACCAUACCAAGCCUAAAUGAUGUCUUUUAAAAGUGUCAUAUAUAUAUAUUCUGGUUGUAGUUGGACAAAAUACCUUUAUUUUAUUUAUUUAUUUAUAUGUGGUACUGAGGAUCAAACCCAGGGCUUCACACAGGCAAGGUGAGCGCUCUACCGCUAAGCCACAACCCCAGCCCCUGAAAGUGUCUUGUUUUUAAGAGGCAGAUGCAUACCCAGGUUUCUAGAUCCAGUACAGGUCUGUCUUGCAACCAUGUGCCCCCUAAGACUUUUAUUGAUGACUAAGCUGGUGACAUUGAUGGGCAUACUGAACAAAGUUACAGAUGACACACAACAGUCAGGAUUUCCUCCCCCUAGCUCCUGACAAAUGUAAUAAUGACUCAUAUCUAACAAUCUAAAGCUAAUGGGUACAAAUAUAAAGUGCUCAAUGAUCCCAAAAUUCAAUUAUACAAGUAUAGAGUGGGGGCGGGAUAGCUUACAACUGCACAUGUCACGAAGAUUUAGUCCCCUGUUGAUUGUGAGUGGAUGAUGAGUCAACCUGGUGUGAUGUUGCUUAAAAAAAAAAAAUCAAUCUUUUGUGUUAAUAGAAAUAUGGUGUUCAAAAGGGAACUAGUUCUCUAAUACUUUCUGGUGAUCAGACCACAUUUGCUCUGUUUUAUGAAUGCUGGACUUCAGACAUUCAGAUGUUGAAAAUAAGGAGAUUAUUCAAGAAGAGUAAAAAGGAUUAUAAAGAAUCUGGUAAACAGUGUUAAUUAGAAAUAACAAGAGGAGCUAAGGUUAUGUGUGGGCAUGUGAGAGGAAGGUGAGAACUGGCAGUUCAUAGCUGCCUUCUGAAGUUCCAGGGACCGUCCCACAUUGGACAGAUUCGAUUUCUUUUGGGUAAUCCCAAAUGAUGGAUGGAAGACCGAUGAGUGGAAGAUGUAAGAAUGCAUAGCUUAAUUCCCUGAAACUUAGCAGCAACUCAAUUUGCUUAGCAACCAAAUGGACAAGCAUAGGAUGUAGUAAAUUCCUGACCCUGGUGGUACGACACCCAGAAGUUGGGUAGCCAGGCCCCAUUUGCAAUGGAAAUUUGCAAUGGAAAUUCAAACAGUGGGGUGAGGGAGUGGGGCGAAUGGGGUUAAUCAUCACAGAGAGCACACAGUUGUGUGUUGUUUAUGUGGCAAGUACCAUUGUAAAAGAUUCCCAGGAGUUUUCUUUCUAACUUACCCAUCCUAUUAGCUCCAUUUUACAGAUGAGAAAAAUGAGGCAUACAGGAAUUUUUUUUCAAGUUCUUACAUCUUGGUGCAAACCAGAUCCAGGAUCUGAACUCAGGCAGUCAGAUUCCUGACCUUAAUUAUUAUUCUAUAAAGACCUUUACUUCCAGGAACCCAUUCUUUCCUGUAAUCCAAUCCAAUAUAGUCAUCAAACCAAGGAGUUCAUUAUUUCAAAGAGUAGGUGAUUCUACAACAAGUAGUUUCCUUCUACAUGUAGUAUGUAGGGACUAAAUUCAUCUGGGCAUUUGCCACUCUUGGCACACUGGGCGGAGCUCAGCUUUGGACCUUGCAGUCUGCAGGUGCUCAAUAAUUAUUCAAUGAAAAGAAUAAACAAAUGCAAACUCAUAAGAUUGGCAGAAUCUCAGCACAUUCUAACUGGAGAAAAACAAGCACUUCCUGUGUGAUCUACGGAAGACACCAAGCAAAAGUGACAAUCCAUCCAGCAAAAGGCCUCAAGAAUUCCUGCUCCAUUGUUCGGACAAGGCUCAUUUGAAUAAAAAUUAAUUGAGUAACUGUCUGGUGCUGAGGAUGCAGAGGUGACUUAGAUACACUGUUGGUUGGGGAGUGGGGUGGACAGGUAAGCAGAUCACUAUUGUGUGUAUGUGUGCACACGUGCAUAUGUUUUAAGUAUCAUGGAAACAGAACAAAAGAAAGGAACUGAUUCUUCUUGGUUGAACAAGAUGUCUAAAACUUGAUUAUGUUUUAAAAAUAACUUCUUUAAGUUUUUUUUAAGUUGUAGUUGGACACAAUACCUUUAUUUUAUUAUUUAUUUUUAUGUGGUACUGAGGAUCGAACCCAGUGCCUCACAUAUGCUAGGUGAACGCUCUACCGCUGAGCCACAACCCCAGACCCUAAAAAUAACUUUUAUAUAUGUUAUCUUGCUUGAAUUAAUUCUGUCUUCCUGAAGACCACAUGAGACAGUGAUCCCUUCUAGUGUAGAAGAUGAGAUAGAGUCCCAGAGAGGGUCAAUGUGAUCCCCAAGGUCAUGCAGCUGGUACUAAUAGUUACUCUGGGCUGAGGCUCUGUGCUAAGCCCUUUUAGAAUCUUGAAGCCUCACAAAAACUCGGUAUGGUAGUUAUUGACAUCAUUGCUGGCUUAUAAAUGAGAAUAUUGAAGCACAAGAUUUAAAUACCUUGCCUAGAGUCACUUAGCUAGAAAGUGGGUAAGUCGGAUUGGCACUUGCAUAGCCUGCUUCAGCGGGCACACCCUAGCCCAUGGCUCUAAAACACUUUGACUGGUUCCCUGAAGAGCUGGAGCCACACAUUUGGACUCUGACUGCAAGUUCAGUUUUCUUUCACAGUACCUGGCUCUUUAGCAGCUGUUGCAUCUAAAUGAGAAGAAGUGGUAGGCUAGGGCUCUGGUUCAGUGGCAAGAGUGCUUGAAGAGCAUGCAGGAAGCUCUGGGUUCAAUCCCCAGUAACCCCCUCCUAACACACGCGGUGGUAAUGUGGACGCAAAGAGGUUUAUGUAGGUUGUGCUUUCCUGGUAUUUUGGGAGACAUAUGGUGAAAUCUAGAAUGUACAUUGACCCAACAACUGACCAGUAGCAUGGCUCAAGUUUUAGACUUUCUGUGUUAGGUCUGCAGAGUUUUUCAUGGCAGUUAGAAUUUGGCCUGCUGUUCCCCAGGACAGUGCUCUGGGUUCUCGGGGGAUAUUACUUGUUACUCAUAGAAACUAGCCACCAACACUUACCCUGCAGCCUUCUGAAAUGUAGUUUAAAUUUUUCUAAAAGGAAGAAGACGAGAUGUAAAAUAUUAAGAAUAAAGCAAGUUGAAUUCAAAACCUUGUAAAUUAGCAAGAAUGGAGAUACAGCUAAGGAGAAAUAAAGCAUAUAAUUGCUUAAAUUGUCCAAGCGUUCUCUCUAUAAUACAAAUUCUUGGGUUGAAAAAAAUAGUUCAAUCUGAUAUUAUUGUGCUUUCUUAAUUAAGUUGGGCUGGCUCUGUGGCAAAUCUAACUGAGAAAGAAUUGGUUACUAAAAUGAAUGAAGUAGAUUACCCCUUCCUCAAUAAUUACCACUUAGGCCAAUGUGGAUUUGACCUAUGAGAUCAAAGCUAUUGUGUUUUUAAGAUACCCAUCUCCCAUAAUUUUUUGGAGAUGUGGUAAUUUUAAAAUCAGCUGCAGGCCGGGAUUUCUGUGGUAGGCGGCAGGCAGAAAAGGUCAAAGCUCUUUGGCAUUCUUUCCUUCAAAGUAGGUGGGGUUUUUUGGUUUGUUUGGUUUUUAGUGUUUUGUUUUGAAAUUUAUGGAAACUUGGUAGAUUCAGCUGAUUAUCUUGGCCUUUGUGUUUAUGGAUUUCUAUUUUCUUGGCUUUAGGUCCCUGGAAACAUUUGUUCCACCAGUGGCAGGAGAGCGAGUUUUGUCAUAUUUUAUUUUUGUUGUUCCAAUUGAUUCCUAAUAUUCCUUAGUUCAAGUCUACUUUCAAGGUGUCUAUCUCAUAGCCCGUCUUUAUGUCUCCACAAAUAAAAUGUUCCUGGUAAUAAUCGUUGUGACCUUAUAGGAACAGUUGAUGUGAGGCUCCCCCGUUGAUGCUCAUCAGGAUGAUUCUGUAAUAACAGUAGCUAGAACACUGAAUUUUAUCACUGGAUGUAGCAUUUAGCAUACGAAAUUUCAAGUUUCUUAGAUCAAUUAUUUUUGAGUUACCAAGUAGCUGUAAUCUCAUAAACAUUUUUUUUUCGAUUCAUUAUUGAAUCAAUAAAACUUGGAAAAUUCUUUUCUCGUAUAUCCAAUUCUUUAAGCCUGAAGGUAAAUUACUUUGAAAAAAACACAUCACAGUUUCUCAUACAGCUAAGAGCAAAUGAAUAGAGGGGGCUCUGCUAGCAUUUGGGAUGUACCUCUAAUUAGAACUCUCGGUAUUUUCAACAUAUAAUUUACUAAAAGUGAGGGUUUUAAUUCCAAACUUUGAGUCCAUGGGGAUGAAACAAGUGACCCCUGUUGGAAAUAUGUCAAGAAUCAGUUUUCUCAGGUUGACCUUUAGCUCAUUCAUCGUUAAAUCAAAACAUUGUCUAUGCCUAGAUUUCAAGAUGUCUGAACUUUCUUAAGUUUGCUAAAAGAUCAAAGCAGAAGGCUAGCACUGCCGUUGUGGAGAACAGAUUACCCUCUCCCUCCUCCCGGACCCUUGACUUUGAUUUUGCAUGAGAGCAUGUUCCACCUCAGCUAGCAACAUUUUUGCUCCGCUAUUGAGUCAUCUUUACCUCCUGUAUAUCUCAAAGGAUGUGGGGGGAGCAGGGUACCUUGUUUUCACAACCAAAAUAGAUGGAUAUCAACCUUGAACCAGUUUAACCUACUCUCCAAUACCAGGCUGGGUUCUAGACACAGAGGACUGUUACAAAUGUUCUCAGUUGUCAUUAUUCAUAAUGUAAAAGUGGAUAACACAAGACUUGGAAUAGCUUAAUUACUAUGUGACCUUGAACAAGCAAUUGAAACUCUUUCAAAAAUAACUAUCUCACAAGGUUAUUGAACUAAAUGAUUGGGAUUAUAUAUAAAAAUACUUAGCACAGGGCUGGGGCUGUAACUCAGUGGCAGAGCACUUGUCUAGCAUGUGGCAGGCACUGGGUUCAAUCAUUAGCACCAAAUAAAAUAAAGGCACACUGUCCAUCUACAACUACAAAAUAAUAAUAAUUAAAAAAAACUUAGCACAAAGCCCGGAAAAUAGUUGCAAGUGUAUUAUAUGAAGCAUAUAAUAAUCCAUGGAAACUCAAAAUAAAAAAAUGACAUUAUCUUCCUCUAGCAACUUUUUAAUUAGAAAGUUUCACAUCCAAAUGAAUAACUACAUCUACCUAUGACUUUUCUUUGAAGUCUACAUUCAGAACAAAAAGGUACUUCAAUGAUAAUCCAUUCAUAUUUCAGAACAUUUCACAACAGUUUAUAUAGGAGAAAAUUAUGUGAAUAAAAGGAAGAAUGAGAAUUAGAUAAGUAACAUUUCUCUAUUUAAAAGUGAUGGAGAGAUUAUAAAGCAUCGGGAUGAUUUUAUAAUUAUAUAUGCAAUUAUGAAAUAUGCAGUUAUUUUAAGUUUAUUUGGUUAUUAAAAGUUUUAUUGAUCUGAAAGGAUUGAUUUUAAAAGACUAAUUGAAUGACUAACCAUGUCAUACUUCAUAUUAGUUUUUAAUAUACUAAAAAUACCCAUUAACUAUCUUUCUUUCAUUGCACCUGUCCUGGCCUACAUUAAUUUUAGUGAUACAAAAGAAGCAAUUCAAUUUGAUAAGUGUUUGUUCUCACUGCAUAUCAGAAAAUAGGAAAAAGAAGCAUUCCCUCUGUCCUCUGAACCCGGAAGAAAGGACUCUCCCACGUUGUCAGGCACUAACACUGUAGCAAAAUUACAGAGAAAUUUUGUUAGGAAAUCUUUGCUCAUCUGCAGGUUAUUUGACUGAAAUCUGAGGUGCCAUAUUUCAGCACAAAGGUGACUUUCGAGGAGAAAGUUUGUGCCAAACUGGAUCAGUUGUUUCUAUGUUACGUAAGAAGGAAGGGGAAAAAAAAUAACCAUUUACUUCCAAGCUAUAAAUUCAAGAUGAUUCUGUUACGCCAAAAGACAGAAUUUCCAAGCCACAAACUUGAUGUUAGGGAUAGAUUUUCAUAAACUAUUACCUGUACCCACUCAAAACUAAAUAUAAUUAAUACCAAAUGAGUCGCCUUGCCUAAUUAUAUUUAUAAAGUAUGAAGUUAUUUUAUUCAUUGCGUCAGAGUUGAAUUAUAGUUGAAUUGUAAAAAUGAUAUUGUUAAACAAAAUAUUUCUCUUUUAAAAUAACUUUUCCUGAUCAUGAAGAAUGCAUGUGGGGGCUGAGGGUGUAGCUCGGUGGUACAGCGUGUGCUUAACAUGCAUGAGGUCCUGAGUUCAGUCCCUGGCCUCAGAAAAUAAAAAGGAAUACAUGUGCAAUGUAAAAUAUAUACGUAGAAUAUACAGUACAGCAAAAUAAAGAAAAUAAAAAUCACCAAAUCACUGAAAAUUUUAUCACACAGAGAUAAUCACCAUGAAAACUUUGUAGCAUUUCCUUAUAAUGGUAUUUAUGCAGUGUCUGUGCACUGGCAUGUGCCUAAUGUGCAAGCCUCAAAAUACUGACUAUAUGAAAUGCAUAUUAAAUUUUAUUAUAGAAAUUUCAAAACAUAAACCAAAGUUGACAGCAUAAUGAACCCCAUGUGCCUAUCAACCUACGCUUGCCAAUCAAGAACCCCUUCUACUCUCUUGUUCUUAUUUUUUCUUUGUAGUGCUGGGGAUCCAACCCAAGGCUUUGAGCAUACUAAGCAAGUGCUAUGCUACUGAGCUACAUCCCCAGUCCUCUUUACCAUUUUAUUUUGAGACAGGGCCCUGCUAAAUUGCCCAGGCUGGCUUCAAGCUUGUGAUCCUCCUGCCUUAGCCUCCUGAAUAGCUGGGAUUGCAGGCUUGCACCACCGUGCCAUCUUAUUUUGAAGUAAACUCCAGAUAUCGUAUCAUUUCAUCCAUAAAUAUUUCAAUCUGGAUCUUUAAAAGAUAAGAACUUUUUAAAAAUUCACCAUUUUCACAUAUAAAUUAAUGAAUUAUUUAAAAGUAUGAAAUAUUCAGUGUUCAAAAAUUGUCUCAUUAAUUCCCUAAUGUUUUUAAAGCUUGCUUACUUUGUUGUUUUGAAGUUUGGGGUACUGGGGAUUGAACCCAGGGGCACUUUACCACUGAGCUACAUCCCUGGCCCUUUUUUAUUUUGAGACAGAGUCUCAACUGAGUUGCUUAGGGCCUCACUAAAUUGCCCAGACUGGCCUCAAAUUUGAAAUACUCCUGCUUCAGCCUCCUGAGUCACCAGGAUUACAGGUGAGCAGGCCACCAAGCCUGCAGCUUCUUUGUUUGAAGCUUGAAGCAGGAUUCAAAUAUGUUCACACAUUGAGAUUGGUUGAUGUUAUCUGUCUGGUCUGUCUGUCUCAGUCUGUCUUAGCCUCUUUCUCAUUUGUUUGUUUGUUUGUUUGGUUUUUUUCCCAGUGUUGGGGAUCAACUCAGGACCUUAAGCAUGCUAGACAAGCACUCUACCACUGAGCCACAUUCCCAGCCUAAUAUCCUCUUGAAGCUCUGUUAGUAUAUAAGUUACCACUGGGGCUCGGGGUCUAGCUCAGGGAUAGUGUUCCUGGGUUCAAUCCCUAGUACUGGAAAGAAGGAGAAGAAGGAGGAAAAGGAGAAGGAGAAGAGGAAUGGGAGAAGAGAGGUGGGGAGUAGAGGGAAGAGGAUGGGGAUGGGAAGAGAGGGGAAGAAGGAGAAAGAAGAGAAGAAACCAAACCUGGCUGUUUCUCCUGUAGUUUCCCAUCGCUGGAUUUUCCUGCCUACAUCCUCAUGGUAUAGUUAAUGUGUUUCAUGUUUCUCCAUCUUUUGUAUUUCCUGUAACCAUCUACAGCCUUCACCAGAUUCAGUUUUUUUUUUUUUUUUUGCUUAUUUGCUUCACAGGUUGUGGUGUUUUGUCAUUAGGAUGUGCAUGAUGUCUAAUGAGCUCUUCAUUUGUGAUGUUACCUAGGUCCACUAGUUCAUUAAGGAUUGGAAAAUGGUAGUAUUUGAAUCUUAUUAUUCCUUGAGUUGAUAUUUUGGCAUGUGUCAAUAGUGUUUCCAUUGUUUGUUUUAAAUAGCUUUUGUUUUUUUUGUUUCUGUUUCUCAAUUAUAAUUAGAACUCAUCCUUUGAAACAGACUUAAUGUAUUACAGUGUGUCUAAUUUUUUUUCUUCUGGUUUUGUUGUCGUUGUUUGUUUGUUAUGGUACUGUGGAUUGUACACAGGGUCUUGUGCUCAUUUCUUCUACUUAUUGCUCAAAUGAUUCCUAUUUGGUCUGUGAUAGCACUUCAGACUGUCUUCUGACUUCUUCUGACACGACUCCAGGUUGCCUUUGAUAGCUGCCCUGCUCUUUAGUAUAAGAUGACCUCGGCUCACCUUGUAUAUUUCCACAUAGUAAAAAUAUGUUUGUAUUCAAAACUUCAGUGUGUGUGUGUGUGUGUGUGUGUGUGUGUGUGUGUGUGUCUCCAAAAGCCAUAGGGCAGAAACGACCUUCUAUAAUAAGACUAGAAAUGAAGCAAAUGUCCAUUAAUUGGUUGAAUAAGCUAUAAUACUCCACACAAUGGGGUUCUCUGCAGCUAUAAAAUGGAAUUGGAAGGCCAAGGCAGGAAGAUUACAAGUUCAAGGCCAGCCUCAGCAACUUAUCAAGACCUUCCUUAAUGAGAACUUGUCUCAAAAUAAAAAGGGCUGGAAAUGUGGCUCAGUGGCAAAGCACUCUUGGGUUGAAUUCCCAAUACUGGGGAAAAAAAAAAGAUACUGGGAAUCUUUAAAUAUAUGUAUUACAGACUGAUCUCCAGGAUGUAUUGUAAGCAAAAAAGUCAGGGGAGUGCUGGGCAGAAUGGCACACUCCUGACAUCCCAGCUACUUGGGAGGCUGAGGCAAGAGGAUCACUUGAGCCCAGGAGUUCCAGACCAGCCUGGGCAACAUAGUGAGACCUGUCUCAAACAAACAAAGAAAAAAAUAUGAGGAGAGAAAAGCAAGUAAAGGAUACUACCACAUAUGUAAGAAUGAACAUAUGUGUGUGUGUGUAUAUAAAAUAUACACACAAACAUAUACAUGCAUAUAUGUAUACAUAUUUGCUUAUAUUAAAAACACACAAUGGAAGGAUAAACAUCACAAAAAUCAUAGUUACUUAUAGAGAAGAAGGGAAUAAAUUGGAGGGAAUAGGGAUCAAAACUGGACAGCUUUGAAUUUACCUUGCUUCGUAGAUUUGACUUUGAAAUCAUGUAAAUAUUUUACAUAAUCAUGAAAAUAUUUAUUUUAAAAAUGCAGUUCCUAAAUGUUUUUAAAAAGACCUUGUGUAUCUAAUUGGUGGCCUACAGAGAACUAUGUAAAGUGACUUCAAAACAUACUAAUUUAAGCCACACACACAGCAUGUCCCUGUCCCAGCUAUUUGGGAGACUGAGGAAAGAAAAUUGCUUCAGUCUAGGAGUUCAAGACCAGCCUGGGAAACAUGGUAAAAUCUUGUCUCAAACAAAACAAAACAAAAAAUUCUGCGUAAUUUGGCUAUAUAUCCUUAUUUGGAUAUAUACUAAAGAAAAGGCAAAAACAUUUUUAAAGAGUUUUUAGUAGUUAUGAGCCAGGCGUGGGCACAAGUGGGAUUACGCCUGGAAUCCCAGCAGCUCAGGAGGCUGAGGUAGGAGGAUCCCAAGUUCAAAGCCAGCCUCAGCAAGAGCAAGGCACUAAGCAACUCAGAGAGAACCUGUCUCUAACUAAAAUACAAAAUAGGUCUGGGGAUGUGGCUUGGUGGUCAAGUGCCCCUGAGUUUAAUCCCCGGUACUCCCCUCAAAAAUAAGUUUUUAGUAAUCAUAUUGUUGAUGGUAGUGUCAAUAUUGCUAUUCUGGGAAACAUGAGAUAAGCUAAUAUGAAGGACUAUUAUAUCAUGCUUGGUGUCCUUGGGAGUCAGGAUCCACCUGUGAGAAGAGGAAUGCAGAUGUUAAAUAGAAGAGGUUAGGUACAACCCUGCAGGCCUGAAUUUGAAUUAGAAGUUAUUGAUAUAAACUGACAAUAUAUAUGUCUAUAUAUAGAUAUAUUUCCUAGCUCCUCUGUUCACUGAAAAGACCUAGAAACAAAACCAGCAGCAGUGAGCACCUCUAGUAUCUAUAUUACGAUCUGGCUGAGGCUAGAAAAAUAUCAACACUUGUAUACAUAAACACACAUUAUAAAUAUAUGUUCACAUAUAUAGUUAAUGUAUAUUUAGCUGUUCUUUUAUUUUCAGUUCUUUACACUUAGAUUUAAUGAUGCGACAAAGCCUUUGUGCAUCUCUUAUUUCCUAAGUACAAAUUUCUGUAAGUGGAUGAAAAUGCCCAGCAGGUAGGAACACUUUGAAGCUCUUGAUUGAUUGUCAAAUUGAUUGUCAAAUCGCCUCUAGAAAAGUUAUAACAGGUUCCAUGCCACGUGACAGGGUGGGAGAGAGUGACUGAGUCACUGUGCUCACAGUGAUAGAUAAUUUUUGGACAUUUACGCCAACAUAUUUCCGUCAAUCUGAUAAGUGAGCUACAACUACUCCUGUAUUUCUUUGUUUUCCUCUCUUUGAUUUUUCUUGUGAAGAAUUUUUUUAAAAAAUUAUAAAUGCCACAUGAAAAACCAUAUUGACAUAACACUCUCAUAGUUAUGUUGUGAAUUAAUAAUUAUGUAUCAACAGAGAUUGAAAUGGCCUCUUCAAACUUAAUGUAUUACUUCAUCAUUAAUGUUUUGUAUUUAUACUUUAGUUGUACAAGUACACAUUACAAAUGUAUUAAGAUAUGACUUGUUAUAGAUUUUUGGUAAUUUUGGUAGGCACCUUUGAAAUUCCUGAGGAUUUUCAUUGUAACCUCAUCUUUGCAGAACUCAUUAUAUGUGAAACUUAUUUCCCAGACAUAGUUUAGGAAGUUAACUAACUUUGUAAACACUGUUUUAUAUAUCUUACACAUACAAUUCCCUAGCACUAUUCCCAAUCACCUAUGAAAGCCAAAAAAUAAAAAUAGUAGCUUACAGACAAAAUCACCUACUGCUGCUGCUAGAGACCUCUUAAAGUUCAUCUGGUCUAACCCCUUCAUUUUAUACUUUGGAAAACUAAGGCAAAGGGCAGUUAUGUAACUUUAUUAAAGUCACACAGCUUCUUUGGGAUAAAAACCCAAAUCUGAUUGAGUGCAGUGCCCUGUUCAUGUAGCUUCUCAGAAUGAGCAAAACUUGAAGGUAGUGUGCAAAAAUGGGAGUAGCCACUGUGCUAGGGAACUGGAAUUUGGGUGUCUAUCUUCAAAAUUAUGUUACGUUUUCAAUAAAAAACCUUAUAGAAAAUGGAUCAAUAACAUUGUAAAAUUAGAUAAAAUGUAGUAAUAUUUGAGAAGAUAGAGAUAAAGUAUGGUGUUUCUAAUAUUUAGGAGGGAUUUAUAGUAAUCAAAAUAUAUGGCAUCUGAAUAUACACACAUACAUAUAAUAUAUAUAGCAUAUAUAAUAUAACAUAUUAUAUAUGCUAUAAAACACAUAUUACAUAGCAUAUAAUGCAUAUAUUUAUAUAAUGUAUUGUAUAUGUUAUAUAUAGUAUAUGUAUAUGUGUUUGUAUAAUUCAGGUGCCAUAUAUUAUACAUAUUAUAUGUAUAUAUAAUAUAUAACAUAUUGUAUAAUAUAUUAUAUAUAUGUAUAUAUUCCUGUGCACUGUUGAAAGCACUUUAUUUGCAUUAUCUCAUAAUCUAAAAUGCAGGGAGAUUCUAUGACUUGCCCCAGGUUGCUCCAGAGUGUCAGACUCAGGAUUUGAACCUGGGCAGACAUAGACAUACUGAUUCACUUGAAGUUUCAAGUCUCUCCUAUCAAUUGCAUUGCCAUUGAGGGUUGGUGAUCGACUAAGUCUCAUCAGUAAUUUCCCUACAAGGUCAAAGUGACACCUUAGAAACCCAUUUGUUCGAGUGAGGACGUAACUUCAAUGGUAGAGAACUUGCCUUGGCAUAUACCAGACCCUGGGUUCAAUCUCUAGCACUGCAAAAGGAAAAGGAAAAAGAGAAGAAGAAAUCUACCACUUUGAACACUAUGAUGAAAUUUCUUGGUGCAAAAUUUCUUAGAGAUAGUUCUUCUAAGCCCUCAUCUGUCACUUGCUCACUAUGUGAUUUUUCAUUCCCUAUCUUCAAAAUGGGUGUGAUAAUAUCUAUUCAUAGUAUUUUAGAGAAAUAAAUAAGGUAAAUUGCAUCCAUUUAUUUUUUAUUUUUUUUAGGUACCAGAGAAUGACUCGGGGGCACUUGACCACUGAGCCACAUCCCCAGCCCUAUUUUGUAUUUUAUUUAGAGACAGAGUCUCACUGAGUUGAUUGGCACCUCGCCAUUCCUGAGGCUGGCUUUGAAUUCACAAUCCUUUUGUCUCAGCCUCACAAACCACUGGGAUCUUAGGCUGCACUACCAUGCCCAGCAAAUUGCAUCCAUUUUUAGCAGAAUAUCUAACACAUAGUAAAUAUUCAAUAAAUAACUGAUACCUUCAACCAUCACAGAUAUCCUUGUUGGUAUAUCAUCAUUAACAACAGUAUGGCUAUUACUUCUUUCUCUCUGUUGACCUCUUUUUUUAAUGCAAAAGCUCCGGGAAGGGAUGUUGCAUUACCCUUGGGGCUAGUGACUCAUUAGUUGUUUUCCUCCUGACAGGAGUGAGCAGAGAGGUAUUAAAGGCAAGAAAGGAAGGGAGAUAUCAAAGAGAGGUGGGAGACCCCAAAAGACUAUUCAAGCUGAGUUUUCCCCCAGAGUAGGUGGGAUAAGUUUACAAAAACAGCUCAUUUGAAGUCCAGUGCUCUUUUAUGAGAUCCUGGGAUCUUUCUUAGGAUUCCAGGAGGCCUGAGAGGGAAUGAGGAAAUUCCCCCUCUUAGCAGACUGCGGACACCAGCUGCCCAAGGACUCCCAGACCCCAUGUUCACCUGCUUAUUAAGCCAAGUUUGUAGAAGUAGCAAACAACCUUCCACAGUCGCUUAUGUUUACUGUGCCUGGAAAUAGGCAUUUUGCCGUGGAAAAGAUCCUUAUUGUACCCAUAAGCCCAGGACUCGAAUUGCACAACGUAAAAGGUCUUAUUAAGACUUCUUGUGGGGGCUGGGAUGUGGCUCAGCGGUAGAACACUUGUCCAGCAUGUGCAAUGCCCACAGCCCCCCAAAGACUUGUUCUUUUUUUUUUUUUCCUUUGGUACUGGGGAUUGAACCCAGGGGCACUUAACCACUGAGCCACAUCCCCAGUCCUUUUUUGUAUUUUAUUUAGACAGGUCUCAACUGAAUUGCUUAGGGCCUCAGUAAGUUGCUGAGGCUGGCUUUGAACUUGUUAUCCUCCUGCCUCAGCCUCCCAAGACCCUGGGAUUAUUGGUAUGCGCCUCUGUGCCUGGCUCUGAGUGCCUUUUUCUGAGGUGUCCUUCCACUCUUAACUAAGAGGUUAGACGUCUAAGGGUGGCCUGCAGUGACAUCCUCGUACAUCCUUCCAGAACCCUCAGGUGGUCACUGAAGUUAAGGCCACCAGUUUCUCCCUCAGGUCCAAGGAUCUUUUUAUCUCCUGUAUUUUAUUUUUCAUCUUUAUGAAAAGGACAUAGGCAAAUGAUACAAAAUAAAAUGGUGCACAGGGUAUUCAGUGAAAGGUACAUCCAUCUCACUCCCAGUGCCACGGCCCAGAGGUCCCCACCAUUUCUGCAUCCUGCUAUUCUGGGUGCUUGGGAUCGAGCACAAACAGCACAGUCAGGUCCCUGCCAUCUAGUAGGAGUCGAUGGCCACAAACAAGACAUGUGAUCGGAUGAUCAUAGAGCAUGCUAGAAACGGUGAGUGCUAUAAACAGAAAUGGGCAAAGGUGGGGGCAGUGUUAGAAGUCACCGAGGCCACACUGAACAAAGUCCGGAAGGAGAAGAGGGAAAGAGCUGCUGUGGGAGAGGAGUCUUCCAGACCCCAGGAGAACAAGAGCGGGCAAGUUACACAUGGCGUGGGGACAGGGUUUGAUUUUCAUUUAUAAAACGCAGAGCCUCACAGAACAGGCGCUCUUCGGAGCACCUGACAUCUGUUAACUCUCUGCUUGUCACAACAAGCCCAGGAACUCUUGUCAUCCAUUAUAAAGGGAAACUGAGGCAUAGAAGAGUUAGGGGAGGUAUCCAAAGUCACAAAGCUAGCGAGUAGUGAGACCUGGACUUUAACACAGGCUGCCUGGCUCUGGGCCUAACCACUGCUCUCCAUGCCCCACAAUAGGGCAGGGGGCUGGGAGAGGGGUGGGGCUGGUCCUGAGAGUGAGGUGGGACCCUCAGACAGUCUUGAACACAGGAGUGACAGGUGCAUUUGCUCAGAAAAUCCUGACACGCCACAUGCUUACCUGUCUAUGUACCUGUACAUGAAUUUGUCCUUUAGGUUGGCCAAUAAAUUUAAUGCUAAACUUUAAAGCAAUUUUCUUUCUUAUAAAUAUUUUUUAAUUGUUGAUGGACCUUUACUUUUUAUUUACUCAUAAGUGGUGCUAAGGAUCAAAGCCAGUGCCUCACACAUGUUAGGCAAGCACUCUAUCACUGAGCCACAACCCCAGCCCUAAAGCAAUUUUCAUUUAUGGAAAGAAGAAGGAGGUUUGCUAUUACAUAUGCUUUAGUUAAAGACGAUAUCAAACAAUAUUUCGGUCAUGAGUAAUUGCUUCUAUUUUUAAAGUCCUACAAAUGUCUAUUCUGGGGCUCUGGCAAUACUUGUACCUGUGACCAGGUUUCCUUAGGACAACAGAUCAACUUUUUUGUUUCAACAAUUCAUUGGUAUUUUACAUUCACAGUGUUGUGCAACCAUUGCUACUCUCUGGUUCCAGAACACUGUGGAAAGAAAGUCCCACACCUGUUACUCUCAGUUCUCCCCUACCCCUGGUUAACCAUUUCAAUUAACAAUGGUAUCUUAGCCACGGAUCUAUAUUCCUCUCCAUGGAUUUCCCCUUUUUGAGCUUUUCACAUAAGUGGAAUUAUGCAGUACAUGACCUUUUGUGAUGGGCUUCUUCACUCGUUUUCAAGAUCCACCCCUUUUGUAGCAUUAUUAGUCCUUCAUUCCUUUUUAUGGCUGAAUAAUACUCCUUCUAUGAAUCUACCACAUUUUGUUUAUCUAUUCAUCAGCCUGUGGACAUGUGAGUUGUUUCCCCUUCUUAUCUGUUAUGAAUAAUGCUGUAAGAAACCUUUGUGUACAUGAAUUUGUGUUAACAUCUUUUAUGAUUCUCUUGAGUAUGUUCCUAGUGAAAUUGCUUUGUUUUACCACAACUUUUUAAAAGAAUGUUUAGUUGUCAAUAGACCUUUAUGUUUUAUUUAUUGAUAUGUGGUGCUGAGAAUCGAACCCAGUGCCUCACACAUGCCAGGCAAGCACUCUACCAUUGUGCCUCAACCCCAGCUCCAACAAAUCAACUUUUAAUCACAGUGUGUUGCUUAACACCCUACUACGUGGAGAAAGGAAACAUAUAGGAGCAGGUGAUGGCUUUAACAAAUGUCUUCUCAUGUCAUAUUUAUAGGAGAAGGUGACAUAUUAGUAGUGCGUCCUUCUUGGGGUUUCAUGAGUUAGUUGGUCACUGGAGUUUACUGGAUAUAUUCUCCAUAAAGAUCCAUACAUCAGAUGGGGAGUGACUUUAAGGAGUCACCCCUAAAAGUAAUCUGAGGACUGAGGCUUGAGCAACCAGCCUCUUCAAGGCUCCCAAGAGCAGGAUCAGUCUGGAGAAGCGUUGAAACAAUUCCGGAGAACUCAGACUAAUAUUGAUGAUAUUUUUUUGCAUUCACUAUAUGUCUAGCAUAAUGCUAAGGACUUUGCAGCUUUUUCAAUAGAUUCACAUUCUCCAUACUGUAGCCACGAGGCACAUAUGGCUCUUUCUUGAGUGCUGGCAAUAUGGUUGGUCUAAGUGGGGAGAUGCCAUGUGGGUCAAGUCACUCACUAAUAUUUCCUACAAGUUGAAAUGAUAAUUUGGACACGAGUAAAAUGUAACACUAAAAUUAAUUUCACCUGUUUCUUUUGCCUCUUCUUAGUGGGCUACUCAAACAAUUUAAAUUACCCAUGUGUUUCACAUUGCGGCUCACAUUAUAUUUGUAUUGGACAGCCCUUGUUCUAGAUUAUUCCUCACAGUAAUUUGAUCAGCUGGACAGUAUUAUCAUCCCCACAUUAUGGGUGAGGAAAUUGAGGCUUAGAGAGCUUAAGUAAAUUGCCUGUGAUCACACAGCUGUGGCUUAAGCGCAAAUCUGUUUGUCUCCAAGCCUCAAAUCUUACCCAUUACUCUGUGCUGUCUCCCCCAGUCCAGAAAUACAACCCAUGUAACACAGAAACAGUUAUGAUCAUUAGCUAUGGCAAAAAGCUGUCUCCAUUACAGAGUACAAGAAGAGUGGCCCGUGCCAUUCCAUAAGGUAGAAUUUAAAGCUAGUUGAGGGGAAUUGCUUAUGGGCAGGUUUCUUAAAUGCUCACUCUUUGUUUAUAUCAGUGUGGGGUCACCUGCCAAGGACAGAAGAGAGGUAAAGCUUCCGGAACCUUCCUUUCAUUUCUCUGACCUUGGCUUUCCUUGGACGCUCAGGUGGCCGCAGCUCUGACCCUCCAAGGGAGAGGGCGGACAGCAGGGUGGAUCAGUGCUCCAGCUUCAUCCCUGCCUCUAGCAAAGCAGAAGGCUUUCAUUUCUUCCUGUUUCAUUCAAAUGUCAAUGGAACAUUCCUCACAGCAGCCCUGCCUUCCUCUAGUUGCAGUGGGAAGGGAAACUGUGAAGGAGACAGCCCUUCUUGUUCCUUUAACGUUCUCUCAAACACACAUCUUAACUCUGCCACGUCUUUCCUUUCCUAAGGGCCUCCGUGUUCCUCGCUCACAAAGUCUCGUGCUAGUUAAUGCUAGCUGUUACUAUUUUUUAAAUGCUACGACUUAGUUUUAUUUGCAUUUUUACUUAUACUGGUGUAUAGCGUGUAUCAUGAGUAUAAUUUGCUUAUUUAAUUUAUUUAAAGUUCCAAGGAGGAAACCCAGUUUAGGACACAUUAGCUCUUUGACUAUUUUUGCAAGUUGGGAAAACGGGGGACUAGGAUAAUGGCGAAUUGUACUUGGCCACUGAACCUCAUUCCCAAAUGUUUAGACCCUUCUCAUAUUUUUAGGGGCUAGAAAUGUUGCUGGGAGCUGUUAAGCAAAGGAAAAGGAAAACAAUCACACACACACACACACACACACACACACUCACACAUGCUUAUUUCUUUUCUUUUUUUCCCCCUAGACUGCAAUUUUACAGCACACAAACUGGCAACUCGAUUCUUAUAAAUGCAACUCAAAAAUCAAAGUCUAGAAAGCCAAAAAGUUUCUCGAGGUGUACGCGGCAUGUGUUUUAUUGUUUGUUUUCCCCUUUUAAUUUAGUUAAAUUUUCACUUUGCCUUACAUAGCUACAUGGAAAAUAAAUCCCAGCAUUUGUUUUUUUGCUUAGUCAUUCUUCUUUAAAAUAACUUAGCGGUUUCAGAUGUAGUUCAGAUGAGAUGACAAUGAACUAUAGAAAGAAGCCAGAAAGAUAGAAUGGUGUUGGGAAAGGUAUAUGGAGCUGGGAACAAGAUGACCUGAAUUCUAAUUCUGUUGCGAGAAUGAAUUAGCAACGAGGCCUUGGGGACAUUAAGUCCCACCAACAUUUUAUUGAACACCUAGUAUGUUCAUGAGUGUUGCGGGAGCUAUAAAGAUGUUCAAGGAACUUAUCACCUACUAGGGAAGGCAGCACAUUCACAAACUGGGGUACUACAUGGUGCCCAGUGUGUGAGUAAUGCCGAAUUUAUGUAAGCACAGAAGGAAAUAAGCAAAAAUGCAGCCAGGGAGAUUGGAGAUGGAUUUGUGAAAUGGUGGUAUUAGGAGUGUAUCUGAGGUGGUCCUAGGAGUGUGGGUAGAAUUUCUCCGUGGGGCUGGGAGGGGAGAAUUUUGUUAGUUUGUUUAUCUUGUUUCAUUUUGGCCAUCCUGGGGAUUGAACCCGGGGGUGCUCUACUGCUGAGCUGCAUCCCCAGCUCUUUUUCGUUUUUUGAGGCAGGGUCUCACUAGAUUGCCCAGGCUGGCCUUGAACUUGCAGUCUUUCUGCCUCAGCCUCCAGAGUCGCUGAGAUUCCAGGUGUGUACCAGUGCAGCCGGUAGGAAGGGGCUUUUAAAUAGAAGGUUCGAGGAAGGAGAGACCAUGUGAGCAAAGGUGUGCAGAGCUGGUUCAGGAAACUUGUUAGACAGGAAGGCAGUUCCUUCUGAGUAUUAACAGGCGAUAAGUUUUAACUACUAGAUUAGAAUGGAAUUGUGGCAGGGCUUGAAUUUCAUUCUGAAGAAUUGGAACCUGGUGCAGAGCAGGGUGACAGCAAAGGUGAAGAGCAGACCAGUGAACUAUCAGCCUUGCCAGAGUGACAGUUCUGGAAGCAAGGGUGGCCUGAGUGGAGGAGCAAAGAUAGAGAGCGGGGAUGGAGACCAGUCAAAAAACUCUCAGGGCAUGUCUAGGCCGCGGGACUGGAUGGGGAAGGCAGAAGCAGGAGAUCUUUUGGAGGGAACGUUGACAGGGCUUGGUGACAAUUAAUUUUGAGAUAUAAAAGAUGACCAUGAACCGGGCUCUGAACAUUAUUGAGUCAGAUAAUAGAGUUGCCAAGAAAGGAGGAGGUCACUAGGAAAGAUGCCGAGUUUGGUUUUGGGCAUGUUUAGUCUAUUCUGAACACGUUGGCUAAAGUAAUCACAGAAGACGCGAGCCAGUUCCCAGCUCCUCCUGCUCAAACACCUCUGUGUCUUCUCGUCUUACUCGAAGGAAAAGAAUCUUUCAUGGCCAGUAAGUCCUUACCCGCCCUGCUGUCCCCUUUCCUUCUGACCUCAUCUCCUUCCACCUUCCCGUCUUCUUACAGGCCAUAUGGGCCCAGCAUGGAUCUGCCUUAGGGCCUUCAUGUUGUUUCUGCCUGAAACUCCUUCCUCAGACAGUUCUCCUUCUUUUCCUCCUCAUUUCCUUCAGCCCUCAUUCAAAUGUCAACUUUUUAAAAAGGCCUUUCCUGGAUUGAAUCGUCCUGUCUGAAACAGCCACGUCCCCCACUCUCCUCUCCUCUGUAGCACCCAUCACCGCCUGACGUACUAGAUGUUUACUGCUUUAUUAUCACAGCCUGGAAACUGAAGCUGUAAAAAGAAAAUUAAUAAUGAAACAAUCCAGUGUUUUCAAGGGCGCCGUGAGGUUUGUCGCUUCCACACACCCUUCUUGGGACUGGGAUGAUAAGUAAUUUGAAGGCAGUCUGGCAGGUAAGUAUGAAGAGUUCAUAAAAUGUUUAUGUCCUGGAACAUUUUGUUUUGGAAAUUCUGAAAGUCAAUUCUAAGAAGGUGAUCUAAAGCAUGGAAAAGAAAAUGGGCAGGGAAACGUCGAGUGAAAUGUGAAAUAUUUAUAAUAUCCAAAAAGUUGGAAAGAUUCUCAACGUCUAACAAUAUAAGAUAGUUAAAUUAAGUAAAUUACUGUUCAUUUGCUUAAUGAUAUAUUAUUCACUUGUUAAAAGGAGAGUUAUGAGAAGUUGGUUAGCAACAAGGAAAAUGCUCAUGAGAUAAUUUAAAAGAACAGGAUCCACAAUUGUAUACCCUGUGAUUUUGAUUUCAGUUUUCUUUAAAUAUGCAUACUAAAAAAGAUGAGGAAGAAAUUAACCCAAAUGCUGCUAUCAAAUGUGCUAGGCUAAUGGGAUUCCAGAUGGCUUAUUUUUUCUAAAUCUUUUGGAUUUUCUGUAUUUACAUUAUAUCGUUGUUGUAACGUGGUUAUUUGAUUUUUAAAAAUAAUUCGUUUUUUAAAAAACACUCAAAAGAAACUGUGGCUACAACUCAGCUCACCCUCUAGACUGCACUGUUGGGUCUCAGUGCUCUGUGUGAGCUUCCGGGUUGAUGGACUCUGCUUUUAGCACCAAGGGCCACCCACAUAGACCACUGGCCCUGCCACUUAUUAGCCUCCCACAUCUCAGUGACCCUCAAAUUGACUCCUUCCUGGGCUCUCCUUCCCUGCAUGUCAGACUGUGUUCUUCUGAUUAUUAAGUUCACAAUUAUUAAACAAUAAAGGCUAAAAAAACACAACUUGCCCCCAUGCACCUUGAUGACAUUUAUACAUGUGGGUUUAGGCUAGGCCACCUUAUUAACGGCACUUAUUUUAGUUACCCCUGGGUAGACAUCUAGGGUUCUCCAUAUUUCUGUUCUCCAUAUUGCUGAUCACCAGCUGAAAUAUUAUAUAUUUACUUUUUAUUAUCAUGACUGAGAAACUGAAGUUAUUAAAAAAAAUAAUAAUAUUCCAAUAUCUACCCACUAAGCACCAGGUAAACUCUUUGUAUAUAUAUGACCUCAUUUUAUCCUUACAAGCCAGAGAAAGAAGUGCUACAUGUUAGAGAUGAGGAAAGUGAUGCUUAGAGACAUUAUGUCAUUUACUUCCUUACAAAGGAAGCUACCAAAUUGGAAUUUAAAUCCUCAUUUUGGGGCUGGGGGUGUGGCUCAGCGGUAGAGCACUUGCCUAGCAUGUUCGAGGCCCUGGGUUCAAUCCUCAGCACCACAUAAAAAUAAAUAAAUAAAAUACAGGUAUCGUGUCCAACUACAACUUAAAAAAAUAUUUUAAAAAAUAAAUAAAUCCUCAUCUUUCUGACCUCAAAUUCUGUUGCCUUAGCUGUUAUGUUGAGGAACAUGUAUCAAUUACUGAAAGGGCCAAAGUUAGUAUGUUACGUAGACAUUGCCCAGGCAGACUAAACAAUUGAGAAACUGAACAACUCAACCUAAAACUCAUCAUCAAUGGAUGCUAAGUGUCUUUAUGUCUGAGUUAACCAGUCAGAUGCUUUAAACUUUCCUGGUAUACGUCCACGGUAUCUUCAAUAACUAUUUGAGACUCUAAAAUAACAAUUUAAAGUAUUUAACUGUUUUGGUCAUCUACAAUAUUCUAAGCAGUUAGUUAUUAGAUAAAAUUUAAUUUUAUCUGCUUUGAUUGAUGCCCUCCUUUGAAGAAUUUAGCAGCUUUCCUUGGGACAAACAACAACUUAUUUUGAUAAAACAAAACCCUUAGUUAUUAAAUAUUAAUAACUAGCCUUUAAAAAUGGUUAGUUGGACUUCAGAAUUGAGACUAUUAAUAGGAGAUAUGUACCAUGCCAAAAGGAAUGUGCACAUGUUACAACUAAUACUAUUUCAGAGGAAAUUUCUAACAAAAAGAGAUUUUCCAUGCAAUAAGCCAUUUAUUUCAAGCAACAGAAAGUUUAAUAAAGACCCUAAACAAAUCUGUUGUAGGAUGAAAGAAGGAAUUGAAUUGAAUUUCCCAGGAAAUAUCACUCAUAAUGUUCACCAGCCUAGCAGUGUUCUUGAAUGGCUUCUUUGGCUAAAAUCCUACAUUGAAAUGCCUUCAGCUCCUGACAUAGGUAUGAGCAGCCAUAACAGGACUGUCCCGGCCAUAGCUAACAUUUUUGAAAACUUUCUGUGGGCCAGAAUUUGCGGCACACUAAACUUAGUUAUUUCAUUUUAAUGUCCAGCAUCCAAUAAAACAGGCACAAGUGCUAUACUUGUUUUAUAGAUAGUCAAAGAAACUGAGGCAUAGAUAGGUUAAGUAACUUGUUCAAGGGUCCAUACUGAAUAAAACACCAGAUAUGUUAUAUUGGCUGUGUCACCUUCUCUGUCAUGCUGAGUGAAUAACAUUUUUUAAAGGAAUGUUAAGUUAAACUAUGGCUUUUAUAUGAAAAAGAAAAAUGAAGGGCUUUUCGAAUUGCUGCAGUUCUUAUAUGCCAGUGAUUAAUUCCAUUGGAGAAUUGGUUCAAUGAGAGUUCAGAUUUUAGAAGUCCUAAAAGUCUGAAAGCAUGUGUUUCCUUUGGAUCUUUUGUGCUUCCCUCUUGGCUCCUUCCCGCUCUGGCUGGCUGUAAGAUGGUUUCCUCUUGGGUGUGUGACUGCUGGAGCUGUCCUUGGUCUGAGAGGUCAGAAGAGGAAAGUCUUGCCUGGGGUCCCUGACUUCUCACAAGGCUGUUGCAUUGCUCGGCUGAUUCAUAAAAAUCCUCCAACAGAUUAAGAAAAUUGUCCAGAGAGGCCAUGAGAACUCUAAAGGACUCAUCCUAGUACAUUGUCACCUUUCUCUCCAUUUGAGCAGAGUUUUCCCAACUUAGAUCAGGAAGCAGGGAACCUGGACUUCACUUGUUCAGUAAAAUUGUGUCGAAUUCCCAUUUUGUGCACAAUACAAUUCUAAACUCUGCAAAAGAUCAAGAUAUCUUCGCUCUCAAAGAUUUUACUGCAGUGGUAAGACACUCUCACAUACAAAAUUAAACAGCCCAACACCAGAAAGAGAUGAAUCAGAAGCCAGCAGAGUGCCUGGAUACUAAGUGUUUGAAAUCCAAGGCAGGGUGAUGGGGAGGAAGUCAGUAGAUGCUGAAGCAGUGGAGAGAAGUUUAUCAUAGGACUUGAAGAAGAGGAAGCUACCCACAGCACUGAGUAUACAGUAUCACCUAACUUGUGUAUGUGUAGAAGGAUACCUAGCAAGUAAGAAGGAGGGAUGCCUUAGUCUGUUUUCUUUUGCUAUAAUAACAAUACCACAGACUGAUUAAUUUAUAAAGGAAAAAAAGUUUAUUCAGCUCAUGAUAAUCCCAAGAGCAUUAUACUGACAUUUGCUCACCUUCUGGUAGGGGCUUAGAUGCUGCAUAACACUGCAGAAGGGCAAGAGGGUAGGAGCAGGAAGAGAGCAGAAGAGCUCAAACCUGCUCUUUUCUACAACUCUUGAAAUAAUGAGCGCAAUCCCAGGAGAACUCACUCAGUUCUGAGAGGAGGGUAUUAACCCUCUAAACCCUCCUACAAUUCCCACCCCUGACCAAGACACAUUGGGAACUGGAGUUCCAACUCUAGAGGGAAUGCAUUCAAAGUGGGGAGAAGAUGCAAUUGGUGGGUGAUGAGGGAGGGGAAGGAAGGACUAGAAUUCAUAGGGACUUUCAGUUCUUACUGUACUUCUUAAAUUUCUAUAUCGUUUAGGUUUUUCUCCAGUGAGAAUGUAUUCAUGCAUUCUUUUUUAUUACUAGGAAAUAUGAACUUACUCUGAAGGGAUAGGACUUGGGAUUACAGAAUCAAAGGAAGAAGGUUGUUUCAGGUGAGAAGAACAGCUGGAGAAAAUGUCUGCAGGUGACAAUGUACAGGGUGUGUUUAGAGAUCAGUGAGAAGCAUGGGACCUGCAGAAAAGGGAUGUAAUAGGACAGUGGGUUGGGGUCAGGUGGAGGACAGCUGUGAACACAGAACCCGGUGAAGUGAGUCUUUCACCUUUGACCAGAAGCAAAGAUAAGCCUUUGAUGACUUGGCUUGGAGUUGAUUAAUUUGGCCACACAAAGGUUAAUUUAUAAGCAGGCACACUUGGAAGACCCAGCAAAGUGAGAUCCAUGAAUUCAAAUCUACCUUUCUUGGACUCCAUGGAAGUCCAUGAGAAUGUCUCCUACAAUAACUUCAGCAAGAAAGGCCAAAGAGACAUAAAUCUGUUGGUAGAGUCUUCAAGAAACUGAAAAAUAAAAAUGCUGUCAGAUGCGAUGGGGGAGCAGCCACUUACACUUGAUCCAUAGUAUUAAUUCCACUAUAAAUCUUUAUGUAAUAGUUGACAUCUGUGUUGAAUGAUUCAAAUGUAUGGAGGAACAUGUUAUCCCUAGCAUAUGAGAAAGGAUGGAUUCAGAAAAAAAUCCAUCCAAAGGAUGGAUUCUGUAAGUCAAGUAAAAAUUAUUUGAUUUAAAAAAAAUGAAAAUCAAAGAAUUCUAUCACAGGUUCUUUUUGCGAAUUAGUCCUUUCUUUGGGUAAAUUGAUUAAAUCAAUAUUUUAUUUAAACUUAUGUUUAUAAUGACAGUACUAAUCAAGUGUACACAUUAUAUUUUGGACAGACAUGCAGACACUCCUUCAUACAGCAGAAAUCUAUGGCUACCUGGGGGUGGGGAAGUAGCUGACCUUCCGGCUCAUCUAGGAGGACACAAACCCUAAUAUGAGGAAAAAUCCCACAGCUAGUUGAACUUGAGUUAUGCAUUGUGACUCUUUUCCCAGUGAUUGGAGGAGAUGAAUUUCUUUAUUGACCAAGUGGAGGAGGGACACAUCAGAGUCCCAGAAUGAUGAUGUGAGAUAGGUUUAUAAAAGCAGUCUGCAUCUCCUGAAAUGAUCUUGUAACCCCAAGUGCUAUUUGAGGAAGAAACUGACAAUUGAAGUUAGUCGUCAGUUUUCACUUUCCUCCUUCUUCAGGCUUUUAAGAUGUAAUUCCCAGUGUAUCCUUCACCCCAUGUUCCCCACUCUGCCAUCCCACGCUGUCCCUCCUUUUUCAGAGAGGCAGAUGGAACUCUUAAGAGACAAAGCUGAGUUUCCUUGUCUGGUGAUGGGAAAACAAAUAAGGGGACAAAAUUAUAUGGAAAGAGAGUUUCCUAGUUUUAUUUUCCUGCUGAGAGCCAUAGCCGAGUCAGAAUGACGCAUGGCAUUUUUGCUAGAACAGAGUGGUUGAGAGGUGACGCCAGCAAGCCAUUGAGAUGAUAAUGGUUAUGUUAAGCUGUGUAUUCAAUUUUAUAUUAGACCCCUGCUGUCCGCCUCCGCCUGCUACUUUGGAGUUCUCCUGGGGAUUCCUGGAGAGUUCCCAUUGGUUGGGGAAGUGCGGGAAGAGGGAUUUCCGGAGGAGGGACUUCCGGUUGGUGUGUGGCGUGUCCUGGGAGAAGGCCGAGUGCGUGGCAUUCGCAGGAGUGCAAAGAAUAAAGGAGUUCCCAUUUUGAACCUACAAGGCUGUGUGGCGGCUCGGUUAUUUUGUGCCCAGCCAGACUGCGGCAUUUUCCUGCUGUCUCUUUUCUUAAUCAUUCAAAAUUUAUUUUGUGGCAUCUCUUCCUACCACAAGGGUGAGGGCAGAGGUAGACCUCUGCAUAUUGGGAGAAGGCAGGAACACGAGAUGACUCUGUACCUUGUGUGAUCAGACAAACAUGUACAUUGUACCAUGACAUUUUUCAGAAUAAACAAUGACCCUUAAUUUUUUUUUCUAAUCAUUUUCUUUUUCUUUCUUUUCUUUGGUACCAGAGAUUGAACCAAGGGGUGCUUAACCACUUAGCCACAUCCUCAGCCCUUUUUUUAUAUUUUAUUUUGGAGACAGGCUUCAGUAAGUGCUGAGGCUGGUUUUGAACUGAUGAUCCUCCUUCCUCAGCCUCUGGAGCCACUGGGAUUAUAGGCGUGCCCCACCAUGCUCAGCAUGCUCAGCUCAAAUCAUUUUCAUGUAGUUCUCGACACUGAAGAAUUUGAGAAGAAUUGAUAAUUCGAUACAGCAAAUAUUUACCUCUAUCUUCCAAGUUAAAUUUAAAAUUGCUCUUAUUGUCCUGAUAACAUUGUGUUAAUCAAAAGGGUUGCAGAAGAUAAGAAUUUAAGAAUCUGUAGACUCCAAGCUUCUAGAAUAAUUCAGACUGGGCAGUUCUGUUCUCUGUCUUUCUCCUCUCUCUUUACUCUGUUUCUCCUCCCUUCUCUUCUCUCCCUCCCUGAUAAAUGGAUGCUCUAUAAAUUCUGAAAGGGUAUAUUAAAAUCUAUCACUACAGUAGUCAUUUCAUAUAUGUAUACAUAUGAGAGAGAGAAAGAGAGAAACAGAAGCUAAAAGAAACUUUUCCCUGAGUUUGAUGUUCUCCUACAUCUGGAACAUCCGUAAAUGACAACAGCUUUAGCAGAGACUGGGAAAGAAUAUUUAUGAAUGCAGAAAUUAAUGAGAAGGUCAUUCAAAGCAGAAUACAAGAACUGGUUUUGCAAUCACACAAAAAUGUUUAAAAGAGAGAAAGGAAUAGAGAUUGGUGAAAAAUAAAGGCUCUAAGACGAUGAAAACAAAUUGUUAGGAAUAGCUAGACAGGAAAUAUUGUAGACCAAAAAGAGAAAAACACCCUCUGUUUACCUGUUUGUAUAUCCACAUCUUUGAGAUGGAACAUGCAAAUGUAUGCAAAAACACAAGCAUUACUCUGAUGAUGCUGUUAUAGAUCCCCAGAAGCAAAGGAACAAGCACCCCAUUCAUUCCCAGAUGACUUGUCAGUUUAUCCUGGGUUUGUGAACUAAAAUGAGUUGGGGAGCUGACUGUCUUCAAUGGAUUUCUGUUUGCCCUCUAAGUUCAGGGCUAAAACUUAAUUUUUAAUAUAAUUGAUAUUUUUAUUAUGGCUUAUUUUAUUAAAAGUAUAUAUCAAGAUAUUGAAUAUUUAUCAUUUGUAACAUAUUCCAUAUAUUUAUAAUUUGCUUAUGUGAAAUAAAUAAUUUAUUAAAAUACACACUUAAUGUUAUUCUUAAUAGAUGCACAUAUUUUCAUAAAUUAAAGUACUUGUUUCUGGAAGUUCUCGCCUUUCCUUACCUAUUCUAUUGUUGUUUCAUACAAGGUCUCUCUAGGUUGCCUAGGCUGGCCUUGAACUCCUGGGCUCAAGUGAUCCUCCUGCCUCAACCUCCCUAGUAACUGGGACCAGAGGCGAGUGUCACUGUACCCAGCUCUAUUUACCUAUUUUUAAAUGUUUUAAAUGCUUCAACAUUUUGUGGGUUUAUAUCAGUUAUUUAUAUUAGUGUUUUCCUUGUUCUGACCAACAGCUCAAUCUAGGAGCCCUAUCUUCUGUCCCCAAAAAAUCUUUGUUAACUUAAAACAUUUAUAUCUGGGGGGGCUUAUAAAGACUUUUUGUCCUAUAACCCUCAUUGACAAAGUUUUUAUCGAUUGUCUUCGACUGUCCUUCAUACUAGCUUUUGCCAGCAAUAAGCAGAAAUAAAGCUGAAACUGUGUCAAAAAAAUUCACUGCCCACAUUCAUCCUUCUUCAGCAGGGUUUACUCUAUAGUGCUCCGCAUUCAGCAACUGUGCCAGCCGGCGGAAACAGCCAGUUGUUGUCUGAAAGGAAGAAUAAUUGGAAACAUGGUGCCUGUUUCUUUCCCUGCAAGCAACAAUCCAUCCAUUUAACAUUCUUUCGGUGCUCUUGAAUUCUGUGGUAGACAGCCUGUGUUCCCUGUUCUGUUGAGGCCAAUCUGAGAAAUGCUGAUCUUCCAGUCUGCUGCUGGCCCUUUCAGUAUGGAACAGUGACAGCCAUCCCAUGGCCCGGCCCCUCUUCACAGAGCUGGUUACACACCAGCAACAUUAUGUAGGUAAAUGGCCAUCGGCUGGAAAGGACUAGGCUGGGUGAGGUUAAAAUUAGGAAAGAGAAAAUUUGGAACUAUUUCAAUCCCUACCCUACAGAUAAAGAAACAAAGCCCAGAAAGGCCAAGUAACUCGCCCAAGGUCACUUUGCUGGCAAGCUGUAGAGCACACAUGAUGGAAGUUGUCAACAUUAUAUAUCCAUAUAAAAAGAUUGCAUAUGCUCUCUUUGUAAGGUAUAAAUAUCUAGUUUAUAUUAUGUUUACUAUUCACAUACAUAUACUCAUAUUAUAUAUAUCAUAAGCUUUAAAUUAAUAUAAUUAUAAUCAUCUGUAUUCUUGCUGGUUUUUAAUGUCAUAUUCUAUCAAGUUCUGUAAGGGGUAUAUUAAAAUCUAUCCCCGUGGUUGUCAUUUCAUUUCAUAAAGUGCUACUUGUCUUUUGAUUUUUUUUUUUUAAAUUUUGUGCUUUGUUUUUUAGUGCAUAAUAGCUGACGACUGUUAAAUCUUUUGUUCAUAUUUUUAUUUAUGCCACAUGAAUUGGGCUCCCUUCAUAUAAAAAAAAGACACUCAAAGAAUAGUGGCUUCGGGGGCUGGGGCUGGGGCUCAGUGGCAGAGCGCUUGCCUAGCAUGUGUGAGGCACUGGGUUUGAUUCUCAGCACGGCAUAUAAAUAAAUAAAAUAAAGGUCCAUUGACAACUAAAAAAAUAUUUUUAAAAAAAGAAUAGUGGCUUCAAUACAUAGAGAUGUAUUUUUCUCAUACAUAAAAGAUGUUUGGAGGCAGGGACACCAAAACUGGUACAAUGGCUUCAUGGUCAUCUAAAUUGCAAACUCUGUCUUUCUAUUCUGCCACCUUUAAUAUGUGGCGUUCACUCUCCAAGUCCUAGUUGCAAAAUGGCUUCUGCAGCUCUCACUAUCACAUACAUACUCUGGGCAGGAAGGAGGAAAAAGAGGAAGAUCAAAAGGAAGAGUUCCCCACAGAAUUGAACUUCAUCAGGCUUCACCCACUAACCUCUGCUUACAACUUAGUAUAAAAGGGGAUGGGAAAAUCAUUAUUUUAGAAGUCUGGACACAUUGCUGUCCUUAAUUAAACUGAGAUUUUGUUAGCCAGGGUGAAGAGAAAUAGAUGGUACAGGCAUCUACCAAUCUCUGCUAUGUACCUUUAAACAUUCAAUCCUCUUGUUUCUAUUUAAUGUUUUUGGUGUUGAAUUUGAUAUUAAUAUUGCUAUUUGUUCUUUUGGAUUUGCCUGAUGUUUAUCUACCCAAUCAUUUAUUUUAAAACUUUCUUUGAAUUGAGUUCUUUAUCCAUAGCUUAAUUUUUGUGGUUGAGCCCAAUCUGAAAGUUUAUCUUUUGCAAGGGAAAUUCAACACAUUUCAACAUAUAUUAUUUUUUAUUCUUAUUGUUUUGUUUUUACUAUUUAUUAUAUACUUCCUUGUUAUUUCCUUUUUUCUUCUUUCAUUAGGUUUUACUGACUUGAUCAUUUGUUAAGCUAUCUAUCCCCCACCACCCAUUAGGUAAAAAGUUUCCCUCUAAGUAAGUGCUUUCAUCUCUUAAAUAAAUAAAUGCCUUUUCCUGACAUAACCAUAUCCUUGUGUCUCAGAGAUUCACCGUGAAAAUGCUGAGGAAGAAAUGCAAUUUAUUUCUUCAAUAGUGACAUAAUAGGCAAGGUCACUGGUGCCAUCUAAUAAUUAAGGAAGCUCAUUUUCCUCAUUUCCUUCAAUAUCAUAAGCAGAUAGCAGCAAAUAUCUUGCCAACUCUCUUAAGUAGAGCUGGAAAUGAGCCCUGGGUUGACCAAGCUGCAACAAACAGCACUUCCCAUAUACCUUUCAGGGUCCACCAAGUUAAGGCAAAAGGAAACCUAUUAUCACCAAAUUCCAAAAGCCUACAUGGGGAUGAAUUAUAGUAAGUAUGUAUCCUUACACUUCUUUUUCUUUAAUGAAUGCAAAAUGAGUUAUCAUGGAUGAUAAGGCAAAUAUCAAGAAGACUGCAGUACAUUUUGUAGCUUGCUAUCCACAUUGCAUUUAUUUAUUUAUUUUUGGUACCAGGGAUUGAACCCAGGGGUACUUAACCACUCAGCCACAUCCCCAGCCCUUUUUAUUUUGACACAGGGUCUCACUAUAUUGCUUAGAGCCUUGCUAAGUUGUUGAGGCUGGCUUUGAACUUGUGAUCCUCCUGCCUCAGCCUUCCAAGUCACAGGAUUUCAGGUAUAUAUCACCACACCUGACCACAUUUGUUUUUAAAGAGGUAUGAGCUGGACACAAUGGUGCACACACCUGUAAUAUUAGCUACUCAGGAGGUUGAGGCAGGAAGAUUGCAAGUUUGAGGCCAGUCUUGGCAACUAAGUGAGAAACCUGUGUCAAAAUAAAAUAAAAAAGGGCUGGGGAUGUAGCAAAGUUUGUUAUAACUUUAUAUAGAACUUGCAUAUGAAAUGUAGCUUUAGAUUACUUGGUAAAAUUAUUGAUUUUUUUAUGCUUCUACAUUUAGGUGAAUAGAUUGUUUCGAAAAGAAACCUUUUUUCUCUUGUCUGGCUCCAAAUUAUACCUUCCACUUCAUGCCACAGCGGUAUACUUGUUCCCAAGAGCAAUCAAGGAUCCUAAAAUUAAGCAAAUAGUACAAGUGCUACCACUUAGAUAGGAAUGCUGCUCUUUUUACCAUGGGGAACAAUAUACAAGAAGAAACCUAAGUUUUAUUAAAGUCAUAUAACUUCUACCCAACUUCACAAGUCUAAUUUACUUCUUUCUUUAAAAAUUAUUUUAGAUCUCUUCUGGGUAUGAUUUGACUAUAAACUGUUAUAUAUCUUGAAAAAUCUUAGAAGAAUAAUUCUAUGCUGCAGACUAUUUGUACUCUGCAAAACAUUUGUAAUAUAUAUGAAAUGAGUUAAAUAAAUAACAUAUUACAAACAAGAAAUUGAAAUAAAUUAAAUAAAUAAGUAACAUAUUAUAUACAAGAAAUUCUCUACCUGGAACAUUUGGGUUAUAAUACCUGUCCCCAGCACAUUCCCUUCCUUCAGUAUUAAAAUCACAGAGAUGCCCCUGAACGUACCUGCCACUCCCCAUCUACUGUUGUGGCCAAGGGUCAAAAAAACAGUUGGGCUGUUGGCAAUGCCUCCCUUCCCAUUACCACUGUCUUCCUGCAACUCUCAUUCCUAGGGGCAUGGCAUCCUAGGAAGAGAAUAAUUAAUAAGUUUAAGUCCCCACUUCCUCCUCUUCUUAGAUACUUCCAUUCUGCUACUGACUAUGACAGGGCUUGGCCUCACAUCAGCCCCAAAGGGUGAGAGGCUGAGAGGGACAAAGAAAAGUGCCUGACAAAAAUAAAAUUAUUCAAAAAAUAUAACUAGAAAUAAGCAUGUCAUCAGGUUUGAACAUUGAAACGUAUUAGUGUAUAGUGGGAGUAUAAUUUUACUGGCUACUCAUAUAUCUAUUAAAAAUGAGACUUGGCCAGGUGUGGUAGAGCAUACCUGUAAUUCCAGCAACUUGGGAGGCUGAGGCAGGAACUUUGUGAGUUCAAAGCCAGCCUCAGCAACUUAGCAAGGCCCUGUCUUCAAAUAAAAUCUAAAAAGGGGUGGAAAGGUGGCUCAGAGGUUUAGCACCCAUAGAUUCAAUCCUUGGUACCAAAAAAGAAAGAGGCUUGAGGAGGAGUUGGGGGUAUAGCUCAGUCGUAAAGCUUGCACAAGACCCUGGGUUCCAUCCCCAACACCAAAAAAAUAAAUAAAAGCCUUAGUAAGAGAAGGCAACACUUAGCAAAGCCAAGUCAUUGGUUUUCUAGAUAUUUCUAGUUUCGUGUUAUUCAGGUUUAGAGAACUCAGUGGGGAAUCAGACAUUUAUAUAAACUAACCUAGAAUAUGCCAUUUAAUUUAACUCUUAGUGUCUCUUUUACUUUCUCUCUAGUUAGAGAGGGAGUCCAGAGACUAAAUUUUAUAUUUUCUAGAAGCAUUCUGAGAAAUAAUUUUGUUGGAAAGAUUUUUUCAAUGUAUGAUAUAGAAUUCUGUUACAACAGGAGAUUGUCUUUUUUGCUAACAACACAUAGGGAAUAAAGACUAUAAACAAAUUAAUUGUUCUUAGAGUCUGUUUUAUAAUGUCAACUCUUUGUGAAAUUUCCCACAUAAGGUACCAUGUUUUUCAUUUUCUUCUCUGCUGGCCUUGGCUUACAGCCAUGAUCUGCCACACUCAUGUAUCAGUGAUGUGCUAGAAUACAAAAUAUACAGGAUCCUUGCCUGGGGUGCAAUUUCAGUGUUCUGCUAGCAGACGCCCUAGUGGGGUAUGAAUGCCUUGAACUCCAUGAUCCUUUGUGAUUGAUGUGAGCAUGACAUGUGUUAGGACUUUUUUGGUUGGCUUACUCGGAUUUCAAUCAAAUGUUAAGGUAACUAUGGGGUAAAAUGCACUAGGGAAUGUAUUACAUGGUAUCAGAAAAGAUGCAGAGUGGCUUUUCUACUCAAAUAAAAUUAAAUCCUGAGAAAUAAAACCCUCAAAGGAACUGAAUGUAGAGGAGAAAGGGAAAGACAAUACCUUAUCAUUAAAAAUCAAUCAGAUAUUUACUAAGUGCGUCUUCUGAGGAUUCCUUACAUUUCAGUAGCUAGCAGAUCUGGGUUUACAAAAUAGUCUCACAUGCAUUAUCUUAUUUGAUCCUCCCAACAACCAGUGAGAGAAGAGAGGCAAUCUAAAGAUGAGAAAAUUGCAUCUCAGACUUAAGUGCUUCCUGAAGACCUUACACCCAGCUUCAGAGAGUGGAGGGGCACUGAAAUUCCCCCAGUCUCCACACACUCUGUCCUGGGUUCACUCUUCCUCCACCCCUGGGUAUUGUGCUGUGUUUGGUUCUCCAAAGGAAUCUAAAGAAGUGAAGACAUGAUCUCAGCCCUUAGGAAGUUUAUGAUCUUAGAUGGGGAAAAUGCAAAUUUUCAUAAUGAAACAAGCAGAGAAUCCUUAAGUGUUAAACUGUAGUACGCAGGCUAUAAAUACAACAAUUGGAUUAUUUUAAUUGAAAAAUAAGGUGCUAUAAAUUCUACUCAAUGCCCUGAAAAAAAAUAUGUGAAUAGGUAUUUCUGAAGGUUUUCAGAUAGGCCAUCAACAUUUUCCAUGAUUAAUUCUUAUUUAUUUAUUUAUUAUUUUUUGGUAGUGGUGAUUGAACCCAGGGGUGCUUAACCACUGAGCCACAUCCCCAGACCUUUUCAUUUUAUUUAUUUAUUUUAUUCUGAGACAGGGUCUCACUAAGUUACUUAGGGCCUUGCUAAAUUUCUGAGUCUGGGCUUUGAACUUGUGAUCCUCCUUCCUUAGACUCUCAAGUCAGUGAGAUCACAAGCAUGUGCGACUGUGCCCAACCCAUGGUUAAUUCUUGACCAGGAGAAAAGCCAACAAACACAAGCUUGCACAGUUUUACAAGGACAUCUGGUUGACUGGAGGACCAAAUUGUUGAGUCCGUGAUCUCAUACUGGCCUCUGUUGUUCCUCUGUUGUACUGGAAGUCUGUAGGAGCUGGUCCUGGCCUUGAUAUAUUUGUUAGGUCCUCUAAAACAUCAGUGGAGGCCAUUUAGAAAGGCCAGUUGGCCUCCUGUUAUUUACCUAAUUUGCAAAGGGAGUAAAGAAAAGGAUGCUUUUUUUUUUAAGAAAACUGCCAAGAGAUAGGAAAAUGGAAUACAUUUGCUCUGUACUCAAAGGGACCACGGACUUCUAGGCUCUGUGGAGAUCCUGUGAUCAUUUGAAUGUUCUACUAUCCUAAUGUUCAAACCUAACACUUUUCAAAUCCCUAAUUGUUUUAGAAGCAAAAUUCUAUUCCAACUACCUGUUUUUUGUCUUUUCGGCAGAGCAAGCCUGUGCUGAGAGACAGUUGUGGGACAGUCCCUGUCUGUCACUGUCUUUGUCUUCCCUAAGGAGUUGAUGUAUUGCUUGAGAGGCCCCAUGGGGACUUCCAGAGCCACAGUGAGUGACUGGCCCCAAAACUUUUACCAAAAAUUUCCCGUGCCAGCUUCUCAAGCAUUGUAGCAAUCCUGUGUAGUCUUCCUCAAAAUGCCCUUUGCUUCAGCAACUUAACAACAGUAAUUUGUAAUAUAAGCUGGUGCCCCUGAGACAUUGCAUCCUCUUCAUCUUCUCAACACCUAGUAAUGUCCAGAGCAGAGAUUUUAAGCUCAUCUCUGGAAUAGGCUGGCAUGGAUGAUUCUACUGGACGAUUCUGUUCACCACCAGGGAAGACAGACAAAGACAGCCUGCUGAAGGUGCCUGGGAGUCACUCCUCAAGCGCCAGUGAGUGCCACCCAAAGGGAGGAGAGGAUGGUGGGGGAAAUCAGAUUGCAGCUCAGAAUGCAAUUGUUACUGCAAGAGCGGAAUAAGAGCAGACCUUGCAGGUUCCGCCAAUGCUACUCACAACCCUACUCACACGAAGCACUUGAGUGUCAACGUGAACACAAUGUCAUCAACUUGUAAGCCCAAACAUAUAACCACUGUCACGCAUGACCUCGCAGGCGCCUCCUUUGGAGCCGUUUUUCCAGGGGCAGAAAUAGGUUAAUGCUGAGUCAGUCACUAGCUUUCAUUUCACCCCACAGGUGUGAACAGGGCCUCUGGGACCCGCUCUGUCACCUACUGGGUGUGUGAUCUUGGGAAGGUUAUCUAAAAAUUCUCUAUGUCUUCGAUUCCCUGUAUGUGAAAUGGUGAUAAUUAUAUCAGCUCCCCCAUAAAGAUGUUAUGAGGAUUAAAUGAGGUUAGAAAUAUAUGGAGCUUAGAACAUGCUAGAACGUAUUCUGUACUGUGCUCAUCUAAUAUUAAAGUCUUUGCUCCAGACACUGUUAGGUUUUGAGAAGUGAAAACAAAGAAUAGGCAGUUUGUGCCUCCGUGGGUGUACAAUCUAUAUUGUAAAUCGUUGUUUUAAUGAUUUGUGUAGCCUAGCCCAAGAGUCAGAAAAUGCUCAAUCAGGGUUUCUGAAUGUGAUUGGCCUGGGGAAACAAGCAAGUUAUACCACCAAUUUUAAUUAAAUGACAGUAUAUACAAGUGUGUUGUGUAUAUAUACGAGUUCUGGUUCCAUAGAAGCAUUACCUCUUUUAUUUAUUAGUUCUGUAGCAUGAGUGCUGAGACUGAGUGUGGUCUGGAGGUUGAGGGUAAGGAGGUGGAGGUGCACUCGGGGAAGUCUUCCAAGAGGCUGUAUCAUUGAGCUUGGUUUUGAUCAGUGAGUAGGCGUUAGCCAGUAAGAGAAGAGGCCUAGGAGUGUUCCAGGCAGAAGGAACAUUGUGUGCACAGUUAGAGAGGCGUGAAAUAGCACAAUACAUUCAGGGAACUCCAAGUAGGCAAAGUACAAGAGCAGCCCCAUCAUCAGUGUAAUACACAGCCUGUGUUUGUGAAAUGAGUAUUUGAGAUUAGAGGCUGUUAAAUCAAACAAAACAAAGGAGACAUUGCUUGUAUCAUUCUGGUCUUUAGCAUUAACUAAACAACCAGCCAAGGACAAGCGGCUCUGGAGUUUUAGUGACGCGGUAUUGUAUAAGCCUGGUAUAAGCGCUCUAUAGUCAGUCCCGUUGUGUAUCCUAGAAGAAGUCAGUCCACUCAAUUUGUCUUUUAAUUUUUUUUUUCAAAGUAGUAGAGGUGAAUUAACAAUAAAGUUGAUGGAAUCAUGGUAUAGGUGAAGAUGUUUUGGAAUAGUCAUAUAUUGCUCUAGAUCAGAGGUCAGCAAGCUGUGGCUUGAGAACCAAAUCUGGUCCAUGGCCUGCUUUAGUACUUAAGUUUUACUGGAGCGCAGCCAUGCUCAUUUGUUUGCAUGUUGUCUGUGGCUGCUUCAGCGCUGCCACAGCACAGCAGACUGUACAGCCUGCAAAACCUGAAAUAUUUCCUACUUGGCCCUUUACACUAAAUGUUUGCCAAUCCUUACUCUAGAUUCAGUUUUCCUAAUCUGAUAAAUCAAAACCAAUAUUUAAAACAAGGGCUUGGGUUGGUUGAGAACCAGUGUGAUAAACAAUAGGUUUAUUGGAUUUUUUUUUAAAAAAUUCACUAGUAAGGAGCAAGAAGAUUGCAAAUAUGUUAGCCAUAAAGUAUGAAAUAUACACAAAAUAAAUGAAUAAACGUAGAUGCUAGGAUUACCUUUCAGAUUUGACUCUGAGACUCCUGGCUGUCAGAUACAAACUAAAAGACAGGAAUUGUUCCUCUAGUAGUUACCUAUUUCCUUAUAACAAAUUAUCUGAAAAUUUAGAGCCUUAAAGCAACUGUCCUUUAGUAUGUCUUAUGAAUUGGUGAGUUAGCUGGGUGGUCCAGCUGAUCUUGGUGGACUUGUUCAUACAGUGGUCAGCUGGCUUGUUGGCUUGGGGCUGGCUGGUCUAGGGUGACCUCAGCGGGGGACAGUUCAUCCCUCCUGCACACACUCUUGUCCUCCAGCAGGCUGGCCUGGGCUUGCUCAGUUAGGAGUGGGAGGUUUCGAGAGAGAAAGUGGAAGCACAGACUUGAGGCUAGCUUGGAAGCAGCACACUGUUACUUCUGUUGCAUUCUAGUGGCCAAAGCAAGUCAAAAGGCCAGCCCAGAUUCAAGGGGGAGGGAGAAUAGACUCCCAUUCGUGAUGAGAGCAACUGCAAAGUCACAUUGCAAGGGGAAGGGAAGCAGGAGGGAUGGAAUUGAGGCCACGUUUAAAAUCACAAACAAUCAAUCAUAAGCUAAAACAGCAUGUAUCCUGACCACGCAUUUUUAAAAAGUCAUCUCUAUGGUCUCAAGUGGAAAGAAAUAUUCAUCAUACAUGUCUCUUCAGCCCCACCCACAGAUAUGAAUCAUCAGUGUCUUCGACUAAGAGGACCAUUAUCCUGUAGCUAAUGACAGAUACAGAGGAGGAGUGGAAAGAAGCCUGAACCAGACCUGUACUCAAAUACCACUUGACAGAUUUCACUAGGAACCAGACGCAGCAGGUAUAACCAAUGACCAAACUGAACAGCCUUUGUCGCUAAAGUCUAAACUGACCUAUGACAUCCCUGCCAAUCCUUCCAUUCCCCUCCAUCUUUGUUAUCAGGUGGUGGCAAAACUGGUCCCUGAGGACAUUGCUAUCUGUUGUUUCUGGAUGUGACUGAAAAGGCAAAAAAAUGGGAUAAUUUUUUUUUUUAACUCACCAGCCAUGGGAUGAUUUUUUAAAUUUCUUGCUAAAAAAUCUUCACUAUUACAAAUUUGCCUUGAUAAAUAAUGUUAAAUAUAAAUAGCAACAGUGAUGUCAGAAAACCUCCUUCACUGUUCCUUUCCUGGUCCCCUAGGGAUGUCAGUAAAAAGACAGCGAACUUGGUAGCCAUUGCUUCUUAGACUAUCUCAAAAUCUUCAGAAAAUCUAAAAGCGAAACUCCCAAACCACUCAGACAAAAAUCACACAGCUUUGGGUUUGAAAAUGUUCUUUCUGGCCCAGAACCAGUCAGGGUCAUUGGACUUGUCUGCAAGAAGCCAAAGCCUUUACACUCAGACUUCAACAGAAAUGCCACUACCAGAAUGCUGGGGAGGAAUGUGCCAGAAUUUAAGGAACUAUUUAGACUCCUGUCGACUGGCAUCAGAACCAGCUGUGAAGGGGACUAUAUUUCAACUUAGAUACAGUGAAAAGGAACAGAACUGUUGACAUUAUUGAAGAGGGUGGAGACAAAAACCCCGGAUGUUUGCAGAUAACUAAUUAAUGCACUGGGGGUUGGGUUAGCUUUGGAAGAACAGAGGACACUUCAAAUUUUGGUUGUAGAAAAUCGGAAGUUAAUCUUGGGCAGGUCACAGAAAGGUUAAAUAGACACAACUACCUGGUGGAGUACCCUAACAAAUGUUGGUUCCCUUUCUCCCUCUGGAUCUCCCACCCAAUUAGGGAUUUCUUAAAAAAACAAGAAUCCUGCCAGCCUGCUUCUACUGGAAAAAUGUCAAGUAGGAUAAGCUGCUGAUAGAUGAUAACAAUCAACAAACUUCACGUUCAGCUGGAGGGAGCAGGGCGUGUCCCCUCUCCUGCCCCUCCCUCCCCUCAUCAUGGCUCAGUAGCAGCACAAAGAUAUUCCCUCCUUCCUGCGGAGGAAGUGUAUGUGUUCUCUCAGACCUACCUUGGCAUUCCUUGAUGUCUUAGAGAAGCAGAUGACCCCGGCUGAGCAAGACAGUCAGCAGAACAGCAGCCCUUGAUGCUGCAUUUGGAAAUUUCCAUUCUUUGCUUGCAGCUCUGAAAAAAAAAAAAAAUCUAAAGAGCCCAGUAGCUGGGAAAUUUCCACGAUGGAAAAUUUUAACAUAUUCUUUAGCUCUAAACUAUGCAGGUUUAUAGACACUUUUUUUUUUCUUUUGGUAAUUUCCUUCUUUAACAAUAAUUUAUGAACAUGGUAACUCUGGCGCUGUGGCAAUAAAGAGGGCAAGAUGACCUGGAGGGGAAUGGGCUCAGUUUGCCCAGUGGGAGUCUACGCUAUAUAAGCACUUGACCACCCAAACCAUAGAAAAGCAGAUCCCUGCAAGACCCACUGGUUGGGAACUUAUCCAAAAUAAGAGAUAAUUUGCCCUGGAGCCCUACACAGAAAUCUGUAUAGAGACUGGAGGUGGAAAGUGAUGGAUACAACUUUGGAGCAGGACAUGGUGAGUUGCUGGAGAAAGCAAUCUUAGCUAGAUCCCUUAGACCACUGCUUCCUAAAUCUAAUUGUGUAUGGGAAUCACCUGCGAAUCCUGUGAAGAUGCAGAUUCCAAUUCACCAGGUCUAGGGUGGGGCCUGAGUCUGUGUUUCUAACUGGCUUCCUUCCAGGAGACACUGAGGCCUCCCUUCUGAGGACCACAGUGUGUGUGGGCAUAGCAAGGCCAUAGACAACAGGUCCUCAUCAGUAUGAGGUCAGUGAUGGCGGUAGCAGAGCACUGCCUGAGGGGGCCGGAGGUGAACUCCUUUGGGGUGAUUUUCUCAGGUUAUGAAGCUGAGGUCUCAGAGCAGAACUGAAUGUCUCCUGGAGAGAUGCACCGUGCCGUUCUGGAUACAGUAGAACUUCUGGAAUAUGGGAACACAUGCCAUUAUCAGAAGGCUGCCUAUUCUAGAAGAUUUCAUUUGGGGGAUUCUAGAAAUCAGUGCCUUUCUAAAGAAACCCCUGUAUCAAGUUGAUGAAGAUUCUUGAACCAGUCAGAAUCAUGUGAAGGGAAAGAGCACCCAGAGAACAAAUUACCUUCAUUCCAGCCAAAAUAUUUGUUUUACUAUUUUGGGGACAAAAUAAAAAGGGAAUUGGAGAAUUUUUCAUUUUCUUAAUAGCUAUCCCACCUUUGAACUACUACAUGAGACAGACAGACAGACAGAUAUAUCAAAGUCUAUGGCAUCUGUCCUCCAGGAUGUUACUUUCACUUGAUCUGUAAUGUGUCUGUUUUGUAUAUUUUUAAAGCAACAUUUGUCCCAUUUUUCAUUUUCCAUUCAAUUGAGUUCUGGAUGGGUUAUUACUCCUUACUUUUCAAAUAAAAGUACACAGAGGAACAGAUGGAAGGAAAGGAGGAGGGAGAUUACAAUCAUGAAAAUGUGAUUGAAGUCAGAGUGUAACAAGCAUGGAAAGAAUUUGAUUACAUAAUAAAAAGAAUUAAUAUAGAUUAAGAGUAAAUAAGUAUCCUAGUAUGCUAACAUCCACAUGAUGUUUAAAAAUUCUAAACAGUAUACAGGAUUGCUUUAGGGGUUUGGGCGUCAAGAGGUUGGUUGAUAUCUUCUCUUUCAGAAAUCUUCACUGUAGGGUCAAGGCAUGAUUCAGCAUUGAAACAGGCAUGCUUAUUACUUGAGUAAAAGAAAUCAGAUGAUCUUUUCUAGGUCUCCAUGAGCAAUUAUUCACCAUUCACCUACAGCCAAUCAAAUAGAAUUUGUUUGAUCCACCUAAAGCACAUAUUUUUAAAAAAAUUCUUUUUUGUAAUUGUAGAAGAACAGCAAGCCUUCAUUUUGUUUAUUUUUAUAUGGUGCUAAACAUCAAACCUCACAUGUGCUAGGCAAGUGAUCUGUCACUGAGCUACAGUACCGGCCCCUGAUGCCCCAUAUUUAAGGAAUACUUUUUAAAAUAGAUUUGAGGUGAAUUUCCAAAAUGAAAGGGAACAUUUUAAAGUGAACAGUUCGCAGGCAUUUAAUAUAUUCAUGACAUUGUGUGACCCACCAUUUGUAUCUAGUUCUAAAACAACUUCAUCACCCCUGAAAGGAAAUCCUAUAUCCCAUGAAGAGGUUGCCUCCCAAUUCCUUCUCCCCCUAUUCUCUGGCAACCACCAACAUACUUUCUUCUCUGUGGAUGUAACUAUUCUGGAUAGUUCAGAUAAGUGGAUUCCUGCAGUAUGUGGCUCAUCUUCUUAACAAUAAACAUAAUAAUUAUAAUAAAAUUUAGCAUUGAGUGUUUAUAACAGGUGAGGCAUGUAAUUAUUUUUUAUGUAUAUAUUUAUUUUUUAGUUGUAGUUGGACACAAUAUCUUUAUUUUAUUUUUAUGUGGUGCUGAGGAUUGAACCCAGGGCCUUGCACAUGCUAGGCGAGCACUCUACCUUUGAGCCACAAUCCCAGCCCGAGGUAUGUAAUUCUUACAACAGACUUAUAAACAGGUACCAUCAUUAUUUAUAUAGAAGAGUGUUAUGGUUUAGAUAUGAGAUGUCCCCCCAGGAGCUCCUGUGUAAGACAAUGCAAGGAAGUUCAGAUGAGAGCUUUAAUCUAGUCAUUGGCUUCAUCUACACAUAUAGAUUAACUAACUGGAUUGUAACUGUACGCUAGAAGAGGUAGGUCAUUGGGGACAUGCCUUUGGGUUUACAUUUUGUCCUUGGUAAGUGGAUCUUGCUCUCUGCUUCCUUGUUGCCAUGUCUCCAGCUGCUUCCACCCACCAUGGCCUUCCACCAUGAUGGUCUGCCUCAUCCUGGGCCCAGAACUGCAGAGUCCACCAGCCAUGGACUGAACCUCUGAGACCAUGAGCCAAAAUAAACUUUCCUCCUCUAAGUUGUUUUUGUCAGGUUUUUUGGUUACAGUGAUAAAAAAUUGACUAAAACAAUGAGAAAAUUGGCACUUGGCUAAAUGAAUUGCCUGAGAUCCAUAAAUUAUGGUUUAACAAGGAAUAACCUUUGGCCAGACCCACUUACACUAGUGCUUUUUCCAAAUGCCACAGCUAUAUCUCAACUUCAUUUCCCUUAUCACAGACAGAUGGAUGGAUACUCCUUCUCAAGUUUAACAACUUCAUAGAACUUGAUUCAAAUACUGAAUGUGUUGUUACUUGCUUACAGCUGCUAUUUCUCUAGCAGUGCAGUAAGUCCAGGCAAACUCUUUUGAAGAGCUCAUUAAAACUGCUAAAAUAAAGUCUUAGAAGCAGGUGCAUUCAUUAGUUGAAAUGCAGACGAUUAUGUUAAUAUCGCAUUCAGGUGACAAAUUUAAAGGCAUCAAAAUCAUGGAGGAUAAAAGGAUUUUCAAAGCUAAAGUUAACUUCUUCCUUUGUAGAACUCUUUGUUCUGUUAAGCAUGUGACUGACUGCAGCUGUCCAACUUGGGGACCUCCAAUGUUAUCUCACAAAAAUAAAGCUGUUUUGCAAUAAUUUAUUUCCCUUACAAAUUCUUGAGCCUCAAUUUAGAAAAAGAAAGAUAAAGAAUUGUCUCCAACCCUGCUGCUAGAUCUGGCACCCCAUUUACAACUUAUUUUCCACCCUGGGUCCAAGGGUAGGGGAAACACAUUUAAAAAGAUGAUUGAAAUAUGUAGGCAGAAUUGGGGACGUAGCUCAGUGGUACAGCCACAUGGGUAAUAUGCUGAGUUUGAUUCCCAGCAUAAAAAAAAUGUCAGGGGGCUGGAGUUGUAGCUCAGUGGUAGAGCACUAGCCUAGCAUGUGUUAGGCACUGGGUUCAAUCCUCAGCUCCACAUAAAAAAUAAAUAAAAUAAGGUAUUGGGUCCUCUACAACUUAAAAAAAAAAAAAGUUGGACCAUGAGCCCUAAUUUGGGAAAGAUGGCUCAUCAACAAUUGAUGAGCCACAUCCUCAGCCCUUUUUAAUUUUUUAUUUAGACACAGGGUCUCACUGGGUUGAUUAGGGCCUCCUUACUAAGUUGUUGAGGCUGGCUUUGAACAUGGGCUCCUCCUGCCUCCGCCUCCUGAGCUGCUGAUACAAGCAUGUGCCACCAUGCCUGGCUUGCCCUUUCUUAAUCUGAAAGAAAUGUUGAGUGUGAAAUGUGUAUGUGACCACAUAUAUAUGUUUGGCAUAUUAUUUACAUAUUUAUUUUGUGGUGGGGUGUUUGGCUGCUGUAUCUAAGGGACCCAACCAGGACAGCUGUAGAGGAAUAAGUUUAUUUGAGGGCUCAUGGUUUUAAAGGUCUUAGUCAGCCAGCUAGACAGCCAGCUCCAUUCCUUGAGGCUCGAGAUGGGGGCGAGGGCAGAACAUCUAGGCAGAACAGUGUGGCAGAGGGAAGCAGCUCAAGUGAUGAUCAGGAAGCUAGAAAGAGGUCUCCCCUUGCCAGAUACAAACGACAAACGACACCCCAAAUUCUCACCUCCUCCAGCCACACCCCACUUGCCUUCAGUUACCACUCAAUUAAUCCCAUCAGGUGAUUAAUUUACUGAUUGGGUUCAAGCUCUUGUAACCCAAUCAUUUCUUCUCUGAACCUUCUUGCAUUGUCUCAUACAUGAGCUUUUGGGGGAUACCUCACAUCCAAACCAUAACAUGGGGAUUGAACCCAGGGGUGGAAUUUGCAAUCCUCUGCCUCAGCCUCCUGAGUAGCUGGGAUUAUACAGGCAUGUACCACCACGUGGGGCCAACAUAUAUGUAUUUGAGAGCCUAUAUGCCAGAAUAUUAAUAAUAGUUCCACCAGAAUAAUUUAAAUUUUCUUUCUCUAUUUUUAUAUUUUAUAAAUUUUCUGCAAUAAAUACAAAAUUUAAAUUUUUUAAAAUUAAUUUAAAAAAUUUUUAAAUCUGUGCCUUUUUAAAAAUUUAAAACAAUUUUUUUUAACUUUUUAAAAAUUAUUUUAUUUGUUUACUUUUUAUGUGGUGCUGAGGAUUGAACCCAGGGCCUCGCAUGUGCUAGGUGAGUGCUCUACUGCUGAGCCACAACUCCAGCCCCCCAAAUUUUUGCUUUCUAAACUUAUUAAAAAUUACUGUGGAGCACAUAGCCCUUCCACAUUCAACAGUUUUACUGGUAAGAUUAGGUUACCAUUUAGUUGUCUAGCACAUGGAAGCUGGGCGAGGUGUUUCUGUAAUUCCCUUCCUCUUCUCAAACCCAGGAUAUCUGUGGAAACAUUGCUUUUUUCCUUUUAGAAAGAAAUAUAAGAAAAUACAGCUCAGUAUCAAGUUACUUAAUAAGAAUACAAGCAUGGUUAAAUAGUUUUAUAUUUUUCUUCAAAACCUAAGUCAAGAGGGCUUGCAUCAAAGUGAAUGUAGCUUACCUCUUGCAAUGGGAAAAGGACUAAAAAACCUAUUUAGGACAAACAUAUUUAUUUUUAAUAUUUUGGUUGUGCUCUCUGUGAAACCUUUGUAAACUAUACUUGACUUUCUUUUUUUAAAAGUGUACAAAAAUAAUUGUGUUACUGAUUAAAACAUAAAUACUGAAGCUGCUAUAGACUUGAACCUUGCUACCAAUAGAACACAUUUAUGUAGUGUGUAUGCAUUGCUCAGUAGCUUGAAAUUAACAAGCUGAAAGACCACUUAUACAGUGUAAUAGUCCUAUUUUUGCCUUUCUCCCUUUGUCUUCUACUUUAUCCUUACCCUGUUCAAUAUUACUAUCUCUUUUUUUCUCUACAUAAUUUAGAAGUCCAUCAAUGCCAUUUAAAAUGAAAAGCCAUACAUAAAGUCAGAAAAAUCACCUUGGGAUGGGAUUGGACAGUACUUUCAUGUAGUAGUACCACAUUGAAAUCAGGGGAUAUGUUCCAAGACCCCAAUGGAUGCCUGAAACCAUAGAUAUUACUGAACCCUAUAAUUUAAUACCUUUUCCAUCUUAAUUAAGCACUUAUCAAGCACAUGGCCAUAACUUUUGCAGUUAGAUGUGUGAAGCAAAACUAGUCCAGAUUUUCUCAGAUAGAACCAUAGACCUCAUCAACCACAGAAUAGUUUUUUUUUUCCUUUCCUUAUUAAGUCAAAACUUUCACCUCUUUCCUUGGUCUGUUGUUGGCAUAUUUGAGUUGUUAGUACCACUACUCUUGUGCUUUGGGGACACUAUUAAGUAAAAUAAAGGUUGCUUGAAUAAAAUCACAUGACACAUAACAGUCAAUCUGAUGAUUGAGAUGACUACUAAGUGACUCACAGGCAGGUAGCAUAUACAGCAUAGAUACAUUGGACAAAGAGGUGAUUCAUGUCCCAGGUGGGAUGAAACGAGAUGGCAUGAAAUCUCAUCAUGCUACUUAGAACAGCAAGUGAUUUAAAACUUAUAAAUUGUUUAGUUCUAGAGUUUUUUAUUUCAUAUUUUUGGACCAAGGCUGAUUUGGAGUAGCCAAAACCUGAGAUGAGGGAAAACUGCUGUAUACCUGCCUCUCUCUCUGGUUAGCAGUAGCCUAGCUGAAUCCUGUUCCAAACUGCCAUAAUAUGUCUCAUUAGCUGAAACUUACAUGGAUACAGCUCCUUUGACUGCUGGACAGCUCCGAGUCUCCUAGCAGUAUUUUCCCACCCACCCUCUUCUCUUUAUGUUUAAUUCUCAGAGCUAACACCCUCACAAAGCUGCAGAUUUUAGACAAAACAAGGAAGAUAGCUAAAAGAGACUCUUGUUCUUCUAAUAUGAUCCAUCACUACCAUAAGAUAAGAGGGUAAAUUUCAAAACAGAAUUUAGAGAUGAACAUGAGAGGUCACCUUAGUCAAGUUUCCUUUUCAUGGAUGUGUUUCUUCUAGAGAGUACCUGGUAGUCAUCCAGCUUGACUUUGAAAUUUUCCAAUGAUGAAAAACUGUUCUACUUUCGCCCCCACUUUUCUCCUGAUAGAUGGGUCGAUAGAGCACAAAUAGCAUUAUAACCACAAUGCCAAAAAGAAAAUAAAUAAAUGAAUCCUAAUCCUUAAAAAAAAUUGGCUUUUUUUUUUCAAAUUUCUAUUACUGAUCCAGAACCCAGUCUCAAGGAAGUAUAACCCCUUAGGAUUCAUGAGGAAUGCAAUGAGGUUGAAUCAUUUGGCUGAAAGACACAGAUUUUAUUGGUCCAGAGUGUCCAUUACACCAUGAGAACAAUACCCAGAAAAGGAAAAUUGUAUAAUUUAUUUAUAAGCCUGAAUACCAGAGUGUUGUUCAAAUCUCUUUCUAAUUCAUCCCCUUUGUCUCCUUGAUGCCUGUGCAACAAAAGAAAAUUUCUGAGAUUAUUUAAUCCAGGAAUCUUGCCUUCAAGGAUAUGCCAACAUUUACAAAGACUAAGUUGAGCAGUGUGUUUCCAAGUUACCUAAAUUUACAUAUUAUGAUUUUCCUUUCAGAAGAAUUAGAGAGUUCAGCAGUAUUCUGAAACAACUAGAUAUGAGAACACAAAGAAAAAUAAUAGCAAUUUUUUUUUUUCAGAGACAGGGGGUCCUAUGGAAGCCACCGGAUAUCCUGUCUUUUCUACACUGGCUACGUCAUCAGACCUUUUUUUUUUAAAGUGAUUGUAAUGAUUAAAGUGGGGUUGAAUUUGGAAAAUCAGUUCAUUAAUAGAGAGGAUAGAAUACUGUGAACUAUAAUUUUGUCUAAGUAAAUAUAAAGGAGAGAGUUUUUGAAUGAUUAUUAUUGUAAUGAAUUGUAAAAAAAUUCAAGUACAAAAGAAUGCAAAGAAGACAAGAAACCACCCUACAUCCAUUGCCAAAUAAAUAAAUAAAUAAAUAACCACCAUAAAUGUUAGGGGUAUAUCAGCUCAGUUAUAGAAGUAAGGAUACUUUAGAAUUUUAAAAGGCAACUUAUAUUUGGGCAAUUGAACAUGGCCUUAUUUAUGGCCCAAUUGAAACAAACACAAAACCUGGCAUUUAAAAAUUAUCUAUUUACUCUGAACAAUUUUGAGAGGAAGGGUAUUAAUUAGAACUUUGAAUCUAUAAGAAAUUCUGAGAAUGUGAAUUCAAUAAGAAUCAACAAAUGUCUUUAAUUUCUUCUGUAUAUCCAUCUUCAAUUCAGCUGCAUCAAAAGUAUAUUAUAGUAAGAUAUGUUUCCCUAAUUCAUUUCAGUUUACAAAUCAACUUUAUACUGACUUUCAAGACCCUGUAAAAUAAUCAGGGCUGCCAGUCAGCUGGUGCAUGCUAGUUGGGCCUUCUAGUUUGUUUAGUCUAUCCUGGUUCCUUGGACAUACAUUUUGAUUGGUCCUUGUCUAUGCUAUAACAGUUAUUAAGUUUUUUGGGUUUUUUUGGUACCAGGGAUUGAACCCAGGGGCACUUAAUCACUGUGCCACAUCCCCAGCCCUUUUUCAUAUUUUAUUUAGAGACAGGGACAGAGUCUCACUGAGUUGGCUAGGUUCUUGCUUAAAUUGUUGGGGCUGGCUCUGAACUCGAGAUCCUCCUCCCUCAGCCUUCUGAGCCGGUGGGAUUACAGGAGCGCGCCACCUCACCCAGACAGUUAUGAAGUAUUUUGAACAUCAUCCCUGAAAUAGGAAAUAGAGGAAAACCUAAUAAUUUUGUCUAGCAAUUUAAGUUUGAAAUACACACUUCUCAUCUGCUGGCCACAUUCCCACUGUUCUUCCCUUUGGAGCAAAUACUGAAGCAAAACCACCUUCUUAUGAUUCUUUUAGUACAAUUUUGUGCCGAUUCAUACUUCCACAUAUUGGCAAUACGUUUUGUUCUCAGGUCGGUAGAUUUCUGUAGGGAAGAGGUGGAUAGAUGGAGAGGCAUGUGGUAAACACCUUGGUCUAUCUGAGGAAGAGGGCGGGUGGCAGUCAUUUUACCCUUGGUCUUCACCGAGGUUCAAGCAGUGACCAGCAAGGCUGUGACAGGAGCUCAAUUCAGCAGGGUUCCAAGAUUAUGGAAAUCACAUUAUUCCUGGGACAGGAGAUUCUGCCAGCUAGUCAUGCCCAUCAUUAUAAAUAAAUGAUGAAUUCAUGUCCAUCAUUAAGGCAAAAACACACACUCUUCAAUCCAAAGUCCCCAUUUUAAUAUUUACCUAAGAAUGUUUUUUUUUUUCUUUCUUUCUUUUUUUCUUUGGCCAAAUCUACCUCCCUCCAAGAAGAAAGGAGACUUCUUGUUAUUGUAAAUAAAUGCAGACAACAAUGGGGAUAUCCUAAUGCAUCACAUCAAGGUCUAUUUAUACUAGUGAUAGCUUGUUAUAUGGCCAUGCUAAACAUUCCCAUGAGCUAAAUUUGUGGGUGGGAGGGGUGCUGGGGGUAGAACCCAGAGUCUCACAUACGCAGCAAAUGCUCUGACACAGCUUCACCCCCAGCCCAAGUUUUAUUCCUUUGAUUUUCUAAUUUGGGGGCUGGGGUUGUGGCUUAGUGGUAGAGCGCUUGCCUAGCCUGUGUGAGGCACUGGGUUCAAUCCUCAGCACCACAUAAAAAACAAUAACUAGAAUAAAGGUAUUGUGUCCAUCUACAAUGAAUAUAUUAAUAAAUAUAUGACAAAUCUUUAAAAUAUAUGUAUAUAUAUAAAACAAAUCUUGAAAAAAAAUUAAAUAAAUAUGUCUCUUAUUAACUUCAUCUACUUAUUAAGGAGGUCCCUCUCGGUUUCUUUCUAUUGAAGAGGUGAAGUAAUUUUUGUUUAUUUAAUUUUUCUUUAUAAAAAGGAAUGAGUAAACCCCCCCACACACACACUCCCCUGCUUUUAAAUAUACCUCAUUAAACUCAUGUUGGGGCAAAAAAAAAUUACAGGAAAUUUUCAAACUCAAAGGAAGUUCCGCUUCUUUAUGUUGCAAAAUCAGAAACAUCAUGGUCUCCAUGAUCUUUGUGAAAUUCAGGGAUGUUGAGUUAGAAUCAACGUCCCUGAAUUUCACAAAGAAAUUCUUUUUGGCAGAUUAUUACAAUUAUUUCUGUUUAAAAUUUGUGCGGCACUUCUCCCAUCCUACUUACACUUGAGUAAUGGUAAUACAAAAAUUAGAUGCCAGGUCCUGUCUUACUCACCAACUUACAUUGAAAAAAUACAGGCCAAAUAGAUGGAAGAAGAAAGCCACUACUUCCUGGGUAACCCACAUAUCACAAUUGAUGGUAAUGGCCUAAUCAAAAGUACAGAUUUCUGUGCAAUAAUAGCCCUGUUUACCUCAUAAACACUAGACCACUUGAUGGUUUUUCCUGGAAAAAAAAAAUUCCUAACUAAUUUUAGUAAAUUAAAUCAUAUUUUCCCACUGACAUGUUCUAAUUUAAAGACAUGACUUCAUUUUUUAAUUGAUCCCAAACUGAGAGUGACACUCAACCGUCCUUCUUUUCUUUUAUUUCUUUCCUUUUUUUUUUUUGAACCAAGAAGUGCUGUGCCACUGAGCCACAUCCCCAGCCCCUUUUAUUUUUAUUUUUUUAUUUUGAAACAGGGUCUUGCUAAGUUGCAGAGGCUGGCCUCGACCUUGCAAUCCUCCUGUCUCUGUCUCCUGAGUCACUGUGAUUGCCCUCGUGCACCAGUAUACCCAGCUACUGUUUAAAAUUUCAAAUUUGAUUAGCAUUCACUAAUUAGGUACUUUAGGGAAAGGGCUAAUUUGAAUUAGUGAAAAUUUUGAAUGCUAAGAUAUAAAAAUACAGAGUUAUAUCACCUCAUAGUACAAUAUGCAAUUCCAGGAGUCUAUUAUAGAGAAGUAUUUCUGAGAAGAAGGCUACUGUGAAGACUGUUUUAAUAAAAUUCCUCUUUAAACCUUAGGUAAAUUCAUGCUGCUAAUUUAUCUGAAUAUGUUUAGCUCAUAUUCACUCUGUAGUUAUUAUAUGCUUGACAUCAUGCUAGAAAAAUUUUUGUCCUCAAGUUAACAAUUCACUCUAAAUUAUCAUUCAUUUUGCCUAGUGACAUUUUAUCUCAUGCUUCAUUCAGCACCUGUCUCAGUGUACUCAUUUAUUCAAAAGACACUUUAAAGUUAUAAUGGGAUAUAAGCACAAAUUCAAAAUGACUGGGGUCUUAAGGUGAAAGUCAUUUAUCAUGUGGACCAACACCAAUCCAUCAGUAGAGCAAUCGAUCAACAAGUCCUUUGUUCUAGCUAGCAUAGCUGGGUCAGGGUUUCUCAACCUUGGCACAAUUGACCUUUAAGACUAGAGAAUUCUUUAUUGUGGAGGGCUGUUCUGUGCAUUCCAGGAGCUUUAGCAGGAUCCUUGCCUCUUUCCAUUAGAUGCCAGUAAUGACCCCACUUCCAGGUCUGACAAUCCGAAAUGUCUCCAGACGUUGCCAAGUCCCCAGGGGAAGGAGGGGAGUACCCCUGAUGGAGAACCAGUGGUUAGUGUGUAUAUCAUGCCUUCUUUAUUAGAUUAUAAAGACUUUGAGGGCAGAGACCCAGUCUGAUUCAUCACUCUACCACCCCUUCUCUACCACCUAAAUUUAGUUUCUGGCACAAAAAUGCCUCUUGAUGAAUGUUCUGAAAGGAACAAAAUAUCUCUGGAGUGUCUCUGCUGCUGUCAGCCCUGCACAGGGCACCUUGGGAAAUCCAGAAGCUGAAUAAAGUAACUGGGAUGAAUUGUCUAGCAAACUUUUACGAUUUGAAUAAUCGUCUGUAUUGUAGACCCACUUGGCUGCAAAAUGUCUACGUUUGUAUAAGACUUUCUUAUAUUUGAAGUAUGUCUCAUAUAACGCUGUUUAAUCCACACACAAUAUUAAUCAAUUUGGCCACCACUGUUUAUAAUAUAAGCUUCCAAGUCCUAGGAACAUAUUCUUAGGCAAGAGUGGGAGGUAUUCCGGUUUCAGUAGCCUUGACUUCAUUUAUUAAAUGGAACUCUUAGAAUUGGUUUUAAUAAUGUUAAAUUUAAAGUUCAGAUUCUCUUUUGUCACGUUAGAACAUCUAAAAGGCUCUCCAGUGAUCUAAGUAAUUUGGGUUUGCUUAGAUUCCUGGAAAUUGCCAGAAGACUUUAAGGGAGGAGGGGGGGAAAAAAAACGAGUGAGGAAAUUUUCCCUGUGGGCAAUUCGGGAAAACAAAAAUAUUUUUGUGCUGUGGAGACUUCUCAGGAAAGGAGGGUUGGCCAGUACCGGCUGCAUCUGCGCAAGGGGAAUUUCCACAUUUGGGAAAACAUGAUCAUAAUUAAUGACUUAGGAAAGCCAAGAAAAUGGACCAUGUUGGAAAAAUAUGAUCUUGGAUGGCUAAGUCACUGUCAAUGGAUUGGGCUAGAAAAUUGGAUUGUUUUAGACAGAGAUUUUUAUUUGUGGAUAUUUUCCUUUAGUACCCUGCAACUGGGGCCAUAGGAAGUCCUGUCCCUGGAGAACGGGCUUCCCAUAUCUAGAUCCACUCUCCCUGUCUCCCCACCUUCAGGGUGUGUUUGCUUUAGACGUCUGGCCUAGCCACUGACUGGUCUGGAGUCUUUUGGUUUGAACAUGACACAGAGGUCUAGCCAGCAGGGGCCGUUAGUAUCUGUUAGAACCAAGACGAUUAUCCAGGACUCUGGGGCAAGGACAAGAGGAUGAAAUUACCUGGUACUAAUGCAGCCAUCAUUAAUGGGGGCUUCCAUGUCCCAGGCCUGGUGCUCAGAACAUUCAAAACUGUCUUGUUGUAGACUCACAAGCAACUGAGGCUCAACAAAUUUGAGCCACUUGCUCAUGGCCAUGCAGUUUUUACCAACCAAAGUAUACUUCCCUCCCUUCUGGUCCUUCACAGAAAGUCUACUUCCUAAAUUGGAAUGUUCUUCCUCGGAGUACAACCUCCUGCUUCCUUAACCGCUACCUUCCUCUUGCUCUUUCCCAGAUCACUUUGUUUAAACUAGAUCUGCUCACGGGAGUUCUCUAUGGUUACCUCUCAUUCUCAAGAGGAGAAAUCCGGGUUAACAAGUUCAGCACCAUUCACAUCUCCGUUUACUUAGGGAAUGAUUAUGCGCCUAGAACAUUCUUGACCUGCUUUCUGGUUUUCUUUUACCUGGCCAAUCAAUUUUAUUAAUACAGGUAUGAUCCUCUUAUGCCUCUUCUCUCAGGAUUUUCUCAAGGUAGAAAUAGCUUGCCAAAUUUAAAAAGAUUUUUUUUAAGGUGAAGGUCAAGUUCUUCAAAAAAGGAAAUCUAACUAGGAAAGAAAAAGAUCCCUAUAUUUGACAUGUAGACGGAGUAUCCAGUGGAUCACUGAUAAAAUGCAACACAAUGUUUUGCAAAUUAAAAAGAUUACAGGUUCAUUCGGGUCCCUCGGAAGGAACAAUUCCACACCCUAACCCAUAUGACGUAGCUUCUAAAGUUAGCUCUGUCCUGCAACUGCAAUGAAUCCAACAAAACAAACGUAACCAGCACUGAAGAGUCUAAUUGUCCUUGAUUGACCCUUGAAUAUUGUAAUUAAUAUAAAAAUCACAGCAUUUGGAAAUAAUUUAAUACACUCUGUUAAACCUAAAACAACAUAAUUUGUUUGGAGUGUUUCUUGGGCAUAGUCAGAUAUUAUUAACUUCAUUUAGAGAUCUGAAAACUGAAGAGAUGUAUUUGUUUUCUAUGACAAUGGAAAAAUUAUCGCAACCUUAAGGAUUAGAGCAGUAUCCCACUUUUUCUGCAGGUUCUAUAGUUUUAUAGGUUGCUGCAGUCCAGGUGGGCUUGGCUGGGAUCUCUGCUUAGAAUACCAUAGGGUAGAAAUCAAGAGAUGAAUUGGGCUGGACUCUCAUCUAGAGGUUCUGGGGAAGAACUCACAUAUUCCUUCUCACUUGGUUUUCUCUAUUCUCACAGCCAGCAGUCACGCUGGAGACUUUCUCACAAUUGAAAUCGUUUCAUCUUCCUCUAGAAAACUAUUCUUCUAAAGGAUUCAUUGGAUUGGGCCAGGCCCACUGGGUAAUCUCCAUAUUUUAAACUCACCUGGGACUUAAAACCCUCCCCAGCUUGUACCCCAAUGACAGUCUAACUGAAUAACCAGGGGAUGGGAAUUUGGGGCUGCCAUCUUUAGAAUUUCGUCUGCCAUAAGGAAAUAGUCACCCAGUUAAUCUGAGACAAAAUCUGGAGACAGACUCCCAACAGAACUGAGUUCAAUAACUUAAUUUUCCCUUUAUUCCUCUUAUUGUUUUGCUUCUAAACGUAUAUGUAUGGUUUGUUUUUAAUACAUGUGUUUUGGGGGAUGCAUAUCCCCAUAUUUUUCACUGAUGCAUGGUCAAAAUCCAAGGCUGGUUUGGGACAUCGUGUUUCAGAGGCCUAUCUGAAAAUUAAUGUCUAGGAUUAGAACUGGACACUGUGCAUGGUAGGGGAGCAGUGUUGAUAGGUAAGAAAGGACAGUGGCUAAAGUUUCACUGAAUACAGAGGAGGAAUAAUUUAGUCUUUUCUUUUUGAGGUGCCAGGGAUUGAACCCAUGGCCUUGUCCAUGUUAGGCAAGCACUCUACCAACUAAGCUUCGUCCCCAACCCCAUAGUCUUAUUUUUAGUAUAUUCACUAAAGACAGUUGAAGAUGGGGAUUCUCUUAUUAUUUUCUUUUUUUUAAUAUUUAUUUUUUAGUUGUAGUUGAACACAAUACCUUUAUUUAUUUUUAUGUGGUGCUGAGGAUCGAACCCAGAGCCUCGAAUGUGCUAGGUGAGUGCUCUACUGCUGAACCACAACCCCAGCCCCUCUCUUAUUAUUUUCUACAGGCAAUUCCAGAAGUUCAAAGAUCAGGAGACAGAGGAAGGGAGGGGAAAGGGAGAGGGCGAGAUUGAUUUGUGAAUAGCAUUUGAGAAUCUAUUUUUUUCCCAACGGGGAGAUUUGGGAAUGUGCUGGAUAAGCAUCACUAGCAGCUACCUAGUGUGGAUCUGAAUGAACUUCCCAAACUUUUUGUUGUACAAUCCCAAUGAGUCAUGGCCUGCAGGUGUGCUGGAGGUCUUGAAUGCGGGCUGAGUUCUUGGUCCCAGCUGAUCAUUGAUCCAGAAACCUGGGCCUACACAGGGUCAUCUUGGGAUUGGGAAAGUCUGGAAAAAACUGAGAGGAUCCUAGAAAGAGAGAUGAAGGAAGAUGGCAUAUUCAUUUCUCUGACUUUAUCAUUAUACCUGGAGGACAACCUAAUAAAAAAAAAUCUAGUAUUUUGAUCAAGGGAGUAGAGAUGAAUUUAGCCUUUGGAAAGUCAUAGAUAGAAAUAUGAAAAUGUAAGAGAAAGGCAAGACAUUUCAGAGGCUAACUAAAUCUCUCUCUCCUCUUUCAAGUACAUUUGGGUUUUCCCUUCCUUGAAAUCCUGGGCCAAAAAUGGAAAGGAGCAAAACAUUCCCCAAAUGUUUCUUUUCAAAGUCUCCCAAACCUUCAGAAAAUGGUGAGACAAUGCAAUCAUGUUAUUAAGCAAAGAGAAAGAAGUCAGUGGAGAAGACAUUCAGAAAGAGCAAUUUGGUUCAGGGGACACGUGGUUUGUUUGGCUUUGGAAAUGAGGACACAAGGAAGAAAGACGUAGGGCGGGAGUUAAUGUUGCUUAUUAAUUGUGACGUCUUAAAGCAAAACAUAUUUGAGAUUUUUUAACUGAGUGAUUUUACUCUAUAAAGGAUAACUCUAAGGAUCCUGAUAACAUGUUGCAGAUGUUAUUUUGAUUCACAAAGUUUUCCACUUAAAAGUCUUUCCUUUCAUGUCUUCAUUCAUUCAGAAAUAUUGGAUGAGAACUUCCAGCAAUGAACACAACAGAUGAGGUCCCUGCUUGCAUGAAGCUUCGUCCUAGUGGGGAAGUUAGAUAAUACACAAAUACACAGGUCUCAUAACAUGAUACAUGAAGAGGUAAAUACUGUGAAAAUUAGACAGUGAUAGCGAUAUGGAGAAAUAAAAAAAGAGUGAAUCGAUGAAUGACCCGGUGUCAUUUUAGACUGCAUGAUUUGGGAACCCCUGUCUGAAAAAUGACAUUAAACCAUGAUCUCACUGACAGAGAGGAACCCAUCAUGAAAAGAUAGGAAAGAACAGCAGUCUAGGUAGAGAGGACAGAUGGCUCAGAAGUCUCCAAGAUAUUAAGAAAUAUGAGUUUGAGAAAGAGGACCCAGGCGGCUGGAACUCAUUGGCAAAUGGAAAAGUGGCACAAGAUGAAGUUGGACAGGUGGACAGAGUCUAGACCAUUUAGGCAUGACAGGCUAGGAUAAGGAAUUUCAACUUUGGACAGAUGGGAAGCCAUUGGGAGGUUGUAAACAAGGAAGUGAUUUUCUGUUUGGGCAUAGAAUUGUAGAGAGCAAGAGAAGAAGUUGAGUCGGGAAGUCUUUAGGAAGCAAUUGUCAUAUAGGUGAAAAUGGUGGUUUGAUCUAGGACAGUAGCAGUGAAGCUGGUGUCUGGGGCAGGUGCAGAAGGUGGAGUCCACAGGACUCUCUGCGGGUUUGUAUGUGAGAUAUAAGAAAAUGGAAGGACUCAAAUCUAUUGCCUCUACUGUCAGCUCAGGUACCAGGUGGAUGGUGAUGCCAUUGGUGAGGCAAGUGACAUAGGAAUAAGAAGAGUGGCUGACCCUCUUAAUUACCUCCCCACUCACUGUUCCUUUCUUGCCUCUAACAGAGCCCUGCCUUUGUUUAGAAUGACAAUAUGUCCAGCCCCAAGUGAUGAGUCAUGAUUGGUAUAAUUCAGUCAUAAUAGUCCCAUUCCCUUUUGCUAGAUACUCAAUUUUCCCAUUUCCUUUGCAGCUAAGGGAGCCUUAUUUCUGGCUAAUGAAAUCUCAGUGAAAGCCUCUGGGCAUAGAUAUGUCUGUCUGGAACACCCUCAUAAUAAAGGUGGAGCUAUGGUAGAUAUCUUCUGACUUUAAGACUAAAGGUCUGAAGAUUAAAAACCCAUAUGCUAAGGAUGGUAAAGGAGAAAAAAAAUCACCUGAAUCCAGGAUAAUAUGGUGGAGUUAGCUGAACCUACACCAGAGACCUUGUUUAUGAAAAACAGAAAUUAAAUUUUGUUUAAGCCUCUUGUUGUUAUUUGAUAUGAGAUGGUUCAAGAAAAGAAUCAAGGGUUCUCAUUUGACUGUGUUGAGUUGGAGAUGCCCAUUAGAUCUUCUUGUGGAAGUUGCUGCAUAAUAUUUCCCUUCUCUUACCAGUGGAACAAAAUUUUCUAGACCUAUUAAAUCUAUAUAGAGACAGAAUCAUACAGUAUAUGACUAGAAAACUAUGAAAAGAUAAAUAUAAAUGUGAAAAAACUUGCAGUGGCUAUGAGGAAGCCCAAAUUAGAAUCUGACCAUCAAUAUAUAAGACUGACUCCCCCCAUUUGUUAGGUUAACAAGAUUGAAGUUGUUAAAACAGGAUGUACAGCCAGGUAUGGUGAUGCACACCUAUAAUCCCAGAGAUUUGGGAGGUUGAGGCAGGAGGAUUGCAAGUUUGAGGUCAGUCUCAGCGACUUGGUGAGAUGCUGUCUCAAAAUAAAAAAAUAAAAAAUGGCUGGGGAUAUAGCUCAGGAGUAGAGCACCCCUAGGUUCAAUCCCUGGGACCAAAAACAAAACAAACAAACAAACAAAAACAAAGCAAAACAAAACAAAACAAACUCCUCAAGAGAAUGGCCAAGCUGUGUGGUAGAGAAAGUCUGAAGACCAAAUGGGUCCCUACAUUUCCAAGUAACUUCCAUCAUCUGGGCAGGGCAAUAUUGCCCUAAACUAGAGUACAUAUUUCCAUUAAGACAGUUUUGUAUCUAUAUAUUAUAGUGCUCAUGUAUUGCUAUAUUCCCUCCUUGAAAAACUUACUAGGGAGCCUAAAAUAGGCUAAAUUGAGCUUUUAGCACAGCUCUGGUUGCUGGUAAAAAUCAGCAUCUACAAAACCAAUUGCACUUCUUUCCAUUAGAGCUCUCACCCACUGCUGGAUCUAUAGUUUUAUAUAUUAAAAGUUUGCCAAUCCAUGGAUUUCCCCCCCACCCCCAGACACUUUAUCUGUGUGCUGGAUGGCUUGGACUUUAUCUACAGAAAAAAAAUAUAUAUAUUUAUAAAUAUAUAGAUGUAUGUAUUUUGUUGUUGUCUGUUUGUUUGUUGUUUUUGCCAGUACCCAAUCAGACACAGCUAUUGAUUUUGUGUGGACGAGUAACUGAAUCUGCAAAAUUGGCUCUGCAGGAUAAGUACCUUGUAUUCUGCCCAUACUGUGAGUCUGUGUUCUCCUGAGGUUGAUUGGCUCAUCAUAUUCUGCUUUCGUGUUCCCUGGUUUAUCACGGUGCUUGGGGGUUUUUGCCCCUACACCUUUCACUUUGUCUUCUCCUAAUUUAUUACAAACAACUCUGGUAUUUUUUUGAAGUCUUGGAUCUGCAUUAAUUUUUAAGUCCCCAAGGAACAUUAUGUUCCCAAACAUUAUGUUCUGCACUCUCAUGCUCAUAUCACUUUGUGUAGUGCCAGACACCUCCUGGGAUCCCAAGAAAUGUUGUUUCUUUUUAAAAGAUGGACAAUUAUUCCAGGAGGCCCAUAAAACAUCUUUCUCAGUUGAUUUACUUUCACCAUUUACUUAUCCCCAGUGGUUUGGGUCAAAAUAUUGGUUAAUAGAAAGAUGUCGUCUUUGAGGUCUUGCUAGCUUCUCCUCAUUUCUUUAAAAGCGGAGGAGAAUAUUGACUGAUUUUAUAGGAGUAUUGGAAAGAAAUGAUGAAAAGCAUUGGGAUGAGAAAGGCUUUCAUUAAAAAUGUGAAAAGCUAGGGAGAUGACAGUGUCAUUUUCACCAAGCCUCAAUACGGGCAGAGCUCCCUUCACUGUGGGGAGCGGUUCGUUCAUUACAAGAACAGCCAUCCGUGGCAAACAGUAGGAGCUUCUUUGCAAAGUCUCAAGACCGGCUGUGUACACAUUUCCUCUUCUCUCAGCUUCUCAGCCAGAUCUGUAGCCCUUCAGUGCUUUCCUUCCAUGCAAAUUGGAACCUCCCUCUGAAUUGCUCUAGGGCUAGAGACACAGGAUAGGACCAUGGACAGAGGUUCAGCCUACCGAUCACUGCUGCCUUGGGAAAGCUGUUCUCUUCCUGCCAAGAAUCCCUGGGAGAGGGUCUGCAUAGAGACUUCUUUACCCUGGGGUAAAUCUUCCCUUCUCUAACUUCCUUUGGAGUGGCAUACAUUUCUUCCAGAAGCACUAGCUUCCUCCACCAACUCCAUGCUCCCGAGACAGAAGGAAUUAUCAUGUUUGCAAAUGGCAGCUCUUAAAUAUUUGAACCUAUUUCCAUUGUAAAAUAAUUUCAAGCAGAAAAGUACAAUUUCAAAUAGAAAAAUAUAGAAAAAUGGUUUUAAAAACAUCAAUGUAUAAAAUACCACCUUAACAAAUCUUAACAUUUGAUUUAUAUUGCUUUACAGUUUGCAUAUAAGAAGUCUUAACAGUACUGUUGAAGCCUCUGACUGACCCCUGGUUUCAUUCAUUUCUCAAUUUUUUUUCUUCCCUUUUUUUCCAAAAGUAACCACUAUUUUGAAGUUACUAUAAAUUAUUCUCAUUCAUGCUUUUAGACUUAUAUAUAUAUAUAUAUAUAAACAAUAUAUAUAUACUUUUAUAUUAUAUGUAUAUGAAACAAUGUUACAUAAACAAUAUGUAAUAUUGCUUUGUGUUUAUAAAGUAAAAUGUAUUAUGUUGUACAUAACAUUCUGCUUGUGUGUGUGUGUGUGUGUGUGUGUUACUGGGGAUUGAAUUUAGGGCCUCAAGUAUGCUACACAAGUGCUGUGCCACUGAGCUGUAUUCCCGACCCUUCAAAAUUUUUUUUUAUUUUGAGGUAGGGUCUCACUAAGUUGCCCAGGUUGGCCUUGAACUUGUGAUCCUCCUACCUCAACUUUCUGAUCUACUGUGUCACAGGUUUGAGUUGAGCCAUGGUGCUCAGCUGCCAUUUUAAAAUGCAUCAUUACUUUUUAGAUUUAUUCAUACUGCAACCUGAAGUAUUAACUCAUUACUUAAAACUGUUGAAUAUUAUUCCUUUGUUUGAAUAUACACACAUUCUGUAUCCAUUCUCUUGCUUUAAGGUUAUUUUUAGUUUGUUGUUUGCCAUAACAAAUAAUGCUCCCAUUAACAUUUAAAUACCAGUUUCCUGGAGCACAUUAUGUGAGGAUUUUUCUAGGCCAGAGCUUCUCACCCUUACCUUAUUGACAUUUUGGACUGUGUAAUUCUUUCUUGUGGGAUAGGAUGCUGAUCUCUCACCUCUACCCACUAGAUAUGAGUCACGCCACUUCUCCCUGCCCCCAGUGUGACAAUUGAAAAUGUCUUCAAAGGUUGCCAAAUGUUCCCUCAGGGCAGUCACCCUUGGUGGAGGACACUAAUCUAGUCAUUGUAAGAAAGAAAGAAACUACUGGGUUUUAGGAUGUAUUUUAAUAUAUUUUGUCAUUUUUGCCUUCCAAGAGUUCUGUUUCUCUAUAUCUUGUUAACUCCGGGUAUUCUCAGAGUUUGAAAUUUUUGCUAAUUUAUGGAAAUGAAAACAGUAACUUUCUAUUAUUUUAUUUUGUUUUGCCUUAAUUGCUAGUGGUAUGGAACAUGUCCUUGACUCUCUAUUGGUCAUUAGGGAUUCUCUUAUAAGAUUUGCCUAUUCAUAUCCUUAUGUGAUUUUCUUUCUAGUUUUUUUCAUUAUUAUUCCUUUAUAGCAGUUCUUAAUAAUUUUUGAAUACCAAUACUUUGAUGGUUUUAUGUCUGAAAAAAACUCUCGGGCUAAGCUUUUCACUUUGUUGACGAUGUUCUUUUCUUUUUCUGUUUCCCUACUGGGGAUUGAACCCCAGGUUGCUUAUCCACUGAGCCAUAUCUCCAGUCCUUUUUUAUAUUUUAUUUAGAGACAGGGUCUCAACGAGUUGCUUAGGGCUUCAGUAAGUUGCUUAGGCUGGCUUUGAACUCAUGAUCCUCCUGCCUCAGCUUCCUGAGUCACUGGGACUACAUGAGGGUGCUACUGCACCCAGCUGAUGUCUUUUAUUUUAAAAUCGUAAUAUGCACCAAUACUUUCUUUUAUGCUUAUACUUCUGUGCUUCAUUUAAUUUCUUCCCUAUCCUAAAGGUAUAAAGACAAUUUUAAAAAAAAUUUUAUUCUAAUUUGUUAUAUAUGAUCGCAGAAUGCAUUACAAUUCAUAUUACAUAUGUAGAGCACAGUUUUUCAUCUCUCUGCUUCUAUACAAAGUAUAUUCAUACCAUUCGUGUAUUUUUCAUACAUAUACUUAGGGUAGUGAUGUCUAUCUCAUUCCACCAUCUUUUUUUACCCCCUUACCCCCUCCCUCCCUCUCCUUCCCCUUUGCUCUAUCUACACUUUGUCUAAUCUUCCCAUGCUCCCCGUCCCAACCCCACUGUGAAUCAGCCUCCUUAUGUCAGAGAAAACAUUUGGCAUUUGGUUUUUGUCAUUGGCUUACUUCACUUAGCAUUAGAUUCUCCAACUUCAUCCAUUUAGAUUUAUUCAUACCAUUUACCUGCAAGUGCCAUGAUUUUAUUCUCUUUAAUUGCUGAGUAAUAUUCCAUUGUGUAUAUUUGCCACAUUUUCUUUAUUCAUUCAUCUACUGAAGGGCAAUUAGGUUGGUUCCACAGUUUAGCUAUUGUGAAUUGUGCUGCUGUAAACAUUGAUGUGGCUGUGUCCCUGUAGUAUGCUGUUUUAAAGUCUUAUGGGUAUAGCUGGGUCAAAUGGUGUUUCCAUUCCUAGACUCCAAACAGAAUCUCCAUUCUGUUUCCAGAUUGGCUGCACCAUUUUUCAGUCCCACCAGCAGUGUAUGAAUGUGCCGUUUCCCCCACAUCCUCACCAGCACUUAUUGUUGUUUGUAUUCUUGAUAGCUGCCAUUCUGACAGGAGUGAGAUGAAAUAGUAGUUUUGAUUUGCAUUUCUCUAAUUGCUAGAGAUGAUGAACAUUUUUUCAUAUAUUUGUUGAUUGAUUGUACAUCAUCUUCUGAGAAGUGUCUGUUCAGGUCCUUGGCCCAUUUAUUGAUUGGGUUGUUUUUUUGUUUUGUUUUGUUUUUUGAGUUUAGCUUUUUGAGUUCUUUAUAUACCCUAGAGAUUAGUGCUCUAUCUGAUGUUCGAGGGGUAAAAAUUUGCUCCCAAGCUGUAGGUUCUCUGUUCAUCUCACUAUCUAAGGUUUCUUUUGCUGAGAAGCAGCUUUUUAGUUCACAUCCAUCCCAUUUAUUAAUUCUUGAUUUUAAUUCUUGUUAUAUAGGAGUCUUGUUAAGAAAGUAGGGGCCUAAUCUAAUAUGAUGGCGAUUAGGGCCUACUUUUUCUUCUAUUAGACGCAGGGUCUCUGGUUUAAUUCCUAGGUCCUUGAUCCACUUUGAGUUGAGUUUUGUGCAUGGUGAGAGAUAGGGGUUUAGUUUCAUUUUGUUGCAUAUGGAUUUCCAGUUUUCCCAGCACCAUUUGUUUAAGAGGCUAUCUUUUUUCCAAUGCAUCCUUUUGACACCUUUAAUACCCCAUUUACAAUAGCCUCAAUAAAGAUAAUAUUUUAUAUUUUUCCUAGAAAUAAUAUUUUACUGUUCACCUUUAGGCCUUUAAACCAACUUAAGCUUGCUAUGGUGUGCAAUAGUAAAUGCAUGUGUAAUUAUUCCAAUGCAUAUUUAUUGAAUAGUUAACCUUUCACUCCUGGUUUGUUAUGCCAUCUCCAGUUUGAAGUUUUGAUAUUUAGUGGAAAAAAACAGGCUAACUUAUUAUUCUUUUUCAAAAUUGACUUGACUAUUAUGGUUGUUAUCUGAACAAUAGUUAUUACCUCUUUCUUCUUCCUAACUGAACCUCAUUGUCUUCAGAUAUCCCUGGAUUCUAUCCCUUAGUGUGUACUUGAAGCCCAUCAUGAGGGCAAUUCUCUUCUAUCAGAAUUGCUUUGGGCCUGGGAUGUGCUACAUCUCCUGCCAGUGAGAACUAAGUAUACGGAAUUGUGCUACACUGAGGAUGGAAAGGCAUGGGAACAUUUUUCCUCUUAAAAAGGUAUAAAAGAAAAAAGAGUUACCAUUCCUUUCUUUGAAUAAAAGUUGGAGGAAGAUGUGAUGCCUGAUACUAUGGCAGCCAUCUUGCCACCCUGGGGGCACAAGCCACACACCCACACACUGAGAAUGGCUUAACAAAAAGAUGAAAAGAUCACAGGUCCCGACAAUGGCAUUGUGUGGCUGAAUUAACCCAAACUGGAAUCUCCUGUGAUCUGAACUAACAAACCUCUUAUUGCUUAACCACUUUAUGUUGUAUAUUCUGUUAUGUCCAGCAAAUGCAUCCUCAACUACAAUAAGAUUUUUGACCCCUUACUUCCCACUUGAAUUUUGUAAUCAUGGUUCCAUGCUCCCAAUCAGGGCAGGAAUUUAAAAACCGAGUUUGCCUUAAAAGUAAAUGUUAACUUUGGGAGAACUGACAUCUCACAAUAAUGAAUGUUCCAAUUCACGGAUAUGGUAUGUGUCUCCACUUAUUCAAAUCUUCUUUAGUGCUUUCUAUAAAAAUAUUUUAUAUAUAAAAUCUACAUUUUAUUUAUACAUAAAAAUCUAUAUGAUUUUAAAUAUUUAUACCUAGCCACAAUGCUAUUUCUAUUAAGCCUUGUAGCUUUUGUUUGCUAUUAAGUAUUAUACAUUUUGGCAUAGUGGUGCAUACCUGUAAUCCCAGCUAUCAGGGAGACUAAGGCAGGAGAAUUGCAAAUUUGAAGGCAACUUAGUGAGACCCUGCCUCAAAAUUUAAAAAAAAGGUGGUGGGGGGGAGUUACUGUGGAUAUAGAUCAGUGGUAGAGCAUCUCUAGUUUCAAUCCCAAACACGACAAUAACAACGUGUGUGUGUGUGUGUGUGUGUGUGUGUGUGAGAGAGAGAGAGAGAGAGAGAGACUGAAUUUUGUAAUUGAUCUUAUACCCAUCAACCUUGCCAAAUUGUCUUUUAAUUCUAAAGAGACAAUUCUUCUUUUCCACUCCUGUGGAGCCUGUUUGAGUUUCUUCAUAGACAAUUAUAUUAUACAAUAAGAAGAGUUUCUUUUCCUGCUCAAUCUUGCAGUAAAGGAAUAGAGGCCAUCAGGGAGGCCUGUGGUUGCUUGGUCCAGUUGCCUGUCACGUGCACUUUCUCCUGGCCUCAUUAUUCCCUGGUGGGAGGCCCAUCACCAGGCAGCAGGCAGCUAUUCCAGCCUCCUUACGGGUGGUCUGUGUGUAUGGGGUGGGGGCUCAGUGUGGCCUGUGGUUUCGGGCACUGGACGUGGCUUACCACCUACCCUUCUCACCCUGGGCAGUCACUUCUAAUCUCCCUGGCCCCUCAGAAGCCCAUGCUGGCAUCCUGGGCCACCUUUCAGAUUUGGGACCCAGUAACCCCAUCUCCUGCUCCAUUCACGGCUUUGAGUUUCUAAUCCAUGGAAAAGUUUAUACAUUGGGCCAACUGUGCCUUUUAAUUUUUCCUGUCAUAUUUUAAUCACUGUUGCUUUGAACGUGACCAGCAUUCCCUGUUGAAAUUUAAUCCCCGUUUUGAGGUAUCUGGAGGGUGAAAAAUCUGACUGUAGUGUUUAGAGGUGGGGAUUUGGGAGGUGGUCAGGAUUGGAUAAGGUCAUCAGGGUGGAUCCCUCAUUUGAAUAUUGGUGACUUUAUAAGAAGAGGGACAGAGACCAGAGGACAUGUACACACCACACACACACACACACACACAUGCAUGCAUGCGCGUACUCUUUGUCUCUUGCCACAUAAUGUCCUGUGCCACUUUAGGACUCUGCUAGCAAAAAGAUUAUCACCACGUGCAGGCUCUUGAACCUCUAGAACUGUGAACUACAUAAACCUCUUUUCUUAAUGAGGUUACCCAGCCUCUGGGAUCUUGUUAGGGUAAUGUAAAACAGACCAAUACGAUAACCAUUGCUUUGUGUGUGGAGAUGAGCAUGAACAUCAAAGGCUUAGGUACAAAAAUCCUACCUUGACUAGAAAUCAUGAUUCCAACAUGUAUUUUUUAAAGGGGCACAGAACUAGCUCCUGCCAACUGCUGAUACUUAACACAGUAGUUAUCAUCAAAUACAAUACUAUUUUCAAUACAUUUAAAAAAUAUAUUUUUAUUUUUUAAUUGUAGUUGGACACAUACCUUUUAUUUAUUUACUUAUUUAUUUUUAUGUGGUGCUGAGGAUUGAACCCAGGGCCUCGCACGAGCUAGGUGAGCGCUCUACCACUGAACCACAACUCCAGUCCUUUCAAUACAUUUUUAAUCACCAAAUAAAAUACAGAAUUUUCACAACUUCCUUAUGCUUUGUAAACACUAUAGUUGUAUUUCUGUUUAUCAUCUGGCUAACCGGGAAUGGAAAUAAACACUAUUUUCUGUACCUGAGAAAACCAAUGUCUCUUACUUAGUCGUAAUCAGGAAUAAGCAGAGAGAGCCAUAAUUCUGUGAGUUCCUCCAGAGAUGGAGCUGGGUGUUGUUGAUCCUGUGCCUCAUCCAAAAUAACCCCAGGGAAAGAUUUUGAGCUGAGUAAACCAAACUCCAAAGCCAUGCCUGGCUUUCCAUUGUCUGAGGGACCCCUAAUGAAUGCCCUCAGGAUCUAACAGUGCCAUGACUUGAGGGAAAGAAAGGGGAAGAAAGACAGGAAUAAGAGUUGGUUUUAAGCAAGGUGAGUGGGAAGGAAUUGUCAAUGGCAUUUCAUCUAGAGUGGAUUUUGAUUGAGAUUUGGAUUUUUUUAAAUACUUAUCUCCUUAUAUAAACUAGCUUACUAUGUAAAUAUAAUCAAAAUAACAUUCAUUAAAAUUGCAAAACUUAUUUAUUAAAAUAUGUAAAGCAGCCAGCUGCAAUACUGGAGACUAAGAAGUGUAAAAAUAUUUUGUUGAACAAAUAUUUUUGAGUUCCUACUAUGUGCCCACACUGUACGGGAAGUGGGCAUACCAGGAUAAAUAACAGGUCCCUGUGCAGCUAAAACUUCAGUUGGGCCAAAGGAUGGGUAAACAAAUAUGAUGGAAUAAGCUUCUUUAAAGAGUGUUGUGUUUAUUGUAGUUUGGAUGCAAGGUGUCCCUCAAAAGAUCAUGUGUGGGACAAUACCAAAAGGUUUAGAGGAGAAAUGAUUUUAACCCAAUCGGUGAAUUGAUCCCUGAUGGGAUUAACUGAGUGGUAACUGGAGGCAGGUGGCUGGAGGAAGUGGUUCAUUGGGAACAUGGCUAUGGGAUAUAUAUUUUGUAUCCGGUGAGUGGAGUCUCUCUCUGCUUUCUGAUCAUCACGUGAGCUGCUUCCCUCUGCCACACCCUUCCGCCAUGAUGUUCAGCCUCACCCUGAGCCCUGAGGAAUGGAGCCAGCUGUCUAUGAACUGAGGCCUCUGAAACCGUGAGCCCCCAAAUAAACUUUCCCUCCUCUACGAUUGUUCUGGUGGGGUCUUUUAGUCACAGCAGCAAAAAAAAGCUGACUAAGACAGUUCUCAUAGCAGCCUCAUUUACAAUAGCCAAGAGGUGGAAGCAACUCAAGUAUCCACGGUCAGGAAUGGACAGGCCAAGUCUAUUACACAUAGGAUGUAAUACUGCUCAGCUUUGAAAGAAAGAGAAAUUCUUGAUACAGGCUACAACGUGGACGAACCUUGAGGAUAUGAUGCUGAGUGAAAUAAGCCAGUUACAGAAAGACAAACAACUGGCUGCCUCCACUUCUAUGAGGGAGCUCAAGUAAUUAAAUCCAUAGAAACAGAAAGUAGAGAUCUGGGGGUGGAAAGGGAAAUGGGAGCGGUUUACUGUGUUGGAUGCAUGUUCAGUUUCAAUUUUACAAGAUGUGAGAUUUCUGGAGAUGUCACAACCAUGGGAAUUAUUCUUAACACUUUUGAACUGUACGCUUAAAAAUGGUUAACAAGGUACAUUUUGUGUGUUUUACCACAACUUUAUUAAGUAAAAAAAAAAAAGAAGAAGAAAGAAAGAAAGAAAAUGAUCAUUAGUUUCCUGAGGGUUCACUCCUAGCUUCUAGCAGAAGGCCUGAUACAUGGUAGGCACUUGACUAAUAUUUUGCCUUCCUUUGGUGUCUCUCCCUGCCCAGUGUCCUCCACAGCAGGACAAAGGCCACGUAGUUCUGUAGUUCUAGGAGCCAGUUCAGCAAACAAAGGCACUUCUCUCCUCAGGGCACAAAGGGGAAGAAUUUCAAAUAUUUGUGAUUUAAUAUUUGUCUCGAUCACACCAACUAGGCUUUGCUUCUCAAUUAUGCUUAUCUGAGCUCUUUGGCAUUUAAAUUUCCUAAAGAUAGAUCCUGUUCCUACUUCCCAAAACAGAAUAGAAUUGUGAUGGCCUUUGUAAGAAAAAGGAAAAAGAAAAAAAAAGUGGAAGGAAAUCUGUAAAAUGAAAUCAUUAUGAGGCCAACGUACAAAUGGCUUGUGGGCUCUGGUUGCAGCCCAGCGCAGGAGGAAGGGUGAGGUAAUUAGCAUGCAUUUCACAGUUCUGCAGUUUGUCAGUUGGUUCCUUCCCUUCACGGGCUCUGUCUGAGUCUCUUGGUUUUUAUUUUUUAUUUUUUCACUUGGCCAAAAAUAGAGAGACAAAAAAAGUUUUCUUGUACUUACUUAGGCUUUUCUACUUUUUUUCCUGGUAUGUUUGGUUUCCUCUCGCCAUGAUCCUUCCUUCUUCCUGCCACCUGCCGGCUUCUCUGCUCCUCCUCCCCUUCUCUGACGUCUUCUGUGGGAUGCACACUGUUGAGCCACCACAGCCAGCAGACAUCCCAGGAGCCCCAUGGGAGGUUCUCAGAGAGCUAUUCCUUAGGUUCUGGAACCCUGGCUUGGUGCAGGGUAUCCAUGGGGGACAGCUGUGUGCAGCAUUUGGCGAUAUACAGGCAGGGAGAUGACGAGGGUCUGAGGGACUUGGAUGGAGGGAUUCCCAUUUUCUGGUCCACACACUGGACACAGCUUCUCCUUCUGGCUGGGCCUUGGUCUGGGUGUGCACAUUGUUAGAAAUCAGAAUGAAGCCAAGGUGCCUUACCUUUUGCUGCAGGAGAAAGUUGUCCGGAUGCCUUUCUUCUGCCUUCUCAUGCUGGAAUGAUGGGAGGGUACGCACAGAGCCCACCAAAGACUUUGUCAAUUAAGAAACAACCAGUGUCCAGGCGUGGAGAUUUGAUUAUAUGACUUUUUAAACAUUCCACUUACGUAUCUCUCAUUAUGUGACAGACACUGUUUUAAAUAUUAACUCAAUCCUUUAAAUAUUAACUUAUUUAAUCCUUACAACCACUCUGUGACUUGGGAUCUACUAUUGUCUGAAUUUUUAUGGAUGAAGAAACUCAGGCCCAGAAAGAUUAAAUGAUUUGCUCAUGAUCACAGAGCUAAUCUCUCACAGCCUGGCUCCUGCAUCCACUCUUUUAACCUACUACUCUUUGCUACUGGUUUAUGUACAGUUCCCCAGCAUUCCCUUGGAGAUUCCAUGCCUGAUUUUACAAAAUCUCUCUCCCCAGGUAUAACACUUUCUGCUGGGUGUUGGGCAAUGUGCACAUCCCUCUGAAAUGUCCACGUGGCUCCUCGGAUGUCCGCUGGCUGUCACAGGUUCACAGGCAUCUGUUCUGUAGGAGACCUCAGUAUCUGACUUUCUUUCUCUUCCAGAAUCAGGGCAUAAGGAAGCAAUUUCUACCCAUACAGACUUUAAGACAUAAAAUUGCAGCACAUCACAAACUCUUCAUCCUUGUAUGAAGUGCCCUGCCUCCACACAAACAAGGAUACGAUCUUGGGAUCUGUCACCAAUCAGGGUGAGUUUGCAAGGAGUCUUCCAGGCCCUUGGGAACAGGGUCAUGAAUUUUUUAGAUGGUUGGCUGGAGUGGCUCAGAGCUGGAGGACAGACCUUCCGGUGAGUGUAGCAAACUGGUCUGGAGAGAAGCCCGUGACCUUGGCCUCCUUGCCCUGGGAUUCCAGGUGGGGACCUGAACAUCCCAGGGUGCUUCCCUAGUCCUCUGACCUUCCUUAGGUCCCUCCUGUGUGCUGGUUUCCCUGGUGAGAACUGGGCGAGCCGAGAAGGAUUUACAGAAAGGCAGGGUGACUUGUCUUUCUGCUGUGAACCUCUGACUUGUGUUUGGGCCUCACUGUUAUACACAGAGAUAUGUCUCCAGCUCUUCCAUGCCUCCUGCCAGCUUCCUGCUGGUAGUUCCCAAGGCCUUCUCCGCCCCCAGAAUGCUUUUCCUAGAUCCUCUUCCCACAGGGCCCCAAAGCUAAGCUGCCUGGAAGUAGUGGGAAGUGAAUUCCUGCUAAAACAUCUGAAUUCUCUGCACAUUGCAUUUUUAUCUUCCUGGGGACAUCAAAACUGAAAAGUUUAAGAGUAGGAGUGGAAUGUCAGGUUCCCUGCCGUGAGAGGGAUUUCGGGGUCUGCUGUCUUAGUACAUAAUAUCAGAGACCAGGUAGUUUAUGAUCACGAUUUUUAGAGGCUGGAAGUCCAAGAUCAAGGCACUGGCAGAUCUGGUGUCUGAUGAGGGCCUCUUUCUGGUUCAUAGAGAGCCAUCUUCUCACUGUGUCCUCACAUGGUCAAAGGACAAAAGCAGCAUUCUGGGUUUUUGCUGUUGGUGGUAGAUUUUUUUUUUUUUUUUGGUACUGGGGAUUGAACCUAGCAGUGCUUUUAUCACUGAACCACAUUCCCAGAACAUUUAAUUUUUUAUUUUGAGACAGGGUCUCACUAAGUUGCUGAAGUUGGCCUCAAACUUGUGCUCUUCCUGUCUCAGCCUCUUGAGUCACUAGGAUUACAGGCAUGAGUCACCACACCCGGCUUCUGGGGCUUCUUUCAUAAAGAUACUAAUCCUAUUCAUGAGGACUCUGGCCUCAUGACCUAAUCACUUCCCCAGAUCCUACUCCUAAUGUUAUCACUUUAGUAAUUAAGUUUUCAACAUACAAAUCUGGGGGGAACGCAUUCUGUCUAUAGCAGCUGUUGUCCAGUAGACCUUCCUAUGUGUGGACAUGCAUCUGAAAUUGGCCCUGGUGUCAGGGCCAGGCCCACAGGUGUCCUCAAGUCCAGAAUUAAAACCUUUACUUUAGAGCCACAGUGCUCCCCCUGUCCCCUGCCCCCACCACCAGUUUGUAGGACUCAUUAAAUCUAGGACCCAGAUCCCGGUAGGCGUGGGGUUCAGUUUAGGCAACUGGAGUAGAGGCCUUUGUCCAGUGGGGUAUUUCCUCUGACGUCACUGGGCUGAUCGUCAAGGCUCCAAGGUGGGUCUCUGCCAGGAAAACCUGAACUGAAGAGGAGGAGAUUUGGCCUUCGGGGAAGAGGGCCUGUGUCCUGGCAGGCCGGACGUGCCUGCCCCGGGCUGGCUUCUUUUUGCUGCUGAUUCUCUGGGUUAGUGCACUUUUGACCCAAGAGGAGGGAAAAAAGGGAACAAACAGUGGAACUGUGACUGUCAGAUGUUGCGGGAGGGACUUUUGAACCGGUGGGAUGGUGACGGCCAUCAGAGGCUGCCGUCUUCCCUGGCCCGUCCCCCUUCCCACCUCCUGCCCUCACCUCUGUCCUCCCUACUCUACUUCUGAACGCCAGCUGCCUGGGCGACACCUUUUGCUUCCCAAGCCUCCUUUGUUGUUUUUCCUUGAUCCCUUUCUCAAAAAUAUUCUCCUCUCUUUCCAUCCGCUCAGUGCCAGACUCCUGGCAUCUGACUUGCCGGCUUGCGCAGGCUGCCAUCUCUCUCUCUGGCUCACCACGGUUUUAUAAUUGCCUCUGGUUAAAGUUUAAAUAGAUGGGUUUCAGCCCAAGAGAAAAAUGUAAACAAGCCCUCUCUGCAGUCUUUCAGAACUGCUGGCCUCCAGUGCUUCUGGAUUCUGUGCUAGGGGAUUCGUCCUGCUCCUCCCUAACCCCGGGAGCUGAGACAGGCCGCUGGCCUUUCAGAGCCACGAAGGCCUCUCUGAAGCCAUCAAGCUAUUGAGAGACUUUUAGAUGGCCUGGCACUGUUCCUUUUAACUCAAUCAAGCCAGCAGGAUCCGGUUCCCAUUCUAGCCAGGGUAUCUGGUGUGAUCAGGUGAAACAGGGUAGCAGUCCUCAUGGGCCGGCUUCUAGAUAGGAAGGAAGUGACAGGGAUUGUCAUUUCCCUGCUGGAAUUUUUUUCUCUGGGGGAGGAUGGGGUUGGAUUUGCUGCCCUGGGGUUUUGGCAGUUGAGAUGGUCUCAGGAGUCAUUAGAAUGGGGCCAUGUGGAGCCAUCACAGCAGGGAGAGGUAGGCCAGGGUUGAGCUCCUGUGUUCAGGCACAGAUCCCCUUCUUUGCUGUGAUUUCUCAGAAGUAAGCAGGCCUUCUUUGUCUUUUUAAUUUUAUUUUAAUUGUUGGGAGUUUUUAUUUGUUUGAGUCUUGAUUAAGAAUAUUGAUUUUCUGGGGCUGGGGUUGUGGCUCAGUGGUAGAGCACUUGCCUUGCAUGUGUGACGCACUGGGUUUGAUUCUCAGCACCACAUAUAAAUAAAUGAAUAAAAUAAAGAUCCAUCAACAACUAAACAAAAAAAAAGAAUAUUGAUUUUCUAUCUUUUUCUGCUUUGUGUACUUUGUGUACUUAUGAUCUGGUGUCAGAUGGAUUCAGCAAUAACUUGGAAUGUUUUAGUCACAAAUUUGAUUGAAUGAUUACCUUCCCCUACUCAAAAACCUUCAGUGUGUCCCUGUCUUCAGUUCAGGGUCUUAGGCCUGGUUCUGUCUUCACCUUGCACCAUGCCAGUCCUGAUGAACUCAGGUGACCUCUUCCUCCCUACUCCUGUGACCCAUUCCCUCACUCUGCAGUGUCCUAACCCUCUGCCCCACCCCUGCCCUGCUUAGCAUCUGCUCAGAAACAUCUUCCUGUGUUCUGUGGGGUCCCCUACCCUCCCUCAGCAACCAAGGCCAAGCAUCCUCCCUUUAGUUCUCCAACAGCCACGCCCACCCCCUUUCCUGUAACCCUAUUUCGUUGUCUGAUUUUCAGCCUGUUCCAUCAGCCUUGCACUUGAUACUUAGCUCUUUGGUUGUAGGAUGAUUUUGUUUUUCUAUCCCCAUAGUCAUGUGUGACCCACUGGUCAGUGCUCAAUAACUAUUUAAUCUUUGUUUUUCAGCCUCUCUGAAAAGAUGUCAAUAUUUUUAAAACAGAGGAACCAAAAGGAGUGAAGGAAGGAUUGGGGAGUCAUUAGAUUUGGGUUCAAACCGAAGUUCUGCUGAGGUUAGUACUAGGACUGCUUCCCGGUCACCACCCUUUCCCACCUUCACUUUCUUUGCAGGUAAAACGAACACAAUAAGCUGAUUUCUAUGGGUUUUUGUGCAAAUUAAAACGACAUCUUUCAAGUAAAGAACCUAACACAGUUCCAUCUCGUCCUUAUCCUCUCCUGAUUUCAAAACAAUUUGAAUCUUAUCAACCAAUUUAAAAGACAGGUGCCACGUUCUCCCAUUACUCACACAGCCCUCCUUGAUGGAAGCAUUUCUUCUCAUUCACACUUGCAAGUUUGUGAAAGGCUAUUUUUUGGGGGGUGUCAUUGGACUUAUUUAUUGUUCAUUAGAAGUUCUCUCAAUGAGGCUGGGGUUGUGGUUCAGUGGUAGAGUGCUUGCCUAGCAUGCAUGAGGCACUGGGUUCAAUCCCUGGUAUCGCAUAAAAAUAACCAAAUUAAAAAAGGCAUUGUGUCCAUCUACAACUAAAAAAAUAUAUAUAUUUAAAAAAAAGAAGAAAAUGGGCUGGGGUUGUGGCUCAGUGGUAGAGCGCUUGCCUUGCACGUGUGAGGCCCUGGGUUUGAUCCUCAGCACCACAUAAAAAAUAAAUAAAUAAAAAUAAAGAUACUGUGUUCAUCUACAACUAAAAAAAAUUUAAAGAAAAAGAAGGAGGAGGAGGAGGAGGAGGAGGAGGAGGAGGAGGAGGAGAAGAAGAAGAAGAAGAAGAAGAAGAAGAAGAAGCUGUUCUCUCAGUGGUAGGGGUGAAGGUGAGGCAGCUGGUGUUCUCUACUGAGUUAAUGUCACAUGUCAUCCAUGGCGUAAUGUCACCUCUUCACUGCCAAUCUUAACUGGAAAGAGAGGAAGAUAUGCCAGGGAGGACCCCUUUUCUUUCCCCCUCCAUCAAAAGUCGGUAGCCAUCUCCCCCAUGGAAGGAGAGUGUGGAUGCCCACCAGGUGCCAGGUGCUAAAAUGAAAGAUGAAUCAGCCAAGGCCCCAGCAUUUUGAAGUUUUCAGUCCAAUGUGCUUGCUGCAGGUUGACAUGGGGCAACUCAUCUAAUUAAACCAGGAUUAUAGGGGUGCAGAGGAGGAGAUAGCACUGCAGGAAAAUCUUGAGAGAGAGGAUGACCUGGACUGAAUCUUGAAAUAUCAGUACACGAAUGUGCCCAGUCAGGACGAAGCCUUUCACUCAGAGGAGCCCAAUCCUUGAUCCUUCCCCUCUGAUCCCUACGUGCAGCCUCCAGCACUGGGCUCUGCCAUCUUUGACUUCAGCUGUGCAGCCAGCUUCUCCUUGCUCCAAGGGCCAUGAUAGCUUCCUUAGAAGCAGCAUUUUUAGUGUCAGAGAAGUGACACUGGGAGCCCGCUGCUGCUUUUGUUGCCAGGGCUAGAGAACAGCUGGAGUGGUUUGCGCUCCCUGGGGGAGGCUGGACAAGCCAGGCUGUGUGCGUGUGUGACUUGUGCGUGGUGUUUGUGUGAGUUGAGAGCGCGUGGGUGUGUGUCCUUGUGGAUGGGCGGCUAGAUGUUUACGUGUAGGUGUUGCCACCGAAAACAGAAGUGGAGAUUCUGAAAACAAAGUGGCAGCUCAGGACCUCACGGGCAGGAAAGGGGGAGGUUGAAACAGCCCCGACCAAAACAAAAACAGAGGAGGAAGUUGCAUCAGAAGAGGAAGAAUGCCAAUGUCAUGCUGAAGAGCCACAAAUGUCACAAAAUAAAAAUAAAAUGUGCUAUUCCUAUUUUACCUAGGCAAAUACUGUUACACUGUUUUCCUCUUUACAGUGUAAUAAGAUUACCGAAAUAAUAUUUUGUGCAGCAAAAGUGAAGAACAACCAGAGAGAGCCACCCACAAACAAAAAUUGCUCUAUUUUUUAAAAAAAUUACAUACAUCAUAUUUUAUUUAUUUGGUUCAGUGAUUGAUUAUAACUUUGCUCUCUACCUGCAUUUAAAGUUUCUUUUUCCUCCAGCACUUAAAAAUAUUAAAAACCAGUUAUGAAACUGAAUUAUUGAAGAACAUUUCAAAGGUCUCCUUACUAUUAGCACAAACUGAGAAAUUCUAAUAAAGGUGUUCGAAUAAUAGCGAAGUGACUGAAGAUAUCAAAGCAAGAAAUAGAGAUCCCAGGGAUGUUAUUUACUUUUUUUCGUUUCAGUUAAAGUAGAAAUGCUAGUCCCUUUACUGAAAAAAUUAGAAGGAUAGUUUUCCUUUUGAUUAGGUUCUCAUAACUACACACAUUUUAAAAAAAAUAUAGGACUGGUUUUAGAUGUAGGGGUUCUAUUUUUUUUUUAAUUUUUUUAGUUGUAGUUGGACACAAUAUCUUUGUUUUAUUUAUUUAUUUUUAUGUGGUGCUGAGGAUUGAACCCAGGGCCUCGCACAUACUAGGUGAAUACUCUACCGCUGAGCCCCAGCCCCAGCCCCAAGAUGUGAGGGUUUUAUAAAAAGGUGAUGUAAUUCUGGGAUGAACUUUGCAUCUGGGGCUCAGCUAAGCCUUUUGAAUCUAUUUCUUUAUAAUUAUAGUCAAGGUUAUUGGCUUUCUAUCACUUUUCUAGAAUUGUAAUGGCAUCAAAUGAUUAACUGAGCUGCCAAUUUUGCCAAUAGUUAAAUGUAUAUUGAAUUUUUGGCAGUGGACUGGGCAAAUUUCAUGUGCUCUGGCUAAAGUAAUUCUCAACUGAAUAAAGUUUUACCACAUAUACUAGUUGACUAGCAAAUGAAGAAAGAAGCUUAGGGUGAGGGAUCAAUCAGACAAAGACAAGCAGCCAGAAAUGGGGAAAUGGAACAACCAAGUAUGCCUUUUGCUCUGUGUAUAUACAAUGGGUGCUCCGUAUAUAAUGUGGAGGGGGGCUGGAGUUGUAGCUCAGUGGUAGAGUGCUUGCCUUGCACACAUGAGGCACUGGGUUUGAUCCUCAGCACCACAUAAAACAAAAAAUAAGUAAAAUAAAGGUUUUGUGUCCAUGUUCAACUAAAAAAUUUUUUUUAAAUAAUGUGGAAGGAAGAAAUGGAUGGAAUGUGUGAAGGAAUAAGUAUAAUGAAAGCAGCUUGAAUGCCUAAUUCAAAAUGAGGUUCAGAUUUGGCUUCAUGAUAGGGUUAUAGCAUAUUUUCCCUUUGAUUUUCAGAAGUUGUGAGACUCUUUAAAAAAGAAAAUAUCAAUAAAAUUAGUUGGGUAAAAAAUUAAAAUAUAUUCAAAACUAAGUUUUUAAUUUUUAAAGUUUAUUUAUGUAUACAAACUUUAUAUAUAUGGUUAUAUAUAAAUUUAAAAAAUAUAUAUUUAUAUAUAUUAAUUUAUAAAUAUAUAUAUAUUUUCAGUGUUACCUUAGGAACAAAAAAUCAUUAGGGGACUGAGGAUGUAACACUUGCCUAACAUGUCCAAGGCCCUGGGCUCAAUCCCCAGCAUCACACAUCACACACGUGUGCACAGACACACACAUCCACAAAUUGGGAAAAAAUAGGUUUAUUCAUAAAAUUAUUAAAUGUUUAGGGUUAUAAUCUAUUCAAAUAAUAAAAAUCCACUAAUUUGAAAUGACCUUUUUCUUCUUAAAACUAAUUACUACUGGGGCUACAAGCUGCUGUAUUUUAUAACAAAUGUCAUUUGGCUUUUGCAACUGAGAGGAAACCAGUAAAAAAUUGGAGAAGAAAUCAUAAACAUCAUAAUAAAAACAAACAGAAGCAGUAAGUUUUAUUUUUUAUGGAUCCACUACCUUCCAUAUAGCAUUUAUUUUCAGAAAAUACAUAGAAAUAAACAUUUAUUUUUAGAAAAUAAUUCAAAGGAGUGGGCAGGGAAGAGGGAGAGAAAUAGACCAAACCCAUGGGCUGCAACAUUUUUUCAAACAAUAUUUUUGUUUAAGGAGUCAAAGUUCCCACAUUCGCCCGUUUCUCUGCUUUCUGAACUUCCACAUCUCUAGGGGCCCUCCACCUGGACAUACAGUUGGCUUUCUGGGUCCACAGUCCAGCAUCCUUGGAUUCAACCAACCAUUCCAUUUCAACCAUUCGAAGUCUUUGAUUUAAAAAAAAAAUUGCAUCUGUCCUGAACAUAUACACUUUUUUUCUUGUCAUUAUUUCCCAAACAAUAUAGUCUAGCACCUAUUUAUACAGCAUUUACAUUGCUGAGAUAUUUUAAGUAAUCUAAGGUCGACUUGAAGCAUACAGGAAGAUUUGCAUAGGAUAUAUGCAAAUACUAUGUCAUUUUAUAUAAGGAACUGGAGCAUUCUUAGAUUUUGUUAUCCCAAGGGGGUCCCGAAACCAAUCUCCUAUGGGUAUGGAGGGAAGACGGUAUUUCCUGACUUGGAAUUUGCCAAAAAUCUAAAACAUUGCUCCAGAGGAAUUACGCAAACUCCCUGGCCCAGCUUGUGUUCUCUUCUGAUGGUGUUCUCAAGGAAUGGGCAGGAGGAAAGACAAGGUGUGAACUACGAGAUGUUACAUUCUGUUUAACGUCGUGGAUCUGUAGCUCUUUCUGUCAAUGAGUGGCAGGCCAUUCUUAAAUUCUGCUCUUCUGCACUGAAGGAUCUUAGCCUCUCUGCCCCUGGAGAGCCAAGGAACUUUGCUCUUUGCCCAAAAUACCUUUCUCACCCGAAGCAGUUUCCCCUCCUCUGAGAAAUGCUGUCGUGUCAGGCUGCACUGCCCUUGAACCAGACAACUUUCUCUGCGUGUCUUUAUCUGUCUAAAUAAAGCUAACCUACAUUUGCUGUCUAAUUCAUUUGGAUGCUUGCUGAUGCUAUUUAAAGCAUCCCUCAAGGCCCAGAGGAAAACAAGAUGCAUUAUCUCCAGUUGGGAACCUUUAGGUUUGCUGGUCAUUUAAGGAAUUCAAGAAUCUUAAGAAUUCAUUCAGUCUGCACUGGUGCUGAUGCAAAGGACAAAGGAACUCUGGAUUUUUAUUCUAGACAGCUUUCUUUGACUCGUGCAUGCCUAGGAUCAUUUCACAGAGAGGUAGUUACGAAGUCAGUCUCUGUGUGUCUGUCUGUCUGCUCCUCAGGCUUCAUGAAAUCAACUUUCUGAAGAUUUAUUGCUCAUUAGAAUAUAUUUUUCAUUCUAGACUCUGAUGAUCGGUUAGUCCACUGUGUGAGCUUACUUAUCUCGGGGAACAAAUGUGAAAAUUCAAAAGCUGCUGUCACCUUCAUAAAGAGCCUUUUGAUGAGUUUUUGACUUGUUUCCACCCCUCCCUCUCCAGAUACCAUAUGUCCUUUCAUUAGAGAACCCUGACACUUCUACAUUCCAGAAAAGAAAAGGAAAUUCUACAGGGAACGGAGCAGAACACUGGUGUUGUAAAUAGGACUCCACUGUGAAUUCAUGUACGACUGAGAGUUCAGAGAGGUUUCAGAUCUGUUGUUUGUUUUUCCAGAUCUGGCAUUUCUGUGGGUCUGUUGGCUUGCUGGUACAAUGGGGUUGUUUUAACCAUUAGUGCCCCGCUGCUACCUUAAGCAUAAGCUUAUUAUCAGCAUCCACUUGUUCAGCCAGGAUUCUGUGACGUCCAUUGCAGUGGGUGAGUCAGAAGCCACAAGCUAACAGGUCUAUAUUCCUUCCCACUGUCACCUAGGAAACCAUCGCAUCAUCCACAGGAAAUGCAGGCCCCGAUGGGGGGUGUGCCCGGAUCGGGUUAUAAAGCUGGCAAAGAGUUUUUUCAAAGGAGGUCAAAUAAUAACAUGCAGAAUCUUGGUCUAAGGUGGGAGGUGAACCCAGCCUCUGUGGCAUGGAUUGAGAGCUGUGGGGCAGAAAUAGCAGGAGAAAUUAAUCAGCGCAAAGCACAUAAGAUGUCUGCUUUAUAAGAAAGUGAUCACGGGCAAGAGACAUACAGAAAUGAUUUGAUUCCCCCAGGAAGCAGUAUUUAUUUACCCGAUGGCUGAGGGUAUUUGGGGAAUGUGCGGUUGUACAGUGUGCGAAAUGAGAUGAAGAAAUUGACAACACAUCAAACCAGGCUUUUCUGUUGAAUGAAAUGCAUGUCUCUGUUUCAUGGUCAUUAUCCCUUAGCUUAAGAAGGUGCUAGGCAGUACCUUGGAGAAAAGCACACAGCGCCCACUGUUUUGUUCUUGUUUGCUGGUGCUGUGCCUGAUUUUUUCUUUCUUUGGCUGCUACAGUCCUUGGUCUGUAUAUCCCAGUUCACUGCACAAUAUUCAGAUACCUGUGGAUAAGCUUAGUGCAGCUGAGAAAAAUUACCUGUACCAUUUCAUGUUGUUCGACAAGCUUGAUGUUUCUGGGAAGCUUUACAUUCCCAUUGCUGCUAUGAGUCAUUCUACGUCAAAAGAUGUGCACCCCCAGGUGUUUUGAGGAGAGAGGAGAGAUAGAAAGCUUGAUCACAAGCUCAGGGAGAUUUAACAGGUGAUAUGGCCGCCUUAAGAGAUUGAGCUGCUUUGACUGAAGGAUGGUGUCCAAGAGAGGCAAUGGGUUCCAAUACCAGCUGGUCAGGUGCCCGACAAGAGUACAUCCAUCCUGAGUACCCAUUGAAGGAAGAGCAAUGACAAUCCUGAGUGUGUUCAGAGGAGGGCAAAGAUGGUGAUGACAGUUCUAGAAACUGUAACCUUAGGACAAUUAAAGAGCAUUAGUCUACUUACCCUGAAGGCCAGAGGAUCUGUCAUGGAAGAGAUGGGAAUGGGUAUCCUCAAAUAGUUGAAGUGCUGUCUCAAAGAGGGUUCAGACUUAUUUUGUGUGCCCACAAAGAGUGAUCAUAAAUUGUUACAAGUUAAAGGGUGGUGGAGUUUAGCUCCAUAUAACUAAUUUUCUAAUCAUUUAAGCUGAUCAAAGUGUAUUAAACUGACUAAUACAACAGUAACAUAAUUUUGUACCUUUGGAGUUGUUCCAAUAUUCCUUUAUUCAUCCAAAAGCAUUCAUUGAGUACCUGCCAUAUGCCAGACAUGUUAGGUACUAAAGAUACAAAGAUGACUAACAUAGUCACUUCCUCCAAAGGAAUCACAGUCCAGUAGAGGUUCUGUGAUCAUUUAAUAUGCAGGGAUUGUGUUUUAGUACAUUUUAUGUUACUAUAACAAAGUACCCAAUGCUGGGUAAAGGAAAGAGGUUUAAAUACCCUCACAGUUCUGGAGGUCCCAGAGGAUGGUACCAGUCUCUGCUUGCCUCUGGCAAUCGCAUUACACCCCAACAUGGCAGAUGGCAUCAUGGUGGAAGUGUGAAUGAGAGAGAGAUAGAACACAUGGCCAGACAGGAAGCAAGAGACAGAGAGUUGAGACAGUCAAACUUGCUUUAUAAAAACCCAUUCUCAGAAGAACUAAUCCAUUCCACGAGACCAGCGUUGUUAUUCUGUUUAGUACCCUACGUUCCUCAUUUCCUUCUAAUAGGUCCAACCUUUUAAAGGUUCUACCACCUCAACAGGAAAAUUCACAUAAUAUUCAAAGCACAUCAGACAGGAUGAGCAGUAAUGUAGAAUGUUGUGGAAGAGAUUCACGCUUUCAUGCCUUGCACAGAAGAUUAGAUGAAGGCACUUUGAGAUUGCUGUCUGUGUUAAUGAAGGCAAUACUAGCUGCUAUAACAACCCCACAAUGUCUUCUGGCUCAUGAAACAUGAUAGGAAGCUUUUUUUUCCUCACCAUAUACACCCAAAAUGGUUAUUUCUGAUGGUGGGUGUCUUGCUUCUAAAUGGUAAUUCAAGGACAGGACCCAGUUCUUUCCAAUUGGUGAUUCUGUCAUCUUCAACUUGCAGCUUAUGGGGGACAUUCUAGGCAUUGGCAUUUUGCUGAUAGAUGGGAGAGAACAUGGAGGAUCUGGGGGAUUUGGUUAUGAGUUGGACCUAGAAAUGAUGCUCAGAUACUCUGCUCCCAUUCUAUCCAAUGGAAUUUAGCUGCAUGUCCACACCUAACCAGGAGGCAGGCGUGAAAGGCAAUCUGGGGGGUGUAGCUCAGUGGCAGGGCACUUGACCAGCAGGUGCAAGGGCCUGGGUUCAAUCUCCAGCAUUGGAGGGGAAAAAACACAAACCCCUCAACUGGUCGAGCUGUUUUGCCAGAAAAGAGCAGAAACUGGUUUCAAUGUCUGGUGGCAGAACCAAGAUAAGGAAUUUGGGUUGGGGGGGGGGGUGCUGAAGAGAUGGGCAGGGUGCUCCAUUUAUUUAUUUUAAGAUUUUAUUUUUAUUUAUUUAUUUUCUUUUUUGACUAAUAAAAUAUGUAUUUAUGGCAUACAACAUGCUUUGAUAUAUACAUGCACUGGGAAAUGGUUAAAUCAUGUUAAUCAACGUAUUCAUUGCCUCACAUAGUUAUUUUAAAAAACAUUUUUGUGGUAGAUGGACAGAAUGUUUUUAUUUUAUUUAUUUGUAUGCGGUGCUAAGGAUCAAACCCAGUGCCUCACACAUGCUAGGUAAGUGCCCUACCACUGAGCUAUAGGCCCAGCCCAGUUAUCAUUUUUUGUUGUGAGACAAAAAUUUUUUUAAAAUUUCUUGUUUAAUGCCAGUAUCAUCAUGUCCCAUGUUUACAGUAAAUGUCUUCCUAUUGAAGGUCUCUACUCAGAUAUAUUAUUAUUACUUACGGUUGUUGUUGUUCAGUGGUGCUAGGAAUCAAACUCAGGGUCUUGCACAUAUGAGGCAAGUGUUCUACCACUGAGCUAUACCCCAACCCUCAAGGUAUAAUGUUAGGCUCAAAAAAAAAAGCAAGGUAGAGCACAAAGCAGAGUAUGCUACUUUGUGUAUGAAAAUGAAAGCAAUAAUACUAUUUGCAUUUGUUUUCAUAUAUGAUGAAACACUGGAAAAGUGAAAGAAACCACAGAGACCCGGAUAAAGGCAGAGGGAGGAUGGAGACAUCAGUGGGAAUGAGAGUUUAUGUAUUCCUUUAAAUACUCAUUUAUUACUUAUUUAUAAAAAUAUAUAAUUUAAAAAACCAAUUUUAUUCUAUUGCAGGAAAAUGUUUCACUGACUGACCUCUUUUUGCGUUCAAAUGAAGAAAAGUCAACAAUAAAAUUUCUUGGGAAUGUAAGCAGGACAUAACUUUUGAGCCUGAGGUAUAAAUAAUGAUGAAUUCUGUGUCUUUCUUGUUAUACUAUACCCGACGAAUUA
Molecule: long non-coding RNA, 103632 nt
Filed under: Marmota monax (woodchuck)
Lineage: Eukaryota; Metazoa; Chordata; Mammalia; Rodentia; Sciuridae
Rfam family: tRNA (bases 66761-66829)
Source: RNAcentral